This 92835-nucleotide long non-coding RNA is filed under the name Triticum aestivum (bread wheat). RNAcentral's name for it is "long non-coding RNA (TAES_LNC009450)". Lineage: Eukaryota; Viridiplantae; Streptophyta; Magnoliopsida; Poales; Poaceae. The record is from RNAcentral.
CUACAUUUAGUGAAGGCAACAUUAUACAACAAUUAGCAUGAAAAAAAUCAUGAUGAAAUAAAAUGGUGAUGCAAUUUUGACUUCAUAAGGCAAGACCAUUCAAGGGAGAAAUCUUUUGAACAUAGCACGAUGAUGAUCUUUUGGUCAAUAACUGAACAUGACAAUUCAUAAGCAUAUUAUGCAUUCAAUAUUCUAUUCUAGAUAAUAUUUUAAGUCCGAAAUAUCCAUGGUUUGGGAAGUCAGGAUGACCUGUUCCAAAACAAAGGCAUGUACGUAAACCGAACAAAUAUGAAAAUGAAGAGAGAAUGGUGAAGUAUGUAUCUUACUGAUUCCGCAAAGGUGAACAUAAUUAGAUUAAAGGUGUUGAACUGAAGUAGUUAUAUAAGGGUCAAAGGAUAAAAAUCAAUAAGGAAAGUUAAAGGAGGGCAUGUUCUUAUGUAUAUAGAAUUGAAUGAAGAUUUGCUUCAGAGGUGGUAAUGAUUCUUCUUAGUUGCCCACGCCAUAGUACUAUUUUAAGGCCAUGCAAGACUAAUGAGAGUUGAAUGAAAGAAAUAGGCUGACCGUCCUUCGACUAUUUUUGUAUCAUCUUCCUUCAACUGCUCUAAAUAGGCUGACCGUCCUUCGACUAUUUUUGUAUCAUCUUCCUUCAACUGCUCAGACCAAUACUUGUCAACACUUUCGGGUGUGCAUAUAUGCGGAAGUAACUCACAACAUUAAAACAUGAGAAUGAUUGGAAGCGAACUAAUCCAGACAAAAGCUUUCUUUACCCCGUAAGUCAGACCAAAGUAACCUGCGAAUAUCAAGAUAUUUUGAUUAUUCUGAAAUAUGUUCAGAACACAUCAGUAAUUAAAAAUAGAAGAUGUAUUGCACAUCAAAGAAGAUUAUGGAUAUCAUACCAUCAAAAGAGAUUUAUGCAUUUUGUAAGACAAUUUCUUCAGAGGUCUCCUUUAGCAAGGGACGAUAGAGUCUGUGUAGAUUAUGUAAUCGUACCAACAAAAUGGCUCAGCAAGAGUCACCUUUACUGGAUGGUCACAAAGAAAUUCAGUAACAUUAGUGAUUCAACCUGCUAAAGAAAAUAAGGUCAAUAACAAAUAUGCAUCUUGAAAGUAGUAUUUGGUAUCUCGGGUGUACCUAUAUAUGUUCUUUAGUCUUGACUGCUAGCGUCUCUUCUCCUCUCAGCAGAUCAUAAUGCAGUUGUCUCGAAAAACUAUUUGAAGCAGCAGCUCUCCUCCUCCUGACUAUGUCUACACUUCCGUUGGCUGCUGCUACUACUUUUCAUGAAGUUAACACAAUGUUUAAUAAAUAAAAAGAAAUUUCAUGAAUUUACAAAAACCAGUGGACUGAGGAUUGCUAUGACGGGAAAAAUUAACAAAACCUAUUUUUUCUUUUGAUUUUGCAGUGUUUUUGCUGUUUUAUUUGAUCUUUUUAUUUAUUUUUACUUGGUUAUUUUUCUUUUUCUCCUAUUGUAUUUAUUUAAUAUAUAAAAUAAUGAGUGAAUUCCGGUUUUUACCCCCUAUUUUGCCAUUUUUGACACUAAUUACCCCGUUUAGUGGGAUUUUAUCCAUUUUACCCCAUUUAGCAAAAGUGUUACCUCAAUUUAGCCCGUGGUGAACAUAUGCGGACCAGCGAAGAAUAAGUAUAUGUUUCCUGAGCUACUAUAGUGCAAUCAUAUCGAGCCUAGCUUAUCAGAAGAAGCUAGGGGGGUGCGGUUCGGCGUGCAGAGAAAGCAUCAAGAAAAAACCUGUCGAUGUGGCAUCUAGCUAGACCUUACAAUUGGGACCCAUCGGUCAGAACACUCAUAAAUUUUAAACAUGGUGAACUGUGGCAACACUUUUGCUAAAUAAUGUAAAAUGGAUGAAAUUCUGCUAAAUAGGGUAAUUGGUGUCAAAAAUGUCAAAAUAGAGGGUAAAAACCAGAAUUCACUCUAAAAAUAUUCUAAACUAUUCUGGUUCAAUUUUUUGAUUCAAUGAAACUGAUCCAUGUUGAUUAAACGAAACUGAUGCAUAUGCAAUGAUACGCAUGGAUGCUGAUUAAACAAAACGGAUGCAUAUCAAUCUUCGUAUGGGUGCGCGGACCUUUUUCUUUUCGAUUGCCUAGCAACUUAAUAAUUGAUUGAUGCAUCUCAACCUUGGUAUCACGGCGACCAAAACCGUGGAUUCCUUGCCCUUCACUCCAUCAGAUCACCACCGACCAAUAUUCCUCGCUCAUGUCUAGUCUUCUUUCCUCUGCCUCCGCCUCCACGCACUCCUCCUUAGAUAUAAUUAAACCAAACUGACCGCCCCAUGGUGGCCCCCAUCCUUGUCGGCAUGAAAUCCAAUGCUACGUGCGGAGCAAGUAGUCAUCCCUCCCUUGUGGCGAGCUCGGCGCCGUGUGUGGAUGAGGCCGUAGGUAUGCGCAUACCAGGAGCACAAGACCAUGUCAAGGAGUGGAGAGGAGGUCUAUAUGGAAUGUUGUGUUGGCCAGAGACCACCAAACACAUGUCACAUGAUCACAUAACCCCUACCCACCCUAAAUCAUUGGUUCAGUGGCUAGAACCCCAACUGACCAUAGCUCGAUGUCUGGACCAUGUCAAGGCACAUGGAGAGAGAAGGGAGACUAGGGACUCACCAGAACUGACUCGCUAUCUGGAUCAGCUUGAAAGUUGACUACACGAGGAUUGUAUCAGCUUCCCUCCUUGACACUCUGACUUCCAGGGUUGUUUUUCCCCUUUAGCUCUCGUCAUAAUCAAAGAAACAACGAUGUUAGAUCUCUCUCAAAUGAACAUAACAAGAGACAGAAAAAUAUAGUUUGUGUUCAGCGGAGAUAAAGAUUAUGCACCACUCAUAUAGCUGGUGAGGAUAUAAUAGUAGCGAGCUACUCCACAACAGUUUAAGCAAUCGUAAUAUUAACCAAACCACAAACAAAACCUAUGUUCUGGAACCCAUUCAUCAUCACCUAAGAAAUAACAAAUUGCACAACACCUACACUACUCAUGCGUGGGUAAAGUAUCAAAUAUCUUCAUCUAGUCUAAGUAGAUAGUACCAAGGGUUAUUUAGCAAGCCUAUGUAAAGAGUUGCAAUUCCCAAAUUCCGGCAUCAAGAGAUAUGCCCAUAACAAUCACAUCCAUUUGUUAAACAUAUAUAAUAGCAUGAUUAAAGGCUCUAAUUAUUAAUAGGAGCAUUAAUAUUGACCCCAGGUAAAUGUGGAGCGAUACAAAAGCAGCUACGUAUCAUCCAAUGGCCUAGAAUUGUCAACAUCGAACGAAAACAUGCCAUCCUAUUCAAACUGGCUAAUUACAAGUAGGGAAAAUCAUAUCUAGCAGACUAUCAUCACCAAAAUCAUAAGCAGGAUAGUGCACCAUGACAAUAUCAUAAUCAUGACUUUCAAAAGGUUAGGAUAACUAAACAACAUGCAUCUUGACUAAUAUGUUUUUUCAUAGAAGUUACAGCCUUACCAAGCCACUCAGCCGAUUUGAAACACCACGACAUUGGUGGCCCAUGCAGGUCCCUGCUGGCAGUCGCUGCGGAGUGAUGGGAAUUUAGAUCGGCUCCGACGUGAUCUACAUGUCGGAACCGAACUUCAUCGUCGACGUCGGCAUCUGUGUUGCUGGCUCAACUGGUCACCUUUCCUGGACCAAGGACUACGCUUCGCGUCAAAUCGUCAUGAUCAGGCGGGUGCCUUCAUCAUCAACUCUGAUCCUAGCCGAAGUCAUAGAGGAAUUCGUCCAUGGAGCUUGGGGGCUCAACGUCAACAUUGCCCUCGUGUGAUCAUGCCGUUUUUGUUGAACAACGGAUUGUGUUCACCUUCUCCGCCUCCUCGAGUGUCGCUUUGAUGAUUGCUUCGGUGAAAUUGUGUGGAAUUGAGUCUACAACAACCUUGUAAAAUUUCCUCGCGUUCCUAUGGAGGUAUCUCCGGCAAUCUCCGACAUACCGGAGCCCAAUCGAAUCUGGACGGGAAUCUGGAUGACUUUGUGGCGAGGAGUCUAGCGUCCAUCCCGGACAUCCGUUGGAAAAUCCAACUGUUCAUCGGUUGCGCAAUUCCUAUGUUGACCACCACUCAAAUUUCAGCUUGGUCCGACCGUUCAAACUCUAGGGAACGUCCGAGUAGUAAAUCAAUUCUCUGAUAUGUUUUCUGCGCGCAAACAAAUCUGACCCGAGUUCAUCUUUUCAUGAACGGGUUAUCAGACAUCCUUUUUGAAUGAAAUUGCUACUGCUGGUACAUGUAUGCCUACGGCCUCGUCCACACACGGCGCAGAGCUCGCUAGCACAGAGGGACGGCGGCCUGCUCACCGCGUAGCAUUGGAUUUGAUGCCGCCAAGGAUGGGGGCCUUCAUGCUGUGGGCAGUUUGGUUUAAUUAGGCGAAGGCAGAGCAGAGGAAAGAAGACUAGACAAAAGUGAGGGAGGUCGGGAGGUGGUGUUUUGAGGGAGUGAAGGGCGAGGCGUCCAUGGCUUGGUCGCCGUGAUACCAAGAUUGAGAUGCUUCAAUCAAUUAUUAAGCUAGCAGGCAAACGGAAAGAAAAAGGUAUGCAUCAGUUUCGUUUUUAUUAGUUUUGCCUUUUCUUUAUUUCCCUCUUUUCCUUUUUUUUCCUUUCCUGUCUUAGUUCUUUCAUAAUUUUUUUGUUUUGACUUAUUAUCCUUUUUCAUUUAGAAAAUGAACAACAUGACUUUUUUAUCAUAUGAUUUACAUAUUUUAAUCACCUGAUGAAUUUUUUUAACACAUGAUGAAUGUUUUUUGAUAUACAAUGGCUAUUUUCUUAAAUACAGAUAAUUUUUUAAGUGUAUAUUCUGUUUUAUAUGAUUUCUUUUCAAAAUUAUGUGAAUUGUUUUAUAAGCAUGGCUACUUUAACAAUCACAUGUACAUUUUCUAAAAUACAUAAACACUCUUUGUAAAUUCAAGAUUUUUUUCUAAAGAUUUAUUUAGAAACUAAAUGAAUUUUUUUCUAAAUAGGUGAAUUGGUUUCAUAGUAUAAGAAAAAUUUAUUUAGAAUAGUUUUUUCGUGAGUAAGCAUUUUUUUUGUUUACACAAACUAUUUUGUCAAAUGUGCAGAAAGAAAAUUUGAACAAGAAUACUUUAGAAAUACUAUAUAUGUAAGAGGAGAAAAAGUAAAACAACCAAGUGGAAAUAUAUAAAAAGAACAAAAAAGGGCAAAAGCACUGGAAAAUCACAAAUAUAGGAGUCUAGCUGCAUGGGUUACUUGAUAUCAUGUUUAUUUAACAUUUUUUUACUCUACCUUGUAGCUUGCAUCAAAACACACUAAUGUCCUUAUCCAUUUUUUAUUUCGUCAAGUAUUCAUUUCACAUUUAAGAUGAGGGGGACUGAAUCAGUAGCCAUUGCUAGCUAAAUAAUAGGCGGCAGAACCGUGUUAUUAGGCCAACCUUCUUGAGAGACUCUUUUAUCAGACGUUGCUGUCGGGCGCCAAAUGAUAUAUAUCGCUUGUACCGGGCAUUACCUAGAGCUUGCCUGCAGAACCGUCUUGAUUUAUUUUAUUAUUUUUGGCUUUUUGUUUAUUCCCCUUUUGCUGUUCUUCUUUUUCUAUUUUUUCUGUUUCUUUAUUUUUCUGUUGAUUUUAUUUUUUUACUUAUUUUACUUUUUCAUUUAGAGAAUUAAUAUUAGACAUGACUUUUUAAUCACACGGUUAUGGUCACGUAGCACGGUUUUAUAAUAACGGAUUCCUAAAUGUGAGCCAAUAAUAGUAACGAUACAAUUUGUAUAUAGAAAGUAAACCCUGGCCACUCCAUGGCAUAUUCAUCAUGGAACCUACAAAGGACGCAUAUAAACUCCAUUUUUUUCCCUUUUUGCUUUCGUGUAGGAGGCGCAUGACUCCAUGGAUGACCAGCCAUCAUUUUUUCUGUGACGUUGACCGUCACUAACAAUUACGAUGAUGCAUUUGACCGGUCAACUAUUCUGGCAUGAAGACCCAAUGAGAUGCUGACAUGGCUGCUACCAAGUGGGUCCAGACGUGGGUAAUUUGGCUUCUUACAUGUGGAUCCAAUGCCAUACGCGGGCGACGGCAUGCAUACCUAUCCCAAUUUGUAGAUGCGGUCAAUUUAUUAUAUAUUGCAAUUGGCGGGCAUAUUUGAAAAUUUAAUCAUUUUUAUAAUUCGUAUAUGAAUUUGUGCGAGAUUUCAAUUUUAAUGCCAAGUCAGCUAUCUUUACUCGAUUAAAUGACAGACAAUUAUCACACAGACUUUCUGAACCAUUACAAUAAAAAACCAUGGGACAGAGCCACACAAUAAAAUUAGGCACAUGGCGCAUUUUCAUGACCAUCAAACAAUGCACUAGUAUGAUGGGGUUUGUUUGCUCAGCUAUAGACAUGGGAUCCUGGCGUCGCAAUCGUGGCGAUGUACUUAAGCGUCCUAUCAAGAUCAUUAAGCUUCUUUCGAUAGCUAAAGUUUUCUCUUUCUUAGCAUUCUUGAUGACUUCAAGUUCUCCCUUCUGGUUGCGCCAACCUCGGUUUGUGUCAGCGGUGGCCGCCCGGUGGCGCGAGGCGCGUGAUGCCCCCCAUCGCGCCCUUUCGGCCCUUGACUCCUGACACUUUUGUGCUAAGCGGUCCCGGCAAUUCAUGAAAGGAUGGGGUGCAAAUGUGGGCCGUGACAUUCGCGAGCGUAAGAAAGCCCUUCUUGAGGCCAUCCAGGCCCUCGAUCUGCGGGAUGAUGCCGCAGGCCUCUCUCUGAGGAGUGGAUGCUUAGGUACGACCUGGAAGACUAGCUCACGGUCAUCUACACGGACGAGGAGGCCUACUGGCGCUUGCGAGGUACGCAGAAUUGGGUCCUCAAGGGGGAUGCCAAUACCGCCUACUUCCAGGCCAUUGCCAACGGUCGUCGUCGCCGUAAUUCCAUCCCGCUUCUCUGGGACGGCGAGACCCUCCUGCAGCGGCCAGAGGACAUCCGGGCCCAUGUAGACGGCUUUUACAGAGACCUAUUCUCUGCCUCCCAUCGGGGAGGUCUUGCCCUGGCGCAAGACAUCUGGCCGGCCCACGGCUGUGUCUCUCCUGCUGACAACGCGGCCCUUACGGCCCCGUUCUCUAAGGCUGAAGUGUGGGCGACAAUUAAGGGUAUGAACCCUUCUUCGGCCCCCGGUCCGGAUGGCCUCCAAGUGAAGUUCUUCCAGCCUUUCUGGGAGGUAAUAAAACCGGAGGUGAUGGCCUUGUCUGAGGAAUUCUUUGUAGGAUCCAUUGACCUCACCAGGCUGGACUUUGGGAUCAUCACCCUCAUCCCCAAAGUAACUGGGGCUUCGGAUAUUCGCCAGUUUCGGCCGAUUACGGUGAUUAAUGUCAUCUUCCGCAUCCUCGCGAAGGGGUACGCCCUUAGGGUGGCCCCCAUUGCCGACAGGAUCACUCACCCUGAUCAGUCGGCAUUUAUUCAGGGCCGGUAUAUCCUUGACGGAGUUUUGGUUUUUCACGAAGCACUCCAUGAGGUUCACUCCAAACACCUCAAGGCAGUCUUCCUGAAACUGGAUUUCCACAAGGCGUAUGGCACAGUCAGUUGGCCCUUCCUUCGGGAAUGCUUGCUGCGGAAGGGCUUCAACGACAGGUGGGUCUCCCGAGUGAUGCAAAUGGUAUCCUCGGGCCGGACCGCGGUGAACAUUAAUGGCGAGGUUGGCCCAUUCUUCCCCACAUCCCGUGGGAUCCGCCAGGGCGACCCCUUCUCACCGUUCCUCUUCAACAUGGUUGUCGAUGCUCUGGCAGCCAUCUUAGAUAAAGCCAAGCCUGUGGGCCACAUUAAGGGCAUAGUCCCGCAUCUAGUUGGGGGGAACGGGAUCUCCCUCCUCCAAUAUGCGGAUGACACCAUUAUCAUGGUGGAAGGCUCGGCGACCGACAUCAUGAACUUGAAGUUCCUCCUGAUAUGCUUCCAGCAGAUGUUUGGCCUCAGGAUCAACUUCGAUAAGAGUGUGGUAAUGGUCUUGGGAUACUCCCAAGACGAAUGGCAGAGCAUCGCGGAUCGGCUCAAUUGCCAGCUUGGGUGUUUCCCCACGACCUAUCUGGGGAUCCCCAUUAGUGAUUUGAGGCUCACGGUGGCUGAGCUUCGCCCCACAGUUGGGAAGCUUCAACACCGCAUCGAGGCUUGGCAGGGCUGAUGUCUCUCGAAGGCGGCCCUGACAGUGCUUAUUAACUCGUCCCUGGCCAUCCUUCUCUUAUUCAUCAUGAGCUUCUACAGCCUUCCUGAGACUCUGAUCACGAGAUUGCCACAGUUCAAGGGCGCUUCUUCUGGGCCGGCGAGGGCGACAAGUAGAAAUACCACAUGGUUCGUUGGUCGGAGAUUUGUAAACCGCGCUACCAGGGUGGUCUCGGAUCAUGUCCUCCAAACGCAUGAACAUUGCCCUCCUAACGAGAUGGUUGUGGCGGAUUGCCAACGGACAGGGUGCCCUGUGGCUUCACCUCAUUCAGCAGAAAUACCUCCGUGGCCAGCCUCUCACCUUCUGCCAGUGGUCUGGAGGUUCCUAUUUCUGGCAAUCCAUCAUACAGCUCCUACCGAUCCUCCGCAUCGGCACCUUGAUCGCGGUUGGAUCGGGCACCUCCACGAUGUUCUGGUUCCAUAGAUGGGCUGGAGACUUACCCCUCGCGGCACGUUUUCCCUACCUAUUCUCCAUCGCGGUUGACCCGCGGAUCUCUGUCGCGACGACCCUUAUUGACUUAGGGCAACUCGCGUUCCGGAGAGCAUUUGGCCUGCCUGAGAACGCGGACUGGCAUGAGCUGCUGGAAUGCAUCGGGCUGCACGAGCCUGAUCUUGAGGUAGGAGAAGACCGUGCCAGGUGGCGUCUAGAGCCAUCUGAGCAAUUCUCCACUAAAUCUCUAUACCAGGCCAUCACACCUUCGCUGGGUCAUGAGGUAGUCACCACCAUCUGGGAUAUACAGCUCCCCUUGAAGAUUAGGAUUUUCUUGUGACAGUGGAUUCGCGGCUGCCUCCCAUCCGGCGUGGAAGUCCUGAAGCGCAACGGCCCAGGGGAUGGGCGAUGCCCGCUCUGUGGGCCUGAAGAGGAUUUGAACCAUAUCUUCUUCACAUGCGUGUCCGCGCAGUUCCUAUGGAGUUGUUUCCGUGAAAUAGUGGGUGGAAGCAGGGACCACAACAACUUUCCCGCUCUUUUCGCGGAACUCCAGGCGUUAGCUCCCUCAAUUCGCCACAUUAGGUUGCUGAUCAUCGGGGUGCUAACCUGGACGCUGUGGACUGUUAGGAAUAAACUUUUGAUUAAGCGCAUUCCUUUUCGACGUGCUACUGACGCUUUGUUCAAAUGGUCUGGUUAGUUGCAGUUUUGGCGGCUGCUUAGCCGUCCCCGGGAGAUAGACGCCAUCACCUCCAUCAUCAUCCAGCUUCGCUCGAUGGCUCUCCGUAUGGCUCCACCGCUUCCCCCACCAGCGCCGGAGCCGGAUUAGAUCUUCUACACCUCGCCACCGCCGUUAUGUUUGUUGUGUGUGUCUUGCGCCGAUGUUGGGCUUGUUGUGCUGUGCCCAUAGCUGAACUUGGGUUUCGACUGUGUGUGUGUUCGUCGGAACUGCCUGCGGUGGCUGUGUGUGUGUGUUUUUAUGGUCGGAACCUUGUUAACUUUGUGCUCGGUGGUUGCUUUUUUUAUAAAGAGGGGAGAAAGCCUUUUUCGGUAAGGGAAGUGUUGAUAGAUUCAAGAUGAUUAUGCAGAUCUAACAGGGCCAUUAUUAGGCAUUCCAUUUGGUCUUGCCGCUCUGGCAGAGCCUUCUUGACACCUUCAAGUAUGUUUUUGCUAGUGUACAAGUGUACGUAAUCUUCACAUAUUGAAGUUCAUGCUACGCACCUGGCACGACAUGCUUCAUGUUCUUGCUGCUGCUCUCCUAGGUCCAUCUUGACAGCUUCAAGUUCUAGUUGUUGCUCUGCUAGGGCCUUCUUAACGGCUCCAAGUUCUAUUUUCUGCUCACCUAGGGCCUUCUUCAUAGCAUGAAGUUCCUACUGCUGUACAACCAAUGUGUGCUCGACUGCUUCUUUUGCUUCAUGGUGCACCACCACCACAUUGUUGAUAGCUUCAGGUUACUGUUUCUGGACCCCAAUACUUGCAAGAAAGUCAUCAUUUGAGAAUCCUUGCUUUCCUACAAAAUAAUAUAUACGAGGUUACAACAUAUGGAUGAAUUCCAAAAUAUAUAUGCACAUGCCGCAAUACACAGAGGUAGGGUAAAUAAAGAUAAUUACAUGUAAAUUUUAUAAAACAUGUGAACAUUCUUAGGAAAAAAGAAAAUUAUUUUCUAAAUACAUGAGUAUCUAUUAUAAAUUAUAUGGAUAUUUGUCUAGAUAGUUCAUGAAUCAUUUUUGAAAGUACAAUAAUUUUUUAUUUAGAAUAGUCAAACACUUUCUAAAUUCAAUUACAUAUUUUUAAAUGACUGGGCACUUACUUUUUUACAGGAACUAUUUUUUCAACAACAACAACAAAGCCUUUAGUCCCAAACAAGUUGGGGUAGGCUAGAGGUGAAACCCAUAAGAUUUCGCAACCAACUCAUGGCUCUGGCACAUGGAUAGCAAGUUUCCACGCACCCCUGUCCAUAGCUAGCUCUUUGGUGAUACUCCAAUCCUUCAGGUCUCUCUUAACAGACUCCUCCCAUGUCAAAUUUGGUCUACCCCACCCUCUCUUAACAUUCUCCGCAUGCUUUAGCCAUCCGCUAUGCACGGGAGCUUCUAGAGGCCUCCGCUGAAUAUGCCCAAACCAUCUCAGACGAUGUUGGACAAGCUUCUCUUCAAUUGGUGCUACCCCAACUCUAUCUCGUAUAUCAUCAUUCCGGACUCUCGAUCCUUCCUCGUGUGGCCACACAUCCAUCUCAACAUGCGCAUCUCCGCCACACCUAACUGUUGAAUAUGUCGCCUUUUAGUCGGCCAACACUCAGCGUCAUACAACAUUCCGGGUCAAACCGCUGUCCUGCAGAACUUGCCUUUUAGCUUUUGUGGUACUCUCUUGUCACAGAGAAUGCCAGAAGCUUGGCGCCACUUCAUCCAUCCGGCUUUGAUUCGAUGGUUCACACCUUCAUCAAUACCCCCAUCCUCCUACAACAUGGACCCCAAAUACCGAAAGGUGUCCUUCUGGGGUACCACCUGGCCAUCAAGGCUAACAUCCUCCUUCUCACACCUAGUAGUACUGAAAUCGCACAUCAUAUACUCGGUUUUAGUUCUACUAAGCCUAAACCCUUUCAAUUCCAAGGUUUGUCUCCAUAACUCUAACUCCUAUUUACCCCCGUCCGACUAUCGUCAACUAGCACCACAUCAUCCACAAAGAGCAUACACCAUGGGAUAUCUCCUUGCAUAUCCCUUGUGACCUCAUCCAUCACCAAUGCAAAAACAUAAGGGCUCAAAGCUGACCCCUAAUGCAGUCCUAUCUUAAUCGGGAAGUCAUCAGUCUCGACAUCACUUGUUCGAACACUUGUCACAACAUUAUCAUACAUGUCCUUGAUGAGGGUAAUGUACUUUGCUGGGACUUUGUAUUUCUCCAAGGCCCACCACAUGACAUUUCGCGGUAUCUUAUCAUAGGCCUUCUCCAAGUCAAUGAACACCAUAUGCAAGUCCUUCUUUUGCUCCAUAUGUCUCUCCAUAAGUUGUCGUACCAAGAAAAUGGCUUCCAAGGUCGACCUCUGAUACGUCCAUUUUGCAUCAUGCUUUUAUAUCGAUAUUUAUUGCAUUAUGGGUUGUUAUUACACAUUAUGUCACAAUACUUAUGCCUAUUCUCUCUCAUUUUACAAGGUUUACAUGAAGAGGGAGAAUGCCGGCAGCUGGAAUUCUGGGCUGGAAAAGGAGCAAAUAUUAGAGACCUAUUCUGCACAGCUCCAAAAGUCCUGAAACUUCACGGAGGCACGUUCUGGAAUAUAUAAAAAAUAUUGGAGAAAGAAUCAACCAGAGGGGGCGCACACCCUGGCCACGAGGGUGGGGGGCGCGCCCUACCCCCUGGGCGCGCCCCCUGCCUCGUGGGCCCCCUGGCAGGCCUUCGGUGCCCAUAUUCUGCUAUAUGAAGUCUUUCACCCUGGAAAAAAUCAUAAGCAAGCUUUCGGGACGAAACACCGCCGCCACGAGGCAGAACCUUUGCGGAACCAACCUAGGGCUCCGUCGGAGCUGUUCUGCCGGGGAAACAUCCCUCCAGGAGGGGGAAAUCAUCACCAUCGAUCCUCUCAGCGGGAGGGGGUCAAUCUCCAUCAACAUCUUCACCAGCACCAUCUCCUGUAAAACCCUAGUUCAUCUCUUGUAUCCAAUAUUUGUCCCAAAACCUCAGAUUAGCACCUGUGGGUUGCUAGUAGUGUUGAUUACUCCUUGUAGUUGAUGCUAAUUGGUUUAUUUGGUGGAAGAUCAUAUGUUCAGAUCCUUAAUGCAUAUUAAUACCCCUCUGAUUAUGAACAUGAAUAUGAUUUGUGAGUAGUUACGUUUGUUCCUGAGAACAUGGGAGAAGUCUUGCUAUAAGUAGUCAUGUGAAUUUGGUAUUCGUUCGAUAUUUUGAUGAGAUGUAUGUUGUCUUUCCUCUAGUGGUGUUAUGUGAACGUCGACUACAUGACACUUCACCAUUGUUUGGGCCUAGAGGAAGGCAUUGGGAAGUAAUAAGUAGAUGAUGGGUUGCUAGAGUGACAAAAGCUUAAACUCUAGUUUAUGCGUUGCUUCGUAAGGGGCUGAUUUGGAUCCAUAUGUUUCAUGCUAUGGUUAGGUUUACCUUAAUACUUCUUUUGUAGUUGCGGAUGCUUGCAAUAGGGGUUAAUCAUAAGUGAGAUGCUUGUCCAAGGAAUGGCAGUACCCAAGCACCGGUCCACCCACAUAUCAAAUUAUCAAAGUAACGAUCGCGAAUCAUAUGAGCGUGAUUUAAACUAGCUUGACGAUAAUUCCCGUAUGUUCCCGGGAGGGUUUUCCUUCAUAUAAGAGUUUGUCCAGGCUUGUCCUUUGCUACAAAAAGGAUUGGGACAUCUUGCUGCAGCUUAUUUACUUUCAUUACUUGUUACCCGUUACAAAUUACCUUAUCACAAAACUAUCUGUUACCGAUAAUUUCAGUGCUUGCAGAGAAUACCUUACUGAAAACCGCUUGUCAUUUCCUUCUGCUCCUCGUUGGGUUCGACACUCUUACUUAUCGAAAGGACUACGAUAGAUCCCCUAUACUUGUGGGUCAUCAAGACUCUUUUCUGGCGCCGUUGCCAGGGAGUGAAGCGCCUUUGGUAGGUGGAAUUUGGUAACGAAAAAAUUAUAUAGUGUGCUGAAAUUUACUGUCACUUGUUACUAUGGAACAUAAUCCUUUGAGGGGCUUGUUCGGGGUAUCUUCACCCCGGCCAAUAGAGCAAAGAGUUGCUCCUCAACCUACUGAACCUACUGAAAAUGUUUACUUUGAAAUUCCUUCGGGUGUGAUAGAGAAACUGCUAGCUAAUCCUUUCACAGGUGAUGGAACAUUACAUCCCGAUUUGCACCUAAUCUAUGUGGAUGAAGUUUGUGGAUUAUUUAAGCUUGCAUGUAUGCCCGAGGAUGUUAUCAAGAAGAAGGUCUUCCCUUUAUCUUUGAAGGGAAAGGCAUUGACAUGGUUUAGGCUAUGUCAUGAUAUGGGAUCAUGGAAAUACAACCGAUUGAAAUUGGAAUUUCAUCAGAAGUUUUAACCUAUGCAUCUUGUUCAUCGUGAUCGCAAUUAUAUAUGUAAUUUUUGGCCUCGCGAAGGAGAAAGCAUCACUCAAGCUUGGGGGAGGCUUAAGUCAAUGUUAUAUUCAUGCCCCAAUCAUGAGAUCUCAAGAGAAAUUAUUAUUCAAAAUUUUUAUGCUCGACUUUCUCUCAAUAAUCGGUCCAUGCUCGAUACUUCUUGUACUGGUUCUUUUAUGAUGAAGACUAUUGAAUUCAAAUGGGAUUUAUUGGAAAGAAUUAAACGCAACUCUGAAGAUUGGGAUCUCGACGAAGGUAAGGAGUCAGGUAUAACACCUAAGUUUGAUUGUGUUAAAUCUUUUAUGGACACCGAUGUUUUCUGUGAAUUUAGCACUAAAUAUGGACUUGACUCUGAGAUAGUAGCUUCUUUCUGUGAAUCCUUUGCUACUCAUGUUGAUCUCCCUAAGGAGAAGUGGUUUAAAUAUAAUCCUCCCAUUGAAGUAAAAGUAGUUGCACCUAUUAAAGUUGAAGAAAAGACUAUCACUUAUAAUGUUGAUCCUGUUGUUCCUACUACUUAUAUUGAGAAACCACCUUUCCCUGUUAGAAUAAAGGAUCAUGCUAAAGCUUCAACUGUGGUUCGUAAGAGUAAUACUAGAAAACCUACACCCCCUGAGAAAAGUAAAGUUUAACCUAGUAUUGCUAUGGUUAAAGAUCCCUUGGCUGAUAAUAUUGAUGGGCAUGUUAUUUACUUCUGUGAUGAAGCUGCUAGAAUUGCUAGACCAGAUACUAAGAAUAAACAUAGACCUGUUGUAGGCAUGCCUGUUGAAAGAUCGUGGAUGUCGCCUAGAGGGGGGGGUGAAUAGGCACUUUAAAAUAAUUACGGUUUAGGCUUGAACAAAUGCGGAAUAAACCUAGCGGUUAAUUUGACAAGCACAAAACCUACAACAACUAGGCUCACCUAUGUGCACCAACAACUUAUGCUAAGCAAGAUAAACAACUAAGUGAUAGCAAGAUAUAUGAUGAGAAACAAUAUGGCUAUCACAAAGUAAAGUGCAUAAGUAAAGGGUUCGGGUAAGAGAUAACCGAGGCACGCGGAGACGACGAUGUAUCCCGAAGUUCACACCCUUGCGGAUGCUAAUCUCCGUUUGGAGCGGUGUGGAGGCACAAUGCUCCCCAAGAAGCCACUAGGGCCACCGUAAUCUCCUCACGCCCUCGCACAAUGCAAGAUGCCGUGAUUCCACUAAGGGACCCUUGAGGGCGGUCACCGAACCCGUACAAAUGGCAACCCUUGGGGGCGGUCACCGAACCCGUACACUUUGGCAACCCUUGGGGGCGGUCACCGGUACCCGUCAAAUUGCUCGGGGCGAUCUCCACAACCUAAUUGGAGACCCCGACGCUUGCCCGGAGCUUUACACCACAAUGAUUGAGCUCCGAACACCACCAACCGUCUAGGGCACCCAAGCACCCAAGAGGAACAAGCUCAAGGGCACCAAGCACCCAAGAGUAAUAAGCUUCUCAACUUGUAACUUCCACGUAUCACCGUGGAGAACUCAAACCGAUGCACCAAAUGCAAUUGCAAGGGCACACGGAGUGCCCAAGUCCUUCUCUCUCAAAUCCCACCGAAGCAACUAAUGCUAGGGAGGAAAAUGAGAGGAAGAACAAGAAGGAGAACACCAAGAACUCCAAGAUCUAGAUCCAAUGGGUUCCCCUCACAUAGAGGAGAAAGUGAUUGGUGGAAAUGUGGAUCUAGAUCUCCUCUCUCUUUUCCCUUCAAAACUAGCAAGAAUCCAUGGAGGGAUUGAGAGUUAGCAAGCUCGAAGAAGGUCAACAAUGGGGGAAGAACACGAGCUAAAAGGAUAAGGUUCAUUGGGGAAGAAGACCCCCUUAUAUAGUGGGGGAAGAAAUCCAGCCGUUACCCCCACUUCAGCCCUGCAGAGAGCGGUACUACCGCUCGGCCAGCGGUACUACCGCUUGGCCCUAUAAGCGGUACUACCGCUCUCCCUCGCGGUACUGCCGCUGGGCCCAGAGCGGUACUACCGCGGUGGCAGGGCGGUACUACCGCAAACGAGCGGUACUACGGCCCCACUGCCGCGGCUAGUACCGUAAAACCCGACACGAAAAAAACCCCUCGAAUCGAGGCGGUACUAGCACGAGACCGCAGCGGUACUACGGCUGGGGGCUACCAGCGGUACUACCGCUCUGGAGCGGUACUACCGCUCUAGAGCGGUACUACCGCUUGUAGCACCCAAGCGGUACUACCGCUCCGGCCCGCGGUACUACCGCUAGGAAACCAAAACUGCCAUAACUUCUGCAUAUGAGCUCCGAAUUGAGCAAACUCAAGCUUGUUGGAUAGAGGAAGACGAGUAGCAUCAAAACCUCCAACCGAGAAGAACCGGCAUAACCUCCAACAUCAAAAACAUCAUAGAAGAUGCGAGUGAACUCCGUUUUCGAUGAACUCGAGCCUUUCGUCAAGAUGACCAUAAGCUCCAAAACUCACAGAGAAAAGAACCAAACAAGAACCAAUAAAGAUGAUGCAAGGCUGCAAUGGUUUGAGCUCUCUACGAAUGAUACGAUCAAGCUACUCAUCGAGAGCCCCCCUUGAUAGUACGGCAAUCGAUCCUAUAACCCGGUCUCCCAACUACCAUCACGAGACCGGUAAAAUAGAAAACCUAUCAAGGGCAAACCUUUGCCUUGCACAUGGUCCACUUGAGCUAGAUGAUGACGAUCUUGACUCCCUCCAGUUGGAUCACCUUUCUUGGUUGUGUUGGCUCGAUGAAGACUAGUUGAUUGCUCCCCCAUACUCCACUAUGGGUGAGCCACUCUUCCGCACAUCUUCACAAGUCCAUUGUCACCACAAUGGACGGCAAGCUUGAAGCAGUUGAUCUCUUCAUGAUGCUUCACUUGAACUUGCACACCGCCACCUAACCCCACAAAGAACUCUCACGAAGAUCAUGGGUUAGUACACAAAGCGUAAUUGACAAUGCUUGCCACACCAUGGGAUCGCUUGAUCCCUCUCGGUACAUCUUCUACGCUUUCUGAGUUGAUCAAGUUGAUUCACUCUUGACUUAGUCUUGAUCAACCUUGAAUCUUUUCAACUCUCUUCAUUUGGAUGAUGUCUUGAAGAUAUACAUGAAUGAUCACACAAUCUUCUUCUCCAAGACAUGCUUGCAAUAAGCUCAACUCUCACAUGACCAAUCUUCAUUUGGAUAAUUCCUUAAUAACACCUUGGUCACCACAUAAACUCCUUGAAACCAACACAUGGACUUCAAGAAAUUCCUAUGGACAAAUCCUUCAAAUAUAACUCAAGGCAACCAUUAGUCCAUAGAGAUUGUCAUCAAUUACCAAAACCAAACAUGGGGGCACCGCAUGUUCUUUCACCUGUUAUUUAUGUUAAAAUAGGAGAUCAUUGCUAUCAUGGCUUAUGUGAUAUGGGUGCUAGUGCAAGUGCAAUACCUCAUUCCUUAUACAAAGAAAUUAUGCAUGAUAUUGCACCUGCCGAGAUAGAGGAAAUUGAUGUUACAAUUAAGCUUGCCAAUAGAGACAUUGUUUCACCAGUUGAGAUUGUUAGAGAUGUUGAAGUCUUGUGUGGAAAAGUUAAAUAUCCUGCUGAUUUUCUUGUUCUUGGUUCUCCACAAGAUAAAUUUUGUCCCAUAUAUUUGGUAGACCCUUCUUGAAUACUGUUAAUGGUAGGAUAGGCUGCAAAAAGGAUGUUGUGACUAUUGGUUUGGGGGAUAUGUCUCAUGAGUUUAAUUUUGCUAAAUUUCGUAGACAACCCCAUGAUAAAGAAUUACCUAGUAAAGAUGAAAUUAUUGGUCUUGCCUCUAUUGCCGUGCCUCCUAAUGAUCCUUUAGAACAAUAUUUGCUCGACCAUGAAAAUGAUAUGUUUAUGAAUGAAAGAAGAGAAAUAGAUGAAAUAUUCUUUAAACAGGGACCUAUUUUGAAACACAACUUGCCAGUUGAAAUCCUAGGGGAUCCUCCUCCACCCAAGGGUGAUCCCGUGUUUUAGCUUAAACCAUUACCUGAUACUCUUAAAUAUGCUUAUCUUGAUGAAAAGAAAAUAUAUCCUGUUAUUAUUAGUGCUAACCUUUCAGAGCAGGAAGAAGAGAAACUAUUGAAAACUCUGAAGAAGCACCGUGUUGCUAUUGGAUAUACUCUUGAUGAUCUUAAGGGCAUUAGUCCCACUCUAUGCCAUCACAAAAUAAAAUUGGAGAAAGACGCUAAACCGGUUGUUGAUCACCAACGACGGUUAAAUCCUAAGAUGAAAGAAGUGGUAAGAAAAGAAAUACUAAAGCUUCUGGAGGCAUGUAUAAUUUAUCCUGUUGAUGAUAGUCAGUGGGUAAGUCCUGUCGAUUGUGUCCCCAAGAAAGGAGGUAUUACUAUUGUUCCUAAUGAUAAAGAUUAAUUGAUCCCACAAAGAAUUGUUACAGGCUAUAGAAUGGUAAUUGAUUUCUGCAAAUUAAAUAAAGCUACUAAAAAGGAUCAUUACCCUUUACCUUUUAUUGAUCAAAUGCUAGAAAGAUUAUCCAAACAUACACAUUUUUGCUUUCUAGAUGGUUAUUCCGGUUUCUCUCAAAUACCUGUGCCAAAAGAGGAUCAAGAAAAGACCACUUUUACUUGCCCGUUCGGUACCUUUGCUUAUAGACGUAUGCCUUUUGGUUUAUGUAAUGCACCUGCUACCUUUCAAAGAUGUAUGACUGCUAUAUUCUCUGACUUUUGUGAAAAGAUUGUUGAGGUUUUCAUGGAUGAUUUCUCCAUUUACGAAACUUCUUUUGAUGAUUGCUUAAGCAACCUUGAUCGAGUUUUGCAGAGUGUGAAGAAACUAAUCUUGUCUUGAGUUGGGAGAAGUGCCACUUUAUCGUUAAUGAAGGUAUUGCCUUGGGGAAUAAAAUUUCUGAAAGAGGUAUUGAAGUUGAUAAAGCUAAAUUUAAUGCUAUUGAAAAGAUGCCGUGUCCUAAGGACAUUAAAGGUAUCAGAAGUUUCCUUGGUCAUGUCAGUUUUUAUAGGAGGUUCAUUAAGGACUUCUCUAAAAUUUCUAGGCCUCUGACUAAUCUCUUACAAAAAGAUGUUCCUUUUGUCUUUAAUGAUGAUUAUGUAGAAGAAUUUGAAAUACUUAAGAAAGCCUUGAUUUCUGCACCUAUUGUUCAGCCACCUGAUUGGAAUUUACCCAUUGCAAUUAUGUGUGAUGCUAGUGAUUAUGUUGUAGGUGCUGUUCUAGGACAAAGAGUUGAUAAGAAAUUAAUUUUUAUCCAAUAUGCUAGUAAAACUCUAGACAGUGCCCACAGAAAUUAUGCUACUACUGAAAAAGAAUUUUUAGCAGUUGUAUUUGCUUGUGAUAAGUUCAGACCUUAUAUUGUUGAUUCUAAAGUAACUAUUCACACUGAUCAUGCUGCUAUUAAAUACUUUAUGGAAAAGAAAGAUGCUAAACCUAGACUUAUUAGAUGGGUUCUCUUGCUACAAGAAUUUGAUUUGCAUAUUAUUGAUAGAAAGGGAGCUGAGAACCCCGUUGCAGACAACUUGUCUAGGUUAGAGAAUGUUCUUGAUGACCCACUACCUAUUGAUGAUAGCUUUCCUGAUGAACAAUUAGCUGCCAUAAAUACUUCUUGUACUGCUCCAUGGUAUGCUGAUUAUGCUAAUUACAUUGUUGCUAAAUUUAUACCACCUAGUUUCACAUACCAGCAAAAGAAAAAGUUUUUCUAUGAUUUAAGACAUUACUUAUGGGAUGACCCACGCCUUUAUAAAGAAGGAGUAGAUGGUGUUAUUAGACGUUGUGUACCUGAGCAUUAACAGGAACAUAUCCUACGCAAGUGUCACUCCGAGGCUUAUGGAGGACACCAUCCUGGAGAUAGAACAGCACAUGAGGUAUUGCAAUCCGGUUUUUAUUGGCCUACUCUCUUCAAAGAUGCCCGUAAGUUUGUCUUGUCUUGUGAUGAAUGUCAAAGAAUCGGUAAUAUUAGUAGACGUCAAGAAAUGCCUAUGAAUUAUACACUUGUUAUUGAACCAUUUGAUGUUUGGGGCUUUGAUUAUAUGGGACCGUUUCCUUCCUCUAAUGGGUAUACACAUAUUUUAGUUGCUGUUGAUUACGUUACUAAGUGGGUAGAAGCUAUUCCAACUAGUAGUGCUGAUCAUAACACCUCUAUUAAGAUGCUUAAGGAAGUUAUUUUUCCGAGGUUUGGAGUCCCUAGAUAUUUAAUGACUGAUGGUGGUUCACAUUUUAUUCAUGGUGCCUUUCGUAAAAUGCUUGGUAAGUAUGGUGUUAAUCAUAGAAUUGCAUCUCCAUAUCACCCACAGUCGAGUGGUCAAGUAGAAUUGAGUAAUAGAGAGAUCAAAUUAAUUUUGCAAAAGACUGUUAAUAGAUCUAGAAAGAAUUGGUCCAAGAAACUUGAUGAUGCAUUAUGGGCCUAUAGAAUUGCAUAUAAAAAUUCUAUGGGUAUGUCUCCGUAUAAAUUGGUUUAUGGAAAAGCAUGUCACUUACCUCUCGAACUAGAACAUAAGGCAUAUUGGGCCAUUAAAGAGCUCAACUAUGAUUUGAAACGCUGGUGAGAAGAGGUUAUUUGACAUAAGCUCACUUGAUGAAUGGAGAACCCAGGCCUAUGAGAAUGCCAAACUAUUUAAAGAAAAGGUUAAAAGAUGGCAUGAUAAAAGGAUACAAAAGCGUGAGUUUAAUGUAGGUGAUUAUGUGUUGCUAUUAAACUCUUGUUUAAGAUCUUUUGCAGGAAAACUUCUCUCUAAAUGGGAAGGUCCUUACGUUAUCGAGGAGGUCUAUCGUUCUGGUGCCAUAAAAAUCAACAACUUCGAAGGCACAAAUCCAAAGGUGGUGAACGGUAAUCCCAUAAAUGUUGAAACCAAUGUUAUUGAAACCGUAACCCCGGAGGAAUAUAUAAGGGACACUUUCCAGAACGCUUCAGACUCCAAAAAGGAAUAGGUAUGUGGUACGGUAAGUAAGCCGACUCCAAAACAGUUCUAAUGGCAAUUUUUCUUCGUUUUGGAAUAUUUAAAAAAAAUAGGAAAAUGAGAAGUAGUCUGGAAGGGACAUGAGGAAGCCACGAGAGUGGAGGGCGCGCCCUACCCCCUGGGCGCGCCCCCUGCCUCGUGGGCACCUCGUGUGCCCUCUGGACUCGGUUUUCUUGCACGUUACUUCUUUUAGUUGGUAAAAAUUCACUAUAUAAUCUCCCGAAGGUUUUGACCUCCGUAUCACGCAAAUAUCCUCUGUUUUUGUUUCGAGUUGUUCCUGCCACAGAUUAGAGCAAGAUGUCUUCUCAAGAGUCAGUCGGGGAGAGCCGGGUGUCUCAUCCGACACCGGGACCAGGAGCAAACAGUGAUGCUGACCACUUUGGGCCAUCAACGGAGGAAGAGAUGGAGGCCGACUUGAAAAGGAUAGAUGCUAUGGAGGAGGAUCAAGAAGUGACUUCUCGUUUCCAAGCCGGAUUCACGAUGGGGGAACUACAGAGCUCAGCUAUUCCAAACUCGGUUAUCCCCUCCAAUGUUAGAUUUCUCUCUUAUGAAAAUAUGAAAAAGAGUGUUACCUGUUCCCCCGCAGCUAUGCAACAUCCAUUGGUGAAAGGAGCUUUAGCCGUCACGGGUAAGCUCUGUAAGGAAAUAAUGGACCUCAAGCAGCAAGUCAAUAAGAUCGAGGAAGAGAAUCGUAUCCUGAGGGGCAUCAUCGCCAAGAAUAUCACAUCACCACCUCCAAAGAAAGAGACAUAAAUAAAUGGGUAUGGGCACUCUCCUUGGCAACUGCCAAGCUUGGGGGAGGUGCCCCGGUAUCGUAUCACCAUCACACUCCUAUCUUUAACGUUUUUCUUAGUUCGAUCCUUUUGGUAAUAUCUUGAUCUAGUAGAAAAAAGUUUUACUAUGAUUUAGUUUUAAGCUUUGCUUUAUGAUCCUUCUAUGUAAUUGAGUCCGAGAGCUAUAUAUAUAUAUAAUAAAGAUUAGUGUUGAGUCAAGGGCUUGAUUAUCUUACUAUGAUCUUGAGAGAAUAAAAGAAAUAAUAAAAAUAAAUAAAGAUAUCAUAUUGAUCUUAUGAAGAGUAAUGACUUCACAUAUAAAGAGUAUGAUGAAUAAAAGUUGUUGAGAGUUGACAAACAUUGUUUUGGUCAUCAUUGCAAUUAAUAGGAAGUAAUAAAGAAAGAGAGGUUUUCACAUAUAAAUACACUAUCUUGGACAUCUUUUAUGAUUGUGAGCACUCAUUAAAAUAUGACAUGCUAAAGAGUUGAUGUUGGACAAGGAAGACAACGUAAUGGGUUAUGUUUUCUUAUAUCCGAAAUAAAGUAUAUUGUCAUGGAUCACCCAACAUGUUGAGAUUGCCUUUCCCCCUCAUGCUAGCCAAAAUUCUUUGCACCAAGUAGAGACACUACUUGUGCUUCCAAAUAUCCUUUAACCCGGUUUUGCCAUGAGAGUCACCAUAUCUACCUAUGGAUUGAGUAAGAUCCUUCAAGUAAGUUGUCAUCGUUGCAUGCAAUAAAAAUUGCUCUCUAAAUAUGUAUGAUUUAUUAGUGUGGAGAAAAUAAGGUUUAUACGAUCUUGUGAUGUGGAAGCAAUAAAAGCGACGGACUUCAUAAUAAAGGUCCAUAUCACAAGUGGCAAUAUAAAGUGACGUUCUUUCGCAUUAAGAUUUUGUGCAUCCAACCAGAAAAACACAUGACAACCUCUUCUUCCCUCUGCGAAUGGCCUAUCUUUUAUCCUUGUCUUAUAUCUUAUACAAGAGUCAUGGUGAUCUUCACCUUUCCUUUUUAUAUUUUAUCCUUUGGCAAGCACAUUGUGUUGGAAAGAUCCUGAUAUAUAUAUAUCCAAUUGGAUGUAAGUUAGCAUGAACUAUUAUUGUUGACAUUACCCUUGAGGUAAAAGGUUGGGAGGCAACACUAUAAGCCCCUAUCUUUCUCUGUGUCCGAUUAAAACUCCAUAACCAUAAGUAUUGCGUGAGUGUUAGCAAUUGUGAAAGACUAAAUGAUAGUUGAGUAUGCGGACUUGCUGAAAAGCUCUUAUAUUGACUCUUUCCGAUGUUAUGAUAAAUUGCAAUUGCUUUAAAGGCCGAGAUCAUAGUUUGUUAGUUUUCAAUGAAGUUUCUGAUUCAUACUUGACAUUGUGAAUAGAUUGUUACUUUAGCAUAAGAAAUCAUGUGACAGUAUAUAUAUGUUGCUGUUAUAAGAAUGAUCAUGAUGCCCUCAUGUCCGUAUUUUAUUUUAUCGACACCUUUAUCUCUAAACAUGUGGACAUAUUUUUUGUUAUCGGUUUCCGCUUGAGGACAAGCGAGGUCUAAGCUUGGGGAGUUGAUACGUCCAUUUUGCAUCAUGCUUUUAUCUCGAUAUUUAUUGCAUUAUGGGUUGUUAUUACACAUUAUGUCACAAUACUUAUGCCUAUUCUCUUUCAAUUUACAAGGUUUACAUGAAGAGGGAGAAUGUCGACAACUGGAAUUCUGGGUUGGAAAAGGAGCAAAUAUUAGAGACCUAUUCUGCACAGCUCCAAAAGUCCUGAAACUUCAUGGAGGCACGUUUUGGAAUAUAUAUAAAAUAUUGGAGAAAGAAUCAACCAGAGGGGGCCCACACUCUAGCCACGAGGGUGGGGGCGCGCCCUACCCCCUGGGCGUGCCCCCCUGCCUCGUGGCCCCCUGGCAGGCCUUCGGUGCCCAUCUUCUACUAUAUGAAGUCUUUCACCCUAGAAAAAAUCAUCAGCAAGCUUUCGGGACGAAACACCGCCGCCACGAGGCGGAACCUUGGCGGAACCAAUCUAGGGCUCCGGCGGAGCUGUUCUGCUGAGGAAACAUCCCUCCAAGAGGGGGAAAUCAUCACCAUCAUCAUCACCAUCGAUCCUCUUAGCGGGAGGGGGUCAAUCUCCAUCAACAUCUUCAGCAGCACCAUCUCCUCUAAAACCCUAGUUCAUCUCUUGUAUCCAAUCUUUGUCCCAAAACCUCAGAUUGGUACCUGUGGGUUGCUAGUAGUGUUGAUUACUCGUUGUAGUUGGUGCUAGUUAGCUUAUUUGGUGGAAGAUCAUAUGUUCAGAUCCUUAAUGCAUAUUAAUACCCCUCUGAUUAUGAACAUGAAUAUGAUUUGUGAGUAGUUACGUUUGUUCCUGAGGACAUGGGAGAAGUCUUGCUAUAAGUAGUCAUGUGAAUUUGGUAUUCGUUCGAUAUUUUGAUGAGAUGUAUGUUGUCUUUCCUCUAGUGGUGUUAUGUGAACGUCGACUACAUGAGACUUCACCAUUGUUUGGGCCUAGAGAAAGGCAUUGGGAAGUAAUAAGUAGAUGAUGGGUUGCUAGAGUGACAGAAGCUUAAACCCUAGUUUAUGCGUUGCUUCGUAAGGGGCUGAUUUGGAUCCAUAUGUUUCAUGCUAUGGUUAGGUUUACCUUAAUACUUCUUCUGUAGUUGUGGAUGCUUGCAAUAGGGGUUAAUCAUAACUGGGAUGCUUGUCCAAGGAAGGGCAGUAACCAAGCAGCUGUCCACCCACAUAUCAAAUUAUCAAAGUAACGAACGCGAAUCAUAUGAGCGUGAUGAAAACUAGCUUGACGAUAAUUCCCAUAUGUUCUCGGGAGCGUUUUCCUUCAUAUAAGAGUUUGUCCAGGCUUGUCCUUUGCUACAAAAAGGAUUGGGCCAUCUUGCUGGACCUUAUUUACUUUCAUUACUUGUUACCCAUUACAAAUUACCUUAUCACAAAACUAUCUGUUACCGAUAAUUUCAGUGCUUGCAGAGAAUACCUUACUGAAAACCGCUUUUCGUUUCCUUGUGCUCCUCGUUGGGUUCGACACUCUUACUUAUCGAAAGGACUACGAUAGAUCCCCUAUAAUUGUAGGUCAUCAACCUCCCAGACAUGAAACCAAACUGAUUUUUGGUCACACUUGUCAUUCUUCUUAAGCGGUGCUCAAUGACUCUCGCCCAUAGCUUCAUCGUAUGGCCCAUUAGCUUAAUUCCACGGUAAUUAGUACAACUCUGAACAUCCCCCUUAUUCUUGAAGAUUGGUACUAACAUACUCCGUCUCCAUUCUUCUGGCAUCUUGUUUGCCCGAAAAAUAAGGUUGAAAAGCUUGGUUAGCCAUACUAUCGCUAUGUCCCAGAGACCUUUCCACACCUCAAUGGGGAUACAAUCAGGGCCCAUCUCCUUGCCUCCUUUCAUCCUUUUUAAAGCCUCCUUGACCUCAGACUCCUGGAUUCGCCGCACAAAACACAUGCAGGUCUCAUCAAAGGAGUCGUCCGGUUCAAUGGUAGAACUCUCAUUCUCCCCAUUGAACAGCUUGUCGAAGUACUCCCGCCAUCUAUGCUUAAUCUCCUCGUCCUUCAACAAGAGUUGGCCUGCUCCGUCCUUGAUGCAUUUGACUUGGCCAAUAUCCCUCGCCUUCCUCUCUCGGAUCUUGGCCAUCUUAUAGAUGUCCCUUUUGCCUUCCUUCGUGCAUAACCGUUGGUAGAGGUCCUCAUAUGCCCGACCCCUUGUUUCACUGAUGUAACACAUGCCAUAAUCAAAUUUAUCCACGUCGGUGCAAAACCCAAAGCCCCCAUCAUACAUUGUAAGAAACGCCAGUCCACCCUAUCAAAGGCUUUCGCCAAGUCCAACUUAUAUGCGCAAAAUUCCCCUCUGAAAUCUUUCAGCGUACUUAACGAAUGCAUACAUUCAAAGCUAUGAGAGCAUUGUCAGAAAUUAACCUUCCCGGAAUAAAUGCACUUUGAGUAGGCGAAAUCAUACCAUCAAGGAGCCGUCGCAGUGUGUUAACAAGGCAUUUGGAAAUAAUCUUGUAGAUAACAUUGCACAAACUGAUCGGCCUAAACUCUUUAAUAGACUGAGGAUUCUUAACUUUUGGGAUGAGAACAAUAGUUGUGUUAUUAAUCCCCUCUGGCAUAAUUCCAUAAUUAAAAAACUGCUGGACAGCUUUAACAAUAUCCUCCUUGAUCAAACCCAAUUUCGUUGGAAAAACCUUGCAGGGAAACCAUCCAGACCCGGAGCUUUUAACGGUCCCAUCUGAAAAAGCGCAUCACUAAUCUCUUGUUCCGAAAAUGGUUUGCAAAGCUCAUCAUUCAUAUCAUUAGAUACAAGGGGUUUGACCAACGAAAUAAUAUGUGACGGGUCAACGGAGUCGUCAACAGAAUAAAGAUUUUUAAAGAACGAGUUUGUUAUACCUUUCAUUUCCUCCAGAUUUUCCAUGAGACCCCCAUCAUCCUUCCUUAGUGCCGCACUUUGCUCUCCAUGAAGCCGUUCUCUGAAAAUAAUUAGUAUUACGAUCUCCUCCUCUUAUCUUAUCCAAACGAGAUAUUUGCUUCCAUAGCAUCUCUUCCUUUAUAAGCAGCUCAUCCAUCUCUUGAAGAAUUUUCUUCCUUUCCAUCACUGCAGAAUGAUCAUUCCUACUAAACAACACAUUUAGUGUUUUACGAGCCCACUCCAGUUUCUUUGGUAAAUAACCAAUAUGGACCCGACUCCACCCAUGAAGAGAUUUCAUUAAUUUGCCUACCUUAUUAGCAAUAUCUUCAACAUCAUUAAUAUUAGACUCUCUGUUCCAGCAAGCACUAAUCAGGUCGUCCAAAGCUCCACCUUCCCUCUCCCAAUAAGAUUCAUAUUUCAAUUGAUUAACAAAUCUACCCACCUGGUGAGUACCCAAAACCUCAACAAAAAUGGGACAAUGAUCAGACCUGGAGCUUACUAUGGGAUACCUUACAUCGAGGGAACAUUGAAGACCAAAGCGGGCAUGCCACCACACGAUCAAGACGCACCUUAACAUUCUUGUUUCCAUCUUGUUUGUUAUUAUACGUCCAAGGCACGCCAUGGUAACCCAAGUCAUAUAAAUUGCAAUCAGACAAAGCUUCACGAAAAUUAGCCAUUAGUCUAGUAGACCUCUUAUGAUGAGAGUAGUGCUCUUCUUGCCACAUAGCUUCGUUAAAAUCCCCCACCAUAAACCAAGCUCCAACACCAAGAGGUUUAAUCCAUCUCAAGAGAUCCCACAUAACAUACCUUUGACUCGUCUUAGGCUCACCGUAAAUGAAGGUGCACCUCCACUUUGUUCCCUCUCCCUUGUCGACGUACAAAUCAAUAAAGUGGUCACCAUAUUUGUUCAGCUCACAAGAGUACGCCUCAUCCCAAAACACAGCUAGUCCACCACCUUUACCAUGGCCGGAAAUAGUAAAAACAUUAUUCAUACCCAACCUAUAGCGCAAGCUCUCAACAUACUCUUUAUUCUUUCUUGUUUCAGAUAAAAAGAUAAUAUUGGGUAUGUGCGUCUUUGAGAGGCACACCAUGUAACAUCCCAAAAUUCUAAAUUUUUGGAAUGUUAUAAUAAAUAGAUAGAUUUGAUUGUUGUUGGAUUGUUGUGUGAUUGAUUGACUGAAAGUGAGUGAAAUUCGAAAUCUUUUGAAAGUUAAAUGAGAGGGAAUAAAAGGACUUUCCCAAACUUUCACUUUGCUUUUAUGAUCUCCAUGAAUUCAAAUUCUUUUCACCACAAAACCCUGGAGAGAAGAUGACAUGACUUCUUCCAUUUAUUUAAAUGACAAGGGGUGUUGAAGAUAUUUGAAUUUCAUUUGAAAAUAUUUCCCAUUUCUGAAACUUUAUGCAACUCAAUGAUUUUCACGAGAGAAGAUAAAAUGACUUCUUCAAAACAAAUGAAAUAUGCGUUCGGAGUUUCAAAGGAUUAAAUUCAAAGUCCCAUUGAAAUUAUUUUCAAUAUUGGAGUUAUUUGAGUUUUAUUCAAAUUAUUUUUCUCCAAAAUAAAAAUAUAUGGAAAAUAGGGUAACAUGAUUCCCUACAACAGAAAAUUGGAGAGAAAUAAAUUUGAAUUAAUUUUGGUAUUUUGAAAAUGAUUUUUAUUGGAUUUUAGUAGAGCAGUAGCACUCUUUGAUUUAUUUGAAUUUUUGUUGAUUUUAUUUAAAGCUAGAAAAAUGUCCAGUGGUUGGAAAUCUUUUUCUGAAAAUUUUGAUAUAUUAUAAGCCUAUAUAAUAUUUUAAUUUAUUUUGUUUUUCUUUUAUUUUUGCUUGACUGAAAAAAAACAAAAUUCCUUUGGACCGACCGGACCGGGCCGGCCCAGUUCGCCAGGCCACGGCCAGCCGGCCCACGCCGCUCGUCCCCGAGCCCCGGGCGGGAUUCCUCUCGCCGCACGCCGCCGCACCGCCUCGGCGUCCGUGCUCCAGCCGGACACGGCCGCCGCCUUGCCCUGCCCCCUCCUCCACGCCACCUCCUCCCCUCUCCUAUAAAACCCGAGGCCCCGGGCCCCGUUCCUCCUCCUCCGCCGCAACCGCCGCCCUCGCCGGAGCUCCCGCCCCGACGAGACCUGCCGCCGCCGCCGCGCUCCGUUCCGACUCCCCGAGCGCCGCCGACCCCCACCAACCUCACCGCCGCGCCACGCCGCCCCUUCCCCGCUACUCCGCAGUCGCCGCCGACGCCUGGAGCCGUCGCCCCGUUCAUCGCCGAGCCGCGGCCGUCGUCUUCUCCGGCGACGUCGACGCCCACCGCCGCGGUAAGCCACCGGUCACCCAGGUCCGUUCGAUCUAGGAUGGACGGCUAGGAUUAGAUCUCGUCGUUUUUUUUAUUUCCGAAUCGGUACACGUUAAAUAGAGAACGCUCGCUGUUUACCUCUUCGCAGCGAACACAUUCGUUAGUUAGCGUUCGGCAAACGAACGUUCACUAUUUAGCUUUUUCUUUUUCUGUUAUUUUCGGCCAGGGACCCAUAUGUGAAUAAUUUAUUUACAGAUUAGCCCCUGAUCUUCAAACAUCUAUAACUUUUUACUCGUUUGUGCAAAUCCAACGAAACCAACGCCCACUUCUUCGUUAUGAUCUCCUCUAACGAGAAAUCCAACUCAAACAUGUUUUUGAAAUUUUAAAAUUUGAAUUAGAUCAGAUUUGAAUUCAAACUUCUUUUGUUCAUAACUUAUGUUCUGUAACUCCGUUUGAGUUGAUUCUUUUUGCUAAUCAAAGCUCUUGACCUAAACUUUCUGAUAAGGCCAAAUUCAUGACAGAUGUGAGAUUGUUAAUAAUGGUUUACUUAAGGUGGCAACUAAAACUCACAUCUGGGUGGAUUGAGGCACCUGGAGAACCCAGUGUUGUCUGUUUGUAUAAGGACCGCCACCCAGGCUCAAAGGGAUCAUAAGAUUAUUCAUGCUAGAAACUUCCGUGUGCAGCCGCAAGCUAUUAUGGGCUCUAGCAUAGUUGAGUAAGUUGUGGGAAACCUUUCCAUGAUGGGCUAGCAGAUGUAGGGGAUUGUAGGUGUAACGCCCUAUCUAUCGGUUAAGGGGACCUCUUCGGAAAGACUGUGUCUCGGUCAUCCGUUUCUCAAACACCUUGUAGUGCGAGAAAUCCAACGGAGGCGAUCGAGUCUUGUGGGAAAAGUGCACAAACCUCUGCAGAGUGUACAAACUAAUCAUGAUUAGCCGUGUCCCCGGUUAUGGACAACUUGAGUAUCUAGUACCUGGAUUAUCAUGUGAAUCUCAUCAUCAUGUUACUUUAAUUAAUUUUGUUGGGUUAAUGAUGAUACUUAAUUGGGAUUGAGAUGCUGUCAACCAUCUCAAUGUUUCACAACCACCAUGAUAGUUAAAUAAAAUUUAUACCUUUGCAGUAGGGAAAAAUUGGGUUUUCGCAAAAACAUUAUAACCAUAGAGCUUUUCCACCAGCCAUAUAUGCAUGUAGUGAUAGCCCUUGUUCAUCAUUUCUCUAUGGUGUGAAUUUGCCAGCAUAUUCCAUGUGCUGACCCGUUUUCGGGCUGCAACGUUUCAUGUUGCAGGAUUCUUACGACGAGUAAGUGAUACGUUAGGGUUACGAUUUCUACACCCAACUUUGCCGUUGGUGUUGAUGGGAAUCCACAACCUUGUUACUUCCGCUAUUUUGGAUUGAGGUAAUAGUAUUUACGUUACUUUAUACAUGUGUUUUACCUCUGUUAUAAAUCCUCGAGUACCGUGUGUCAGCAUACCGAUCCAGGGAUGACACUUAAGCACAGAGACUUGAUCCAUUUGGGUCGGGUCGCUACAAGAUGGUAUCAGAGCACAUGUUGACUGUAGGACGUGACCCUAGAAACUGUCAAGCCCAUAGGAAGGAUUUCUCUAAAACUUUCCUUUUCAAAAAGAUCUUUUACCUCUCUUCUCUUCUGAGUUAAUUCAAAUAUUCCCUUUAAGUGAGACCAUAUCCUUUUUCCUAUUGGACCACUCGAAGAUUCGACGGAUGAGACCACUUCAAGAAGUACAAGAUAUCGGACAACCAAGACCACUACGGAAUGAAGGAGAUUCUACCGUGCAUCUGAAUAAUGAAAACUACAACAAUUGAAGACUCCGAAGACUAGGAGAAUUUGAAGGCUCUGAAGAAUUCCCAGAUUUGACCUAGUAAGCCUACCCCUAUGGAACUUGGCAGACCAUGGAAGUUGUCAAUGCCCGAGAUCAAGGUGUAUCGGAGAAAGACCGAAACAUGGAGAGUUAGAAACUCAAAGUUUUUGUUAAGAAACCCUAAGGCAGGAGAUAUCAACUAUGGAAUGAAAGCUCAUGGUAGUAACAUGGGCAUAAAUACGGAUACCCAUGGUGUUAUUACCCGUUUAUGCUAUUGUCACCGUGCGGAGUUAAGCAUGCAGAUGCAUGGAAGGAUUGGAUGGUAGAAGGCUGAUGGAGCACCUAUCAGCAAGAUGAAGUUUUAACUUUAGACCGGUGUAUCACCAGGAUCUGGAGUAUUACAUCAAGAAGUUUAGGAUGGACCUGCAGGAAGCUUUAUUGGACAAAGAAGUGUUUCGUGAAGAACUCAGAACCCAGAAACUCAAAGUAGCUAAGCUGGGAAAGCAAAACCUCGAGAUAACGGAGACUCGUCAGGAACUGAAGGACAGUAGUACCAGGGUUCAUGUCAAGGUUGAUGAAACCCAGAAGUUUGGAAUGCAACUCCAGAAUAUUCAAGGAUGUCACGAGAGACUUUGAGUCAACAGAGAUGAUCUGGCAAAAGAACUUGAGAAGGGCAAGCAUGAUUGGAAGAAGCCCAUCGGAGACAUGAACAAGACUUCAAGAUUUUGGCGACUUUGAAGAUUUUGACCUCUAGAAGACCCAACCCCUGUUAUAUGCCUACGUUAGAUGCGACGUUUGUGAGCUGUCAUUUGUUUGUUGUUUUUCCGACAGCCACAAUAAAAACCUGUCUUUUCAAGACUAUUGUUUGUAUUGUGUGUAUCCCUCUCGACCUCUCUUAUCUCACCCCAAACCCAUGGACCCAAUAGAGGAUGAAUGGAGAUGAGCUUGUAUUUUCUGGACCGAUGAGUCAAUUGGAGACGGACCGAUGGAUUCAGAACAUGGAGGAUCACAUGAAGAAUAACCCUAUAGUCGGAAAGGAUAUGACCCGGGAUGCUCUUCAAUGUUUUGAAAGAGGUGCUGCUACUUGGUGGAGGAUGUACCAAACCACCAAUGGAUGGCAAGGAGUAACCACUUGGAAAGAAUUUAAGUGGACUCUACAAAGAUCUCGUCUUGUGUCCCAGAAAUUGAAGCCUUAUGGAAAGGAUAUGAAGAAACCUUGUGCAUACAAGCCUUGUGGAGAAAUAGGACACAACCAUAAGGAACACAAGGAUGAAUGCCCUAAUUGUGAAGGAAGUCACCCAGCUGAAGAAUGCCCAACUCGGCAGAUCACUUGUAUCUUGUGUGAAGGGACUACCCACUACCCUGCCCAGUGUCACAUCUACCCCAUGGUACAAAGGACUAUCCAGCAGAAGAAAGAAGCAAUGAAAAGAGCCCUCAUGGAAAUUUUAGAGGAAUCUGUGAUGAAGGAAGAGGUGGAGGACACACCCAAAGAAGAACCAAUUAAACCCUGCACCAAGUCAUGCUAUUCAUGUGGAGAAGAAGGACACAUCUCCCAAAAUUGUCUGAAUGGGGAUUUAGUAGAAUUUCCGACAGAGGAAGUAGAGUUUGACCCACAGGAAAUAGAAGCCCUGAUUGGAACGGAAAAGUCCAGGAAGAGAAGUGGAUUGGAUGCCAGGAAAAACCCAAUUUCUACAAAGAGAGACCUGAGUCAUAUCACAUGUUUCAGGUGCAAAAAUUCAGGACACUACUUCAAUGAUUGCCCAAAAGGGAAGAUGAGGACCCCAGGAGGCUAUAUAAUCACAAGGAAACCCCGGGAUAUGUCAGAAGUAAUAUGUUUCCGUUGUGAUGAAGCAGGGCACUUUGCCAGAGAAUGCCCCAAGGAGACGGAGACUUGUGACAAAUAGUUGAGUGCAACGAGAAAUAAGUAGUAGUAGUGUGGACAUUUCUUUUAUUAGUGAGGUGUCGGAUUGAGGCAUGUAAUGAAAUGCAGGAGAUUGUAAUAAUUUGAGAAUCAAUAAAGUUAGCAUCAUUGGUAUUGAUUUGGAUUUUAUGAGUUGCUACUCUAUGAAGAAAGAUUUUGACCAUUUUCGAGGAUAUGAGAAAUAUGGUCUAUGGAAGAUUGUGCAUUUUAAGGGUGGUAGUACCCUGUGAGGAAACUUGACCCUUGGAAAAGGUAAUGAUAUUCCCCGAAGUGGAUUUCGAACAAAAUAAGUAUGAGUUUUAUCUCGAUAUGUUGGAUACCCGAAGAAUAUGAGGGUAUGGAGUAUUAUUGGAUGCAAGGGAGGUAGUCUAUGAAAUUGGAGACAGAACAUGUCUUCAUGUGUCCCCUCUGUGAGGAGUUAAACUAUUUGGAGUUAAGGGAAAGGUAGCCCCGAGAAUUGUAGGACCAUACCGAGUUUUGGAGCGUAUGGGAGAAGUGGCCAACAAGUUGGAGUCACCCGAAGGACUAUCAUGAGUUCAUGAUGUGUUUCACGUUUCCCAGUUGAAGAAGUGCCAUGCAGAGAUGGCCAUUAUUCCCCUGUAAGGACGCUUGACCCUGGAAAGGAUAAUGAUGUUCCACGAAGUGGAGUAUGGACUUCAUAAGUAUAAGUUUUUUUUCGGUAUGUGGGAUAUCCCACGAGGAUGAAGAGAUAAAUUACUAUUGAAUAUAAAGGAGGUAUGAUGUUGGAAAUAUGGAUCAAUGGAAAUUCCAUGAUGAGUCUGAGUAAUCAUGUCUUAGUUUGGUGCCAAUAGAAGGAAGGAAGACAGUACAAUUGGAUGGAUUUAAGAAUACCAGGAAGUUGGAUGUUGGAUUAAGGAUCAGUUGCCCGAUGAUAAGUUCAAGGAACUACAAGUGAUGAGAUGGGCCAUAACCCACAGGCCCAGGACCUGCCAAGAAGCAAGCACACUCUUGUUGAAGGGAAGACCCUGAAAGAAGUUACGAUUUUUAUCGACAGACGAUCUUAUAGGAGUUACGCAAAACCUGAGGGUUGGGAAGGAACGAUAGAUGUUUGUUUGGCUUGCAGAAUCUAUGGAUUUAUCCGAACUUGGUUCGUCGACAAGAGAAAUUCUGCAAUGCUUGCGAGGAUGACCGAGUGUUAGAAUGCGAGAUUCGCUAAACCAUGUACAAGGUAAUGAUUUGGGUGCGGGAUGGAUUGAUCACCAUACCGACUUACUCUUAUUGUUCGCUUUGCUACGUGGGAUGGAAAAUCUGAGUGACUUACCUAUAGUAGAGAUACGACGAUUUUAAACCUUGUUUAAACCUUAGAAUGGUAUAGGUAUUGUCCCUUGUACACGGCAGUUGUUGCCAAUCGUAGGUUAUACAGUGAGGAUCAACCAGACCCAUUUCCUGCAGGAGAAACCAUAAAUUGUUGACCACCAUGAGAUAUCGAUAGUUGUUUAGUUUUGGCGCCAGACCCGUUAGCUAAGAAGACCCAGUCAUGGAAGAACCAUACCAAGAUGAAAGGACACAGAAGAAUUGAGGAAAAGGUUAUGCCACCACCGGAAGAGCCCAGAGAAGGAAUUAUACUGAAGAUCUGAGAAGACCGACACUGUCAAGAAUAAUGGAUGGAGUAUAUGAGUUUUGACGGAACCGUAACAAUGUUUCUAAGGGUGGUAGCACCCCAGACCCCUGAGAUGAUCGAUGGAUUUUGAGAAGACCCCCAAACCCUAACCUAUUUCUUUCUAGCCUCUCCGAAUCUCGAGGACGAGAUUCAUUUUAAGGGUGGUAGGUUUGUAACAUCCCAAAAUUCUAAAUUUUUGGAAUGUUAUAAUAAAUAGAUAGAUUUGAUUGUUGUUGGAUUGUUGUGUGAUUGAUUGAUUGAAAGUGAGUGAAAUUCAUGACAGAUGUGAGAUUGUUAAUAAUGGUUUACUUAAGGUGGCAACUAAAACUCACAUCUGGGUGGAUUGAGGCACCUGGAGAACCCAGUGUUGUCUGUUUGUAUAAGGACCGCCACCCGGGCUCAAAGGGAUCAUAAGAUUAUUCAUGCUAGAAACUUCCGUGUGCAGCCGCAAGCUAUUAUGGGCUCUAGCAUAGUUGAGUAAGUUGUGGGAAACCUUUCCAUGAUGGGCUAGCAGAUGUAGGGGAUUGUAGGUGUAACGGCCUAUCUAUCGGUUAAGGGGACCUCUUCGGAAAGACUGUGUCUCGGUCAUCCGUUUCUCAAACACCUUGUAGUGCGAGAAAUCCAACGGAGGCAAUCGAGUCUUGUGGGAAAAGUGCACAAACCUCUGCAGAGUGUACAAACUAAUCAUGAUUAGCCGUGUCCCCGGUUAUGGACAACUUGAGUAUCUAGUACCUGGAUUAUCAUGUGAAUCUCGUCAUCAUGUUACUUUAAUUAAUUUUGUUGGGUUAAUGAUGGUACUUAAUUGGGAUUGAGAUGCUGUCAACCAUCUCAAUGUUUCAGAACCACCAUGAUAGUUAAAUAAAAUUUAUUCCUUUGCAGUAGGGAAAAAUUGGCUUUUCGCAAAAACAUUAUCACCAUAGAGCUUUUCCACCAGCCAUAUAUGCAUGUAGUGAUAGCCCUUGUUCAUCAUUUCUUUAUGGUGUGAAUUUGCGAGCAUAUUCCAUGUGCUGACCCGUUUUCGGGCUGCAACGUUUCAUGUUGCAGGAUUCUUACGACGAGUAAGUGAUACGUUAGGGUUACGAUUUCUACACUCAACUUUGCCGUUGGUGUUGAUGCGAAUCCACAACCUUGUUACUUCCGCUAUUUUGGAUUGAGGUAAUAGUAUUUACGUUACUUUAUACAUGUGUUUUACCUCUGUUAUAAAUCCUCGAGUACUGUGUGUGUCAGCAUACCGAUUCAGGGAUGACACUUAAGCACAGAGACUUGAUCCAUUUGGGUCGGGUCGCUACACACCAACUCUUGAACUGUACGAGGUUGACCCAAGCCUCGACAGUUCAAGAGUUGGUGUGCCUCUCAAAGACAUGUUUGACCCAAAAAUCAUACGAAAAGAUAGUUAUUGGCAACCUUGGCCUAAAAACACGGAUCUGUCAUGGUUUAUUAAGCUAGCAAUGCCUACUGACACAGUCAGUCUAUUAUUAAGCAUAAAGUAAAUACUUGACUAAUUAAAAAUUGGAUAAUGCCAUCAGUGUGUUUUGACGCAAGCUAGAAAAUAGAGUAAUUUUAAAAUUAAAUAUACAUGUAUCAAGUAACUGGUGCAGCUAGACUCGCAUGAUCUAGAUAAACAUUUAUUUUGUAACCCUAUCAUGUAAUUAAUUAAACAAAAACAUUUGCUAAGGAUUACAGAAAUUCUUAUGCGCAAACGGUUGAAUUCUUUUUAUGUUUCUAUCGAUAUUUUAUUUAAUGUUGUUUUAUCCAUCUCUUUGAUGUUUUUAUUUUUAUUUUUAAAUUUUUAUUUUGUUAUUUAUUUAUCGAAGUAUUUUUUAAUAUUUUGUUAUUUCUUUAUAUGUAUCAUCAAGACAAAAAGCUACGACUCCGUAUGCACUUGGUCACUUUCCUCUGUUGAGCCCAUAUUCCCUCACUCAUUCACUCAAAUGUGUUAGUUAAUCAGCCAUUUUUACAUGUGUUAAGUCUUACGGGAAAAAACAAACAAGUACAUGUGUUAAGUCUUAGGAAAAAAAAACAAGUGUACAUGAUGGCCACUAGAGAGUAGAGACUGGACACUAGAGCAGCAUAUAUACUAGCCACACUCCGUAGGCUCCAUCCGCUCGCCGUCAGCCAAAUAGGCUCGCCCUCGCCUCCUCUUCUCUUCUCUCGUCUCUUCCUUGCCUCCUCACAAUGCUCGCCAAAUGCUCACCAUUCACCUGCAAUGCAUCCACUGUGUGUCACCCUAGUUAACGCAAUGUUUCAUAAAUAAAAGGAAAUUUCAUGAAUUUACAAAAAUCAGCGGACCAAGGAUUGCCAUGACAGGAAAAAUUAACAAAAACUAUUUUUCUUCUUCUGAUUUUCAGUGUUUUUGCUGUUUUAUUUGAUAUUUUAUUUAUUUUUAGUUGGUUAUUUUUUCCUUUUCUCCUCUAGUGUUUAUUUUAUAUAUAAAAUAAUCAGUGAAUUCCGGUUUUUACCCUCUAUUUUGACAUUUUCCAUUAAUUACCCAAUUUAGUGGGAUUUAUCCAUUUUACCCCAUUUAGCAGAAGCGUUACCACAAUUUACCCCGUGGUGGCAAAUAUGUGGACCACUAGAGAGUGAGUAUAUAUUUCCUGAGCUGCUCUGGUGUGAUCGUAGCGAGCCUAACCUGUCGGAAGAAGCUAGCUAGGGCGAUGCAGUUCGGCGUGCAGAAAAAGCAUCAAGAAAAAACUAGCCGACGUGGCAUCCAAGUAGGUCUUACAAUUGGGACCCGUCGGUCAGAACACUCAUAAAUUUUAAGCAGGGUAAACUGUGGUAACACUUUUGUAAAUAUGGUAAAAUAGAUGAAAUUCCGCUAAAUAGGGUAGUUAGUGUAAAAAAUGUCAAAACAGUGGGUAAAAACAAGAAUUCACUCUAAAAAAUCUAAGCUAUUCUGGGUCACUUUUUGAUUAACGAAACUGAUCCAUGUUUAUUAAACGAAAUUGAUGCAUAUGCCGUGAUACGCAUGCAUGCUGAUUAAACAAAACUGAUGCAUUUCAAUCUUCGUAUGGGUGCGCGGACCUUUUUCUUUCCAUUUGCCUCACAGCUUAAUAAUAGAUUGAUGCAUCUCAAUCUUGGUAUCAUGGCGACCAAAACCAUGAAUUCCUUGCCCUUCACCCCCUCACUAAAGGUGUUGCCUCCACAUAUGCGAGGGCCACUUUGCUAGUUGAAGAAAAUAGUGGCAUAGAUUUAAAGCAAAAAACCAAAUCGAGAGCUUGUAUUUUUGAAAAUUCUUCAGUUCGUAUCAACUGCUCUUGGCAACAAUUCCACUUUCCCUGCUCUCCUCUAUUAUGGUCGCAAAGAUACGGUGCUGAUGCGAAGCUAGAGCAUAGAUGCCCUGUACGUUUUAAGAAAAAGGGUUUCUCCCGCUUUAUAGAUAAAGCAUUACCGAACAACCGAAUCCUGCCGAUACAAACACACAUACACACACACACACACACCACACCCAAGGCCAGAUACAAGGACGCUGAUAACAGCAACACUACCCCGACAAAAUCCUAGCCAACAUCAGCUGAACACAAUAAGCACUACUACGAAGAUGUCGGGGCCCUCAACCGUGGGCGGGCCACCGCGAAGAGGAGAAGUCUUGUAGGACGAACAAUGAGCUCCAAAGCGACGCCUUCGGCAAGGGAACCACACCAUUGUGUCGCCACCGCCCAAUCCAAGGAUUAGAGUUUCCCGCGGUGCACUCCGACGACAAAUGAGAAGCCGCGACGGCGCCUUCAAGAAGAGGACGACGCUAGAACGCCCGCGCCGUCGGCCUGGCAAAGCAGAACGGGUUUUCACCACCGGCAGGGGCACCCUGCCCCUCCCGAAGUCCCAUGCCACCACCGGCAGGCCUCGCGCGCACCACCACACCAUGGCGCCACCCCGACCCGACGAGCGCGUCGCUGAGUCCAAAGAAGAGGGAGGGAGCUCACCCGAGUCCGACGCAGAUGAACCGCCGCCGGAGAGACCCGCAGUUGCCGCGCGCAUAUCAGACAACCACCAGGCCACAGCAGCGCCGCUGCAGACCACCCCACUCCGAGGUCAAGACCGACCUCAGCCACCGUCCCGCGCCGCCCGCCGCCAUCCAGGAGCUUGAUCCGGGAGGGUCGGGCCGGAUCCGCGCCAGCACGGCACCGCCCAGAUCGGGAAUCCCAGCGGCCGCCACGCCACAAACGAGCCUGCCACUCGACGUCGUGUCCCCACCAGGCAACCCCGCCGCCGAACUCCGAGCUCGCCGCCGCGCCGCCGGCCCUGCCAAAGACCGGCGCCCCCACUCGACCGGCUGUCUCACGCCAGCCGUGGAGCACGAGGGCGAGGAAGAAGAAGCCCCGCCGCCGCCCCCACCGGCCGGGCUUCGCCCGACGGCGUCGCUGGGCGGCGGCGAGGGAGGAGAGCAGAGGAGAGGGAGGACGGGUCACGGCGGCUAGGGUUCCCCCCGGUCGCUCGCGAGAGCGACACGGGAGGGGAGGGGAGAGGGAUUAUAUCCCGUGAUGCCCUGUACGUUUUGUGGGGAAAUGGGUACUUGGAUUUGGAUAGAAGAAACAAUCAAGCACCUUUUCAAUCAUUAACAGAGAAACUGAAACACUAACCAUUACUGAUAAAAAAAACCUAACCAUUACAUACGUAAUACAAAAUGAAUAUAUGGAGAAAAAAAUGGAGAAAUUAAUCAAUUCGGCUGCUGCACACGGAUUAAUUGCUUGUUCAUCAUCACAAUACAAUUAGCAAGACACCUUUUGUGCCAUGACAAUGACAUACAUCAAAGCUAAGCAAGACUAGUACAUCAUCUCUUGGAUCAUCUCCUGGAUGCAGGUUUCGGAGUUCUUCAUCACGCACUCGGCCCUCACGUGGUGAAAGGAUCCACUCUCCUAGACUAGUACAGUCGUGUCGUCGCACAAGCCGAGCAGCUCAUCUAACGNNNNNNNNNNNNNNNNNNNNNNNNNNNNNNNNNNNNNNNNNNNNNNNNNNNNNNNNNNNNNNNNNNNNNNNNNNNNNNNNNNNNNNNNNNNNNNNNNNNNNNNNNNNNNNNNNNNNNNNNNNNNNNNNNNNNNNNNNNNNNNNNNNNNNNNNNNNNNNNNNNNNNNNNNNNNNNNNNNNNNNNNNNNNNNNNNNNNNNNNNNNNNNNNNNNNNNNNNNNNNNNNNNNNNNNNNNNNNNNNNNNNNNNNNNNNNNNNNNNNNNNNNNNNNNNNNNNNNNNNNNNNNNNNNNNNNNNNNNNNNNNNNNNNNNNNNNNNNNNNNNNNNNNNNNNNNNNNNNNNNNNNNNNNNNNNNNNNNNNNNNNNNNNNNNNNNNNNNNNNNNNNNNNNNNNNNNNNNNNNNNNNNNNNNNNNNNNNNNNNNNNNNNNNNNNNNNNNNNNNNNNNNNNNNNNNNNNNNNNNNNNNNNNNNNNNNNNNNNNNNNNNNNNNNNNNNNNNNNNNNNNNNNNNNNNNNNNNNNNNNNNNNNNNNNNNNNNNNNNNNNNNNNNNNNNNNNNNNNNNNNNNNNNNNNNNNNNNNNNNNNNNNNNNNNNNNNNNNNNNNNNNNNNNNNNNNNNNNNNNNNNNNNNNNNNNNNNNNNNNNNNNNNNNNNNNNNNNNNNNNNNNNNNNNNNNNNNNNNNNNNNNNNNNNNNNNNNNNNNNNNNNNNNNNNNNNNNNNNNNNNNNNNNNNNNNNNNNNNNNNNNNNNNNNNNNNNNNNNNNNNNNNNNNNNNNNNNNNNNNNNNNNNNNNNNNNNNNNNNNNNNNNNNNNNNNNNNNNNNNNNNNNNNNNNNNNNNNNNNNNNNNNNNNNNNNNNNNNNNNNNNNNNNNNNNNNNNNNNNNNNNNNNNNNNNNNNNNNNNNNNNNNNNNNNNNNNNNNNNNNNNNNNNNNNNNNNNNNNNNNNNNNNNNNNNNNNNNNNNNNNNNNNNNNNNNNNNNNNNNNNNNNNNNNNNNNNNNNNNNNNNNNNNNNNNNNNNNNNNNNNNNNNNNNNNNNNNNNNNNNNNNNNNNNNNNNNNNNNNNNNNNNNNNNNNNNNNNNNNNNNNNNNNNNNNNNNNNNNNNNNNNNNNNNNNNNNNNNNNNNNNNNNNNNNNNNNNNNNNNNNNNNNNNNNNNNNNNNNNNNNNNNNNNNNNNNNNNNNNNNNNNNNNNNNNNNNNNNNNNNNNNNNNNNNNNNNNNNNNNNNNNNNNNNNNNNNNNNNNNNNNNNNNNNNNNNNNNNNNNNNNNNNNNNNNNNNNNNNNNNNNNNNNNNNNNNNNNNNNNNNNNNNNNNNNNNNNNNNNNNNNNNNNNNNNNNNNNNNNNNNNNNNNNNNNNNNNNNNNNNNNNNNNNNNNNNNNNNNNNNNNNNNNNNNNNNNNNNNNNNNNNNNNNNNNNNNNNNNNNNNNNNNNNNNNNNNNNNNNNNNNNNNNNNNNNNNNNNNNNNNNNNNNNNNNNNNNNNNNNNNNNNNNNNNNNNNNNNNNNNNNNNNNNNNNNNNNNNNNNNNNNNNNNNNNNNNNNNNNNNNNNNNNNNNNNNNNNNNNNNNNNNNNNNNNNNNNNNNNNNNNNNNNNNNNNNNNNNNNNNNNNNNNNNNNNNNNNNNNNNNNNNNNNNNNNNNNNNNNNNNNNNNNNNNNNNNNNNNNNNNNNNNNNNNNNNNNNNNNNNNNNNNNNNNNNNNNNNNNNNNNNNNNNNNNNNNNNNNNNNNNNNNNNNNNNNNNNNNNNNNNNNNNNNNNNNNNNNNNNNNNNNNNNNNNNNNNNNNNNNNNNNNNNNNNNNNNNNNNNNNNNNNNNNNNNNNNNNNNNNNNNNNNNNNNNNNNNNNNNNNNNNNNNNNNNNNNNNNNNNNNNNNNNNNNNNNNNNNNNNNNNNNNNNNNNNNNNNNNNNNNNNNNNNNNNNNNNNNNNNNNNNNNNNNNNNNNNNNNNNNNNNNNNNNNNNNNNNNNNNNNNNNNNNNNNNNNNNNNNNNNNNNNNNNNNNNNNNNNNNAGUAAAAAAAAAGACAUGUUUUUUUUAAUAAAACGCCAUACAUUAAUUAAUUAAUAAUGUUAUUACAAUCAUUCAUUACAAAAUUCGCCACACAGGGCGGAACGCGAUUAAGAAGAAUCCCAUCAGAUUUACUUAUAAAGCUACACUUCGCAAUUUCAUGAGCCACCUUAUUGGCGUUCCGAUUAAUUUUCGCAAUUUUAAAAUUCUUAAGCAUCUUUGAUAUACUCAAGGCUUCUUUCUUUAGAUCAACGAGCGAGGACCUGUCCAGAUUCUCAUUUGCAAGGAAAGAACGGACAAAAGCACAACCAGUCUCCAAAAUAAUGGACUCGUGAAGAGUAAUACCUAUAUAAAGGCCUGCUAGGCAAGCACGCAGCUCAGCUUCAUUCACACUGUAGCACUGACCCAGAAAGUCCCACGCAGAUAUAAUAACUUCGCCAGAUGAGUUCCUAACAACCACCCCCACACUGGCCGCAGUAAUACUCUCCACAUAGCUGGCAUCGACAGUGAUCUUGAUAUAAUCUUCUGGUGGAGGUUUCCAACCCACCUGUUGUUGUGAUGUUGCGAAAACUGGUGUUGCACCUCCCAUUUUUUAUUUACCUUUGUUACUAGGAACAACCUCGACAGUGUCAUGACAGGACGUAAAAGAAGACCAAUAGUUUACCACAAAAAUUGCACAAGCAGCAAUGGAUUCCUGCCCUUUUCCAAAAAUUAAAUCAUUUCUCAUGUGCCAUGCUCGCCAGAAAAGAAACAAAACUUGCUCUCACUGUUGCAGGCUCAAAUGAUCCAACAUAAUCAAUAGCCAAUCUGGCCCCGAGAAUUUGAACCACUCUUCAUCAGGAAUAUUCCAUGAUUCUCCCAAGGCGAGUCGCAGAGCACGAGCCUUAGAACAAGUAACGAGGGCAUGAAAAGUGCUUUCAUCUUCUACUCCACAAAUAGAGCACAUACCUGAAGUAACCUGAUGGUGCUUAACUUUAUUGGUCUGGACUGCCAAGCUAUUGGUUGCGGCCCUCCAGGCAAAAAUCCUUAUCUUCUGAGGGAUAUUAGCCUUCCAAAUUAAAUUUCAGAGCCUUCUUUCUCCACAUGGAUCUCCACUAGAUUGACCCAAUUUAUCUUGACUAUCCUUCAACUUAAUUGCUAAAUUGUACGCAUUUUAACAGAAAACAUACCGUUCUUCUCAUAGUGCCACGCAAUAAAAUCCCCAUCCCCAUAAGCAUGAAUACGAAUCUUAAGAAUCUCCUCUGCGUCAUGGGGAUAGAAAAGCUACUUAAUNNNNNNNNNNAAAUUUUCAUCCCAUACCUUUCUCCCGCUCAAGAACAAAUCAGAGACCCAUCUCAAUCUAGUAUUAUGCCUUUUAGCAGAAAUUUUAAGGCCAGUGCUCCUGGAUAACCAAUUAUCCCUCCAAAUAUUAAUACUAGAUCCAUCACCCACCCGCCAAAUGACGUCAUUUUGAAGUAAUUCCAGACCAUGCAUAAUACCUUGCCAAGUGAGUGAUGCAGACUCAGGAAACACUGUAUCAAGAAUAUGUCCCUGAGGAUAAUACUUUGCCUUCAUAAGCUUAGCACACAAUGAAUCCGGAUAAACCAAUAACCUCCACGCUUGUUUGGCUAAGAGGGCUUGGUUAAAUAAUCUGAGAUCCUGAAAUCCCAUACCACCCUUACCUUUAGACCUUGUUAAUUUGUCCCAUGCUAACCAAUGUGUUUUUCUUCGAUCUUCCUCAUCUCCCCACCAAAAAUUCCUGAUAAUCUGAGUUAACUCCUCACAAAGGGAAGCCGGGAACUUAAAAAUACCCAUAGCAUGCACAGGUAGAGCUUGAAUAACUGAUUUUAUUAAGUCUUCUUUCACGCCACAAGAAGCGUAUUUCUCUAUCCAGUCAGAGAGCCUUUUCAAAACCUUCUCUUUAGUAGAUUGAAACUUACCAGCUUUCAUUCUUCCCUCAGGAACCGGAAGUCCAAGAUAUUUAUCUUCGAAACCAUCGACCGUAAUUUUUAAGAUUACCAUUAUAGCCAGUUGAUUCUCCAAACUACACUUUUUCCCAAACAUCAUGGAACACUUAUCAGGACAUAAUAACUGCCCAGUCCCUUUCUCGUACUCCGUCAAAAUAUUUUUAAUGACAACUGCUUGAUCAAUGGAGCCUUUGAAAAAUAACAUAUUGUCGUCCGCAAACAGCAAGUGAGAAAUACCUAGGGCUUGUCUAUUCAAAUGGAACUCGUGAAGAACUCCCCUGGUAGAAGCAUCUUUAAGCAGUAAAGAAAGUGCCUCGGCAACAAAUAGGAACAAAUACGCGGAUAAAGGAUCUCCCUGCCUGAGCCCCCGAGAUGGUGAAAACUUCUCCAACAAUUGUCCGUUGAAGCGCACCGCAAAUUUCACUGAUGUAACACAUGCCAUAAUCCAAUUUAUCCACGUCAGUGCAAAACCCAAAGCCCCCAUCAAACAUUGUAAGAAACGCCAGUCCACCCUAUCAAAGGCUUUCGCCAGGUCCAACUUAUAUGCGCAAAAUUCCCCUCUGAAAUCUUUCAGCGUACUUAACGAAUGCAUACAUUCAAAAGCUAUGAGAGCAUUGUCAGAAAUUAACCUUCCCGGAAUAAAUGCACUUUGAGUAGGCGAAAUCAUACCAUCAAGGAGCCGUCGCACUCUGUUAACAAGGCAUUUGGAAAUAAUCUUAUAGAUAACAUUGCACAAACUGAUCGGCCUGAACUCUUUAAUAGUCUGAGGAUUCUUAACUUUUGGGAUGAGAACAAUAGUUGUGUUAUUAAUCCCCUCUGGCAUAAUUCCAUAAUUAAAAAACUGUUGGACAGCCUUAACAAUAUCCUCCUUGAUCAAAACCAAUUUCGUUGGAAAAACCUUGCAGGGAAACCAUCCAGACCCGGAGCUUUUAACGGUCCCAUUUGAAAAAGCGCACCACUAAUCUCUUGUUCCGAAAAUGGUUUGCAAAGAUCAUCAUUCAUAUCAUCAGAUACAAGGGGUUUGACCAACGAAAUAAUAUGUGACGGGUCAACGGAGUCGUCAACAGAAUAAAGAUAUUUAAAGAACGAGUUUGUUAUACCUUUCAUUUCCUCCAGAUUUUCCGUGAGACCCCCAUCAUCCUUCCUUAGUGCCGCACUUCUUUGCUCUCCAUGAAGCCGUUCUCUGAAAAUAAUUAGUAUUACGAUCUCCUCCUCUUAUCUUAUCCAAACGAGAUCUUUGCUUCCAUAGCAUCUCUUCCUUUAUAAGCAGCUCAUCCAUCUCUUGAAGAAUUUUCUUCCUUUCCAUGACUGCAGAAUGAUCAUUCCUACUAAACAACACAUUUAGUCUUUUACGAGCCCACUCCAGUUUCUUUGGUAAAUAACCAAUAUGGACCCGACUCCACCCAUGAAGAGAUUUCAUUAAUUUGUCUAACUUAUUAGCAAUAUCUUCAAGAUCAUUAAUAUUAGACUCUCUAUUCCAGCAAGCACUAAUCAGGUUGUCCAAAGCUCCACCUUCCCUCUCCCAAUAAGAUUCAUAUUUCAACUGAUUAACAAAUCUACCCACCCGGUGAGUACCCAAAACCUCAACAAAAAUGGGACAAUGAUCAGACCUGGAGCUUAUUACAUGGGAUACCUUACAUCGAGGGAACAUUGAAGACCAAAGCGGGCAUGCCACCGCACGAUCAAGACGCACCUUAACAUUCUUGUUUCCAUCUUGUUUGUUAUUAUACGUCCAAGGCACGCCAUGAUAACCCAAGUCAUAUAAAUUGCAAUCAGACAAAGCUUCACGAAAAUUAGCCAUUAGUCUAGUAGACCUCUUAUGACGAGAGUAGUGCUCUUCUUGCCACAUAGCUUCGUUAAAAUCCCCCACCAUAAACCAAGCUCCAACACCAAGAGGUUUAAUCUGUCUCAAGAGAUCCCAGAUAACAUACCUUUGACUCGCCUUAGGGUCACCGUAAAUGAAGGUGCACCUCCACUUUGUUCCCUCUCCCUUGUCAACGUACAAAUCAAUAAAGUGGUCACCAUAUUUGUUCAGCUCACAAGAGUACGCCUCAUCCAAAAACACAGCUAGUCCACCACCUUUACCAUGGCCAGAAACAGUAAAAACAUUAUUCAUACCCAACCUACAGCGCAAGCUCUCAACAUACUCUUUAUUCUUUCUUGUUUCAGAUAAAAAGAUAAUAUUGGGUAUGUGCGUCUUUGAGAGGCACACCAACUCUUGAACUGUACGAGGUUGACCCAAGCCUCGACAGUUCAAGAGUUGGUGUGCCUCUCAAAGACAUGUUUGACCCAAAAAUCAUACGAAAAGAUAGUUAUUGGCAACCUUGGCCUAAAAACACGGAUCUGUCAUGGUUUAUUAAGCUAGCAAUGCCUACUGACACAGUCAGUCUAUUAUUAAGCAUAAAGUAAAUACUUGACUAAUUAAAAAUUGGAUAAUGCCAUCAGUGUGUUUUGACGCAAGCUAGAAAAUAGAGUAAUUUUAAAAUUAAAUAUACAUGUAUCAAGUAACUGGUGCAGCUAGACUCGCAUGAUCUAGAUAAACAUUUAUUUUGUAACCCUAUCAUGUAAUUAAUUAAACAAAAACAUUUGCUAAGGAUUACAGAAAUUCUUAUGCACAAACGGUUGAAUUCUUUUUAUGUUUCUAUCGAUAUUUUAUUUAAUGUUGUUUUAUCCAUCUCUUUGAUGUUUUUAUUUUUAUUUUGUUAUUUAUUUAUCGAAGUAUUUUUUAUAUUUUGUUAUUUCUUUAUAUGUAUCAUCAAGACAAAAAGCUACGACUCCGUAUGCACUUGGUCACUUUCCUCUGUUGAGCCCAUAUUCCCUCACUCAUUCACUCAAAUGUGUUAGUUAAUCAACCAUUUUUACAUGUGUUAAGUCUUACGGGAAAAAACAAACAAGUACAUGUGUUAAGUCUUAGGAAAAAAAACAAGUGUACAUGAUGGCCACUAGAGAGUAGAGACUGGACACUAGAGCAGCAUAUAUACUAGCCACACUCCGUAGGCUCCAUCCGCUCGCCGUCAGCCAAAUAGGCUCGCCCUCGCCUCCUCUUCUCUUCUCUCAUCUCUUCCUUGCCUCCUCACAAUGCAUUCCAAAUGCUCACCAUUCACCUGCAAUGCAUCCACUGUGUGUCACCCUAGUUAACGCAAUGUUUCAUAAAUAAAAGGAAAUUUCAUGAAUUUACAAAAAUCAGCGGACCAAGGAUUGCCAUGACAAGAAAAAUUAACAAAAACUAUUUUUCUUCUUCUGAUUUUCAGUGUUUUUGCUGUUUUAUUUGAUCUUUUAUUUAUUUUUAGUUGGUUAUUUUUUUUCCUUUUCUCCUCUAGUGUUUAUUUUAUAUAUAAAAUAAUCAGUAAAUUCCGGUUUUUACCCUCUAUUUUGACAUUUUUUCACUAAUUACCCCAUUUAGUGGGAUUUAUCCAUUUUACCCCAUUUAGCAGAAGCCUUACCACAAUUUACCCCGUGGUGGCAAAUAUGUGGACCACUAGAGAGUGAGUAUAUGUUUCCUGAGCUGCUCUGGUGUGAUCAUAGCGAGCCUAACCUGUCGGAAGAAGCUAGCUAGCGCGAUGCAGUUCGGCGUGCAGAAAAAGCAUCAAGAAAAAACCAGCCGAUGUGGCCUCCAAGUAGGUCUUACAAUUGGGACCCGUCGGUCAGAACACUCAUAAAUUUUAAACAGGGUAAACUGUGGCAACACUUUUGUAAAUAGGGUAAAAUAGAUGAAAUUCCGCUAAAUAGGGUAGUUAGUGUAAAAAUGUCAAAACAGAGGGUAAAAACAAGAAUUCACUCUAAAAAAAAUAAGCUAUUCUGGGUCACUUUUUGAUUAACGAAACUGAUCCAUGUUUAUUAAACGAAAUUGAUGCAUAUGCCGUGAUACUCAUGCAUGCUGAUUAAACAAAACUGAUGCAUUUCAAUCUUCGUAUGGGUGCGCGGACCUUUUUCUUUCCAUUUGCCUCACAGCUUAAUAAUUGAUUGAUGCAUCUCAAUCUUGGUAUCAUGGCGACCAAAACCAUGAAUUCCUUGCCCUUCACCCCCUCACUAAAGGUGUUGCCUCCACAUAUGCGAGGGCCACUUUGCUAGUUGAAGAAAAUAGUGGCGCAGAUUUAAAGAAAAAAACCAAAUUGAGAGCUUGUAUUUUUGAAAAUUCUUCAGUUCGUAUCAAUUGCUCUUGGCAACAAUUCCACUUUCCCUACUCUCCUCUGUUAUGGUCGCAAAGAUAGGGUGCUGAUGCGAAGCUAGAGCAUAGAUGCCCUAUACGUUUUAAGAAAAAGGGUUUCCCCCGCUUUAUAGAUAAAGCAUUACCGAACAACCGAAUCCUGCCGACACAAACAAACACACACACACACACACACACACACACACACCACACCCAAGGCCGGAUGCAAGGACGCUGAUAACAGCAACACUACCCCGACAAAAUCCUAGCCAACAUCAGAUGAACACAAUAAGCACUACUAGGAAGAUGUCGGGGCCCUCAACCGUGAGCAGGCCACCGCGAAGAGGAGAAGUCGUGUAGGACGAACAAUGAGCUCCAAAGCGACGCCUUCAGCAAGGGAACGACACCAUUGUGUCGACACCGCCAAAUCCAAGGAUUAGAGUUUCCCCCGGAGCACUCCGACGACAAAUGAGAUGCCGCGACGGCGCCUUCAAGAAGAUGACGACGCUAGAACGCCGGUGCCGUCGGCCUGGCAAAGCAGAACGGGUUUUCACCACCGGCAGGGGCACCCUGCCCCUUCCCGAAGUCCCAUGCCGCCACCGGCAGGCCUCGCGUGCACCACCACGCCAUGGCGCCACCCCGACCCGACGAGCGCGUCGCUGAGUCCAAAGAAGAGGGAGGGAGCUCACCCGAGUCCGACGCAGACGAACCGCCGACGGAGAGACCCGCAGUUGCCGCGCGCAUAUCAGACAACCACCAGGCCACAGCAGCGCCGCUGCAGACCACCCCACUCCGAGGUCAAGACCGACCUCAGCCACCGUCCCGCGCCGCCCGCGGCCAUCCAGGAGCUUGAUCCGGGAGGGUCGGGCCGGAUCCGCGCCAGCACGGCACCGCCCAGAUCGGGAAUCCCAGCGGCCGCCACGCCACAAACGAGCCUGCCACUCGACGUCGUGUCCCCACCAGGCAACCCCGCCGCCGAACUCCGAGCACGCCGCCGCGCCGCCGGCCCUGCCAAAGACCGGCGCCCCCACUCGACCGGCUGUCUCACGCCAGCCGUGGAGCACGAGGGCGAGGAAGAAGAGGCCCCGCCGCCGCCCCCACCGGUCGGGCUUCGCCCGACGGCGUCGCUGGGCGGCGGCGAGGGAGGAGAGCAGAGGAGAGGGAGGACGGGUCACGGCGGCUAGGGUUCCCCCCGGUCGCUCGCGAGAGCGACACGGGAGGGGAGGGGAGAGGGAUUAUAUCCCGUGAUGCCCUGUACGUUUUGUGGGGAAAUGGGUACUUGGAUUUGGAUAGAAGAAACAAUCAAGCACCUUUUCAAUCAUUAACAGAGAAACUGAAACACUAACCAUUACUGAUAAAAAAAACCUAACCAUUACAUACGUAAUACAAAAUGAAUAUAUGGAGAAAAAAAUGGAGAAAUUAAUCAAUUCGGCUGCUGCACACGGAUUAAUUGCUUGUUCAUCAUCACAAUACAAUUAGCAAGACACCUUUUGUGCCAUGACAAUGACAUACAUCAAAGCUAAGCAAGACUAGUACAUCAUCUCUUGGAUCAUCUCCUGGAUGCAGGUUUCGGAGUUCUUCAUCACGCACUCGGCCCUCACGUGGUGAAAGGAUCCACUCUCCUAGACUAGUACAGUCGUGUCGUCGCACAAGCCGAGCAGCUCAUCUAACGCGCACCGAAAGGCGUCGUCUUCAUCCUCUGCAGCGCUAGUGCCUUCUUGGACUUCGCCGUCGAGUUUGCCGGGCAAGAACCCCUGCGCCACCACAGCGUCAUGGAGCUCGGGAAAAUCUUGAAGCAUGUCGUCGGUGAAGAACCCGCCUGGAUCGACGCUGCCGUCGUCCACAGCUCCGGACCCGGGUUGUUGGACGAUCGGCGGUUCCUGGCGGCGUGGGGUUUGGGGACGUGGAGCAUCCGGGUGCUGGACGUCGGCGGCCUUCCUUUUCCUGGAACCGGGAGCAUUGAUUACCUCGUGGUAUGUGGUCUCGCUCCUGUGACGAGACACGCAGACCUUGCAGAGCACCAAGCCGUCUUGCUUGUCAUCGCUGUACUCGUUCAUGCACCAGCCGAUCCUGAUCCUCUCUUUCUCUCCCGGCAACUUCUUGACGUAGCUGAGGUUUCGUCUAUGGCCUACGAGUUUACCUUGGUUGUCUAGCACGGGGAUCCCACCCUUCUCCGAGUGCCAGUAGUAACCCUCGCCGGCGUCGGCCACGCCACGCUGUCGCCUCCCGCCACCGCGGCCGGCUUUGGUCUGGUGAUGACGGGCAGGGGUGAAGAAGUACCAGACGCCCCCUUUCCCGUCGCCCUUGUCCGUUCCUUGCGCGUGUUGAUACAUCUCGACGAGGUCGCCGGGGGCGGCGGAGUAGGCGUCGAACUCGUGGAUGAGGCGGCUGGCGAAGAAGGCGUCGGCGAUCCGUGGGCGGAGGAACUUGGUGAUCAGCUCGUGCUCGGCUGGGUCGAAGGCGUAGCCGGCGGGAGGAUCCAGCUUGCCGUCGGCCAUCGCAGAGCUAGCUACGCACGUACGAGAUGGAUCAAGUAGCUAGGUAUGUACGUGUAACCCUGAACUCGCUAGCUGCUUGCCAUCUGGGUACCUAGCUUAUAUAGAUGGAUCGACAGCGAGCCCGCCCGGGAUUCAGUUUCCUUGACCGGUCAUACGUACGUGUCCUAAGCAAUCCGUACAUGAAAUGGAUUAGUACAGCAAUCCGUACAUAAAAUGGACUAGUGCAGCACGCCCCAUGAUGCUCCGUCGCUGCACCGACCUUGCUCCAUUGCAGCUCGCGUCGCUGCACCUUGCCGCUCGGUAAUACUCAGCAUGCUUCGACGGACAUGGUGAUGCUACGAGGCGUGCUACAUCGACCGCCGCGAUGGCGCAACAUCAUCCGGACUGCUUUGAUGAAGCUGCGACAGCCACGGCGUUGACAUUUCGACAUGCUUCAAACACCCAUGGUGUGCUUUGACGGCCACGACAAUGCUUCAACGGUAGACUUCGACGGUCGCGGUGAUGUUACGGGACGUGCUUCGACGACCAUGGCAAUGAUGCGGCAACAUGCUUCUAACGUCGGUGUUGUACUUGGAUGGCAGCGAUGAUGUUGUGACGACAUGGUUGGACAGCCACGACGUCCUGCUUCGACAACCACGAUGAUGUUGCGGCAACGUGUUCCACGGCCACGAAAGUGUUACAAUGAUGGGCAUGGCUGCACCAAUGAUAAUGCAACGACCACAGCGGUGCGGCAACGGCGACCCGGCUGCUUCGAUGAUGCUAUGAUGCCAUGCUUCGAAGAAGGUGGUGGCGUCAAUGGUGCUACUCUAAACAUUAGCAACCUUCACUUUACCACAAUCAGCAUCGAGAAAGAUGGUGUUCUAGUAUUUGUACCAUCACAUGUGUAGUUACCUAGCAAAAUCAUUGCAUAUGGAGUACGUUAAAAAAGAUCAUUUAAAUAGGCAGUCGUCCGAACGCUACCACAUGUCACGAACUUUGGAUACUUUUGCGUGUGGAAGACAGAGCAUUCGCUACCUUCCUGUGUGGGAGAUAGUGCUCGCGCCACACGAUCAUGUGGGAUCGGACGGCUCCGGACGUGAUUGAUAAAGACAAGAAAUCAUCCGACUUAUUUAAAACAUUUUCCCUCGCCGAAUGCUCACCUUUUACUCGCAAUGGCCACUUAUCGGUUAGCCUGGUUGACGCAUUUCUGUUUGUUUGUGACUUUGCAGUGUUUUUGCUGCUUUAUUUGUUCUUUUAUAUAUUUUUACUGGCCUUUCUUAUUUUAUCAACUUAUGAUUAUUUUAUUAUAUUAUAAAAAAUAUGUCUGUUUUAUUCUAGGUAAUCCUUUUUAUGCACUAUUGACAGAAAUAGUUCGUAUUAAAAAGGUGCUUACUCAUUUCAAAAUAUAUAAUACAUUUGAAUUUUUUUAUAUAUUCUAAAUAAAAUGUUCUUAUACUUUUGAAUAUGAUUUACCUAUUUCAAAAAAUAUUCAUUUAGUUCGUAAAAAAAUCUUUUAUUCAAAACGAAAUUACAUGUAUUCGCAAAGAGUGUUCACGUAUUUCUAAAAAUGUCCAUGUAAUUAUUAAAGUAUUCUCACAUUUAAAAAUAUAUUCACAUAAGUUUGGAAAAUAAUCAUUUACGACAUAAAAUAGAAAAUACACUGGAAAUUUUUUAUCGCGUAUUAAAAAAAUACUCAUCAUAUAUUAAAUAAAUUUCAUUCUGUUAAAAAAUAUUCAUCAUUUAUUUAAAAUACAUACGUUGUGUUUUUAAAAGGUCAUGUGUAAUGUUAUUUUCUAAUUGCAUAAGUAAAGUAAGUAAGAAGAAAAUCACAGAAAAUAAAGAAAGAGAAAAAUGUGGGAAAAGAACAACAAAUAAUAGGGAAAUGAAAAAAAAGAGGCAAAGAUAAUUAAAAGAAUUCAAGAAAAAAUUUGAUAAAAAAACCCACAAGAAACUAGUCGAAAACAAGAAAAAAGAUAAUAUCAUGAACAAAAAUCAGGCAGAAACACGAAGAAGAGAGCCAUGUGUUCAACGAACCUAAAAGUAAUCAGCACAUCGCAUGUGCGUAUCGGGCCAUCAUCCUUCCUUAGUGCCGCACUUUGCUCUCCAUGAAGCCGUUCUCUGAAAAUAAUUAGUAUUACGAUCUCCUCCUCUUAUCUUAUCCAAACGAGAUCUUUGCUUCCAUAGCAUCUCUUCCUUUAUAAGAAGCCCAUCCAUCUCUUGAAGAAUUUUCUUCCUUUCCAUCACUGCAGAAUGAUCAUUCCUACUAAACAACACAUUUAGUCUUUUACGAGCCCACUCCAGUUUCUUUGGUAAAUAACCAAUAUGGACCCGACUCCACCCAUGAAGAGAUUUCAUUAAUUUGUCUAACUUAUUAGCAAUAUCUUCAAGAUCAUUAAUAUUAGACUCUCUAUUCCAGCAAGCACUAAUCAGGUCGUCCAAAGCUCCACCUUCCCUCUCCCAAUAUGAUUCAUAUUUCAACUGAUUAACAAAUCUACCCACCCGGUGAGUACCCAAAACCUCAACAAAAAUGGGACAAUGAUCAGACCUGGAGCUUAUUAUAUCGGAUACCUUACAUCGAGGGAACAUUGAAGACCAAAGCGGGCAUGCCACCGCACGAUCAAGACACACCUUAACAUUCUUGUUUCCAUCUUGUUUGUUAUUAUACGUCCAAGGCACGCCAUGAUAACCCAAGUCAUAUAAAUUGCAAUCAGACAAAGCUUCACGAAAAUUAGCCAUUAGUCUAGUAGACCUCUUAUGACGAGAGUAGUGCUCUUCUUGCCACAUAGCUUCGUUAAAAUCCCCCACCAUAAACCAAGCUCCAACACCAAGAGGUUUAAUCCGUCUCAAGAGAUCCCAGAUAACAUACCUUUGACUCGCCUUAGGGUCACCGUAAAUGAAGGUGCACCUCCACUUUGUUCCCUCUCCCUUGUCGACGUACAAAUCAGUAAAGUGGUCACCAUAUUUGUUCAGCUCACAAGAGUACGCCUCAUCCCAAAACACAGCUAGUCCACCACCUUUACCAUGGCCAGAAAUAGUAAAAACAUUAUUCAUACCCAACCUACAGCGCAAGCUCUCAACAUACUCUUUAUUCUUUUCUUGUUUCAGAUAAAAAGAUAAUAUUGGGUAUGUGCGUCUUUGAGAGGCACACCAACUCUUGAACUGUACGAGGCUCAACCUCGUACAGUUCAAGAGUUGGUGUGCCUCUCAAAGACAUGUUUGACCCAAAAAUCAUACGAAAAGAUAGUUAUUGGCAACCUUGGCCUAAAAACAUGGAUCUGUCAUGGUUUAUUAAGCUAGCAAUGCCUACUGACACAGUCAGUCUAUUAUUAAGCAUAAAGUAAAUACUUGACUAAUUAAAAAUUGGAUAAUGCCAUCAGUGUGUUUUGACGCAAGCUAGAAAAUAGAGUAAUUUUAAAAUUAAAUAUACAUGUAUCAAGUAACUGGUGCAGCUAGACUCGCAUGAUCUAGAUAAACAUUUAUUUUGUAACCCUAUCAUGUAAUUAAUUAAACAAAAACAUUUGCUAAGGAUUACAGAAAUUCUUAUGCACAAACGGUUGAAUUCUUUUUAUGUUUCUAUCGAUAUUUUAUUUAAUGUUGUUUUAUCUAUCUCUUUGAUGUUUUUAUUUUCAUUUUUAAAAUUUUAUUUUGUUAUUUAUUUAUCGAAGUAUUUUUUAUAUUUUGUUAUUUCUUUAUAUGUAUCAUCAAGACAAAAAGCUACGACUCCGUAUGCACUUGGUCACUUUCCUCUGUUGAGCCCAUAUUCCCUCACUCAUUCACUCAAAUGUGUUAGUUAAUUAGCCAUUUUUACAUGUGUUAAGUCUUACGGGAAAAAACAAACAAGUACAUGUGUUAAGUCUUAGGAAAAAAAACAAGUGUACAUGAUGGCCACUAGAGAGUAGAGACUGGACACUAGAGCAGCAUAUAUACUAGCCACACUCCGUAGGCUCCAUCCGCUCGCCGUCAGCCAAAUAGGCUCGCCCUCGCCUCCUCUUCUCUUCUCUCAUCUCUUCCUUGCCUCCUCACAAUGCAUUCCAAAUGCUCACCAUUCACCUGCAAUGCAUCCACUGUGUGUCACCCUAGUUAACGCAAUAUUUCAUAAAUAAAAGGAAAUUUCAUGAAUUUACAAAAAUCAGCGGACCAAGGAUUGCCAUGACAAGAAAAAUUAACAAAAACUAUUUUUCUUCUUCUGAUUUUCAGUGUUUUUGCUGUUUUAUUUGAUCUUUUAUUUAUUUUUAGUUGGUUAUUUUUUCCUUUUCUCCUCUAGUGUUUAUUUUAUAUAUAAAAUAAUCAGUGAAUUCCAGUUUUUACCCUCUAUUUUGAAAAUUUUCCAAUAAUUACCCCAUUUAGUGGGAUUUAUCCAUUUUACCCCAUUUAGCAGAAGCGUUACCACAAUUUACCCCGUGGUGGCAAAUAUGUGGACCACUAGAGAGUGAGUAUAUGUUUCUUGAGCUGCUCUGAUGCGAUCAUAGCGAGCCUAACCUGUCGGAAGAAGCUAGCUAGGGCGAUGCAGUUUGGCGUGCAGAAAAAGCAUCAAGAAAAAACCAGCCGAUCUGGCAUCCAAGUAGGUCUUACAAUUGGGACCCGUCGGUCAGAACACUCAUAAAUUUUAAACAGGGUAAACUGUGGCAACACUUUUGUAAAUAGGGUAAAAUAGAUGAAAUUCCGCUAAAUAGGGUAGUUAGUGUAAAAAUGUCAAAACAGAGGGUAAAAACAAGAAUUCACUCUAAAAAAUCUAAGCUAUUCUGGGUCACUUUUUGAUUAACGAAACUGAUCCAUGUUUAUUAAACGAAAUUGAUGCAUAUGCCGUGAUACCCAUGCAUGCUGAUUAAACAAAACUGAUGCAUUUCAAUCUUUGUAUGGGUGCGCGGACCUUUUUCUUUCCAUUUGCCUCACAGCUUAAUAAUUGAUUGAUGCAUCUCAAUCUUGGUAUCAUGGCGACCAAAACCAUGAAUUCCUUGCCCUUCACCCCCUCACUAAAGGUGUUGCCUCCACAUAUGCGAGGGCCACUUUGCUAGUUGAAGAAAAUAGUGGCGGAGAUUUAAAGAAAAAAACCAAAUCGAGAGCUUGUAUUUUUGAAAAUUCUUCAGUUCGUCUCAAUUGCUCUUGGCAACAAUUCCACUUUCCCUACUCUCCUCUGUUAUGGUCGCAAAGAUAGGGUGCUGAUGCAAAGCUAGAGCAUAGAUGCCCUGUACGUUUUAAGAAAAAGGGUUUCCCCCGCUUUAUAGAUAAAGCAUUACCGAACAACCGAAUCCUGCCGAUACAAACACACACACACACACACACACACACACACCACACCCAAGGCCGGAUACAAGGACGCUGAUAACAGCAACACUACCCCGACAAAAUCCUAGCCAACAUCAGAUGAACACAAUAAGCACUACUACGAAGAUGUCGGGGCCCUCAACCGUGAGCAGGCCACCGCGAAGAGGAGAAGUCGUGUAGGACGAACAAUGAGCUCCAAAGCGACGCCUUCAGCAAGGGAACGACACCAUUGUGUCGCCACCGCCAAAUCCAAGGAUUAGAGUUUCCCCCGGAGCACUCCGACGACAAAUGAGAUGCCGCGACGGCGCCUUCAAGAAGAGGACGACGCUAGAACGCCGGCGCCGUCGGCCUGGCAAAGCAGAACGGGUUUUCACCACCGGCAGGGGCACCCUGCCCCUUCCCGAAGUCCCAUGCCGCCACCGGCAGGCCUCGCGCGCACCACCACACCAUGGCGCCACCCCGACCCGACGAGCGCGUCGCUGAGUCCAAAGAAGAGGGAGGGAGCUCACCCGAGUCCGACGCAGACGAACCGCCGCCGGAGAGACCCGCAGUUGCCGCGCGCAUAUCAGACAACCACCGGGCCACAGCAGCGCCGCUGCAGACCACCCCACUCCGAGGUCAAGCCGACCUCAGCCACCGUCCCGCGCUGCCCGCCGCCAUCUAGGAGCCGGAUCCGGGAGGGUCGGGCCGGAUCCGCGCCAGCACGCCACCGCCCAGAUCGGGAAUCCCAGCGGCCGCCACGCCACAAACGAGCCUGCCACUCGACGUCUUGUCCCCACCAGGCAACCCCACCGCCGAACUCCGAGCACGCCGCCGCGCCGCCGGCCCUGCCAAAGACCGGCGCCCCCACUCGACCGGCUGUCUCACGCCAGCCGUGGAGCACGAGGGCGAGGAAGAAGAGGCCCCGCCGCCGCCCCCACCGGCCGGGCUUCGCCCGACGGCGUCGCUGGGCGGCGGCGAGGGAGGAGAGCAGAGGAGAGGGAGGACGGGUCACGGCGGCUAGGGUUCCCCCCGGUCGCUCGCGAGAGCGACACGGGAGGGGAGGGGAGAGGGAUUAUAUCCCGUGAUGCCCUGUACGUUUUGUGGGGAAAUGGGUACUUGGAUUUGGAUAGAAGAAACAAUCAAGCACCUUUUCAAUCAUUAACAGAGAAACUGAAACACUAACCAUUACUGAUAAAAAAAACCUAACCAUUACAUACGUAAUACAAAAUGAAUAUAUGGAGAAAAAAAUGGAGAAAUUAAUCAAUUCGGCUGCUGCACACGGAUUAAUUGCUUGUUCAUCAUCACAAUACAAUUAGCAAGACACCUUUUGUGCCAUGACAAUGACAUACAUCAAAGCUAAGCAAGACUAGUACAUCAUCUCUUGGAUCAUCUCCUGGAUGCAGGUUUCGGAGUUCUUCAUCACGCACUCGGCCCUCACGUGGUGAAAGGAUCCACUCUCCUAGACUAGUACAGUCGUGUCGUCGCACAAGCCGAGCAGCUCAUCUAACGCGCACCGAAAGGCGUCGUCUUCAUCCUCUGCAGCGCUAGUGCCUUCUUGGACUUCGCCGUCGAGUUUGCCGGGCAAGAACCCCUGCGCCACCACAGCGUCAUGGAGCUCGGGACAAUCUUGAAGCAUGUCGUCGGUGAAGAACCCGCCUGGAUCGACGCUGCCGUCGUCCACAGCUCCGGACCCGGGUUGUUGGACGAUCGGCGGUUCCUGGCGGCGUGGGGUUUGGGGACGUGGAGCAUCCGGGUGCUGGACGUCGGCGGCCUUCCUUUUCCUGGAACCGGGAGCAUUGAUUACCUCGUGGUAUGUGGUCUCGCUCCUGUGACGAGACACGCAGACCUUGCAGAGCACCAAGCCGUCUUGCUUGUCAUCGCUGUACUCGUUCAUGCACCAGCCGAUCCUGAUCCUCUCUUUCUCUCCCGGCAACUUCUUGACGUAGCUGAGGUUUCGUCUAUGGCCUACGAGUUUACCUUGGUUGUCUAGCACGGGGAUCCCACCCUUCUCCGAGUGCCAGUAGUAACCCUCGCCGGCGUCGGCCACGCCACGCUGUCGCCUCCCGCCACCGCGGCCGACUUUGGUCUGGUGACGACGGGCAGGGGUGAAGAAGUACCAGACGCCCCCUUUCCCGUCGCCCUUGUCCGUUCCUUGCGCGUGUUGAUACAUCUCGACGAGGUCGCCGGGGGCGGCGGAGUAGGCGUCGAACUCGUGGAUGAGGCGGCUGGCGAAGAAGGCGUCGGCGAUCCGUGGGCGGAGGAACUUGGUGAUCAGCUCGUGCUCGGCUGGGUCGAAGGCGUAGCCGGCGGGAGGAUCCAGCUUGCCGUCGGCCAUCGCAGAGCUAGCUACGCACGUACGAGAUGGAUCAAGUAGCUAGGUAUGUACGUGUAACCCUGAACUCGCUAGCUGCUUGCCAUCUGGGUACCUAGCUUAUAUAGAUGGAUCGACAGCGAGCCCGCCCGGGAUUCAGUUUCCUUGACCGGUCAUACGUACGUGUCCUAAGCAAUCCGUACAUGAAAUGGAUUAGUACAGCAAUCCGUACAUAAAAUGGACUAGUGCAGCACGCCCCAUGAUGCUCCGUCGCUGCACCGACCUUGCUCCAUUGCAGCUCGCGUCGCUGCACCUUGCCGCUCGGUAAUACUCAGCAUGCUUCGACGGACAUGGUGAUGCUACGAGGCGUGCUACAUCGACCGCCGCGAUGGCGCAACAUCAUCCGGACUGCUUUGAUGAAGCUGCGACAGCCGCGGCGUUGACAUGUCGACAUGCUUCAAACACCCAUGGUGUGCUUUGACGGCCACGACAAUGCUUGAACGGCAGACUUCGACGGUCGCGGUGAUGCUACGGGACGUGCUUUGACGACCAUGGCAAUGGUGCGGCAACAUGCUUCUAACGUCGGUGCUGUACUUGGAUGGCAGCGAUGAUGUUGUGACGACAUGGUUGAACAGCCACGACGUCCUGCUUCGACAACCACGAUGAUGUUGCGGCAACGUGUUCCACGGCCACGAAAGUGUUACAAUGAUGGGCAUGGCUGCACCAACGAUAAUGCAACGACCACAGCGGUGCGGCAACGGCGACCGGGCUGCUUCGAUGAUGCUAUGAUGCCAUGCUUCGAAAAAGGUGGUGGCGUCAAUGGUGCUACUCUAAACAUUAGCAACCUUCACUCGACCACAAUCAGCAUCGAGAAAGAUGGUGUUCUAGUAUUUGUACCAUCACAUGUGUAGUUACCUAGCAAAAUCACUGCAUAUGGAGUACGUUAAAAAAGAUCAUUUAAAUAGGUAGUCGUCCGAACGCUACCACAUGUCACGAACUUUGAAUACUUUUGCGUGUGGAAGACAGAGCAUUCGCUACCUUCCUGUGUGGGAGAUAGCGCUCGUGCCACACGAUCAUGUGGGAUCGGACGGCUCCGGACGUGAUUGAUAAAGACAAGAAAUCAUCCGACUUAUUUAAAACAUUUUCCCUCGCCGAAUGCUCACCUUUUACUCGCAAUGGCCACUUGUCGGUUAGCCUGGUUGACGCAUUUCUGUUUGUUUGUGACUUUGCAGUGUUUUUGCUGCUUUAUUUGUUCUUUUAUAUAUUUUUACUGGCCUUUCUUAUUUUAUCAACUUAUGAUUAUUUUAUUAUAUUAUAAAAAAUAUGUCUGUUUUAUUCUAGGUAAUCCUUUUUAUUUGCACUAUUGACAGAAAUAGUUCGUAUUAAAAAGGUCCUUACUCAUUUCAAAAUAUAUAAUACAUUUGAAUUUUUUUUAUAUAUUCUAAAUAAAAUAUUCUUGUACUUUUGAAUAUGAUUUACCUAUUUCGAAAAAUAUUCAUUUAGUUCGUAAAAAAAUCUUUUAUUCAAAACGAAAUUACAUGUAUUCGCAAAGAGUGUUCACGUAUUUCUAAAAAUGUCCAUGUAAUUAUUAAAGUAUUCUCACAUUUAAAAAUAUAUUCACAUAACUUUGGAAAAUAAUCAUUUACGACAUAAAAUAGAAAAUACACUGGAAAUUUUUUAUCGCGUAUUAAAAAAAUAUUCAUCAUAUAUUAAAUAAAUUUCAUUCUGUUAAAAAAUAUUCAUCAUUUAUUUAAAAUACAUACGUUGUGUUUUUAAAAGGUCAUGUGUAAUGUUAUUUUCUAAUUGCAUAAGUAAAGUAAGUAAGAAGAAAAUCACAGAAAAUAAAGAAAGAGAAACAUGUGGGAAAAGAACAACAAAUAAUAGGGAAAUGAAAAAAAGAGGCAAAGAUAAUUAAAAGAGUUCAAGAAAAAAAUUGAUAAAAANNNNNNNNNNAGUAAAAAAAAAGACAUGUUUUUUUUAAUAAAACGCCAUACAUUAAUUAAUUAAUAAUGUUAUUACAAUCAUUCAUUACAAAAUUCGCCACACAGGGCGGAACGCGAUUAAGAAGAAUCCCAUCAGAUUUACUUAUAAAGCUACACUUCGCAAUUUCAUGAGCCACCUUAUUGGCGUUCCGAUUAAUUUUCGCAAUUUUAAAAUUCUUAAGCAUCUUUGAUAUACUCAAGGCUUCUUUCUUUAGAUCAACGAGCGAGGACCUGUCCAGAUUCUCAUUUGCAAGGAAAGAACGGACAAAAGCACAACCAGUCUCCAAAAUAAUGGACUCGUGAAGAGUAAUACCUAUAUAAAGGCCUGCUAGGCAAGCACGCAGCUCAGCUUCAUUCACACUGUAGCACUGACCCAGAAAGUCCCACGCAGAUAUAAUAACUUCGCCAGAUGAGUUCCUAACAACCACCCCCACACUGGCCGCAGUAAUACUCUCCACAUAGCUGGCAUCGACAGUGAUCUUGAUAUAAUCUUCUGGUGGAGGUUUCCAACCCACCUGUUGUUGUGAUGUUGCGAAAACUGGUGUUGCACCUCCCAUUUUUUAUUUACCUUUGUUACUAGGAACAACCUCGACAGUGUCAUGACAGGACGUAAAAGAAGACCAAUAGUUUACCACAAAAAUUGCACAAGCAGCAAUGGAUUCCUGCCCUUUUCCAAAAAUUAAAUCAUUUCUCAUGUGCCAUGCUCGCCAGAAAAGAAACAAAACUUGCUCUCACUGUUGCAGGCUCAAAUGAUCCAACAUAAUCAAUAGCCAAUCUGGCCCCGAGAAUUUGAACCACUCUUCAUCAGGAAUAUUCCAUGAUUCUCCCAAGGCGAGUCGCAGAGCACGAGCCUUAGAACAAGUAACGAGGGCAUGAAAAGUGCUUUCAUCUUCUACUCCACAAAUAGAGCACAUACCUGAAGUAACCUGAUGGUGCUUAACUUUAUUGGUCUGGACUGCCAAGCUAUUGGUUGCGGCCCUCCAGGCAAAAAUCCUUAUCUUCUGAGGGAUAUUAGCCUUCCAAAUUAAAUUUCAGAGCCUUCUUUCUCCACAUGGAUCUCCACUAGAUUGACCCAAUUUAUCUUGACUAUCCUUCAACUUAAUUGCUAAAUUGUACGCAUUUUAACAGAAAACAUACCGUUCUUCUCAUAGUGCCACGCAAUAAAAUCCCCAUCCCCAUAAGCAUGAAUACGAAUCUUAAGAAUCUCCUCUGCGUCAUGGGGAUAGAAAAGCUACUUAAUNNNNNNNNNNAAAUUUUCAUCCCAUACCUUUCUCCCGCUCAAGAACAAAUCAGAGACCCAUCUCAAUCUAGUAUUAUGCCUUUUAGCAGAAAUUUUAAGGCCAGUGCUCCUGGAUAACCAAUUAUCCCUCCAAAUAUUAAUACUAGAUCCAUCACCCACCCGCCAAAUGACGUCAUUUUGAAGUAAUUCCAGACCAUGCAUAAUACCUUGCCAAGUGAGUGAUGCAGACUCAGGAAACACUGUAUCAAGAAUAUGUCCCUGAGGAUAAUACUUUGCCUUCAUAAGCUUAGCACACAAUGAAUCCGGAUAAACCAAUAACCUCCACGCUUGUUUGGCUAAGAGGGCUUGGUUAAAUAAUCUGAGAUCCUGAAAUCCCAUACCACCCUUACCUUUAGACCUUGUUAAUUUGUCCCAUGCUAACCAAUGUGUUUUUCUUCGAUCUUCCUCAUCUCCCCACCAAAAAUUCCUGAUAAUCUGAGUUAACUCCUCACAAAGGGAAGCCGGGAACUUAAAAAUACCCAUAGCAUGCACAGGUAGAGCUUGAAUAACUGAUUUUAUUAAGUCUUCUUUCACGCCACAAGAAGCGUAUUUCUCUAUCCAGUCAGAGAGCCUUUUCAAAACCUUCUCUUUAGUAGAUUGAAACUUACCAGCUUUCAUUCUUCCCUCAGGAACCGGAAGUCCAAGAUAUUUAUCUUCGAAACCAUCGACCGUAAUUUUUAAGAUUACCAUUAUAGCCAGUUGAUUCUCCAAACUACACUUUUUCCCAAACAUCAUGGAACACUUAUCAGGACAUAAUAACUGCCCAGUCCCUUUCUCGUACUCCGUCAAAAUAUUUUUAAUGACAACUGCUUGAUCAAUGGAGCCUUUGAAAAAUAACAUAUUGUCGUCCGCAAACAGCAAGUGAGAAAUACCUAGGGCUUGUCUAUUCAAAUGGAACUCGUGAAGAACUCCCCUGGUAGAAGCAUCUUUAAGCAGUAAAGAAAGUGCCUCGGCAACAAAUAGGAACAAAUACGCGGAUAAAGGAUCUCCCUGCCUGAGCCCCCGAGAUGGUGAAAACUUCUCCAACAAUUGUCCGUUGAAGCGCACCGCAAAUUUCACUGAUGUAACACAUGCCAUAAUCCAAUUUAUCCACGUCAGUGCAAAACCCAAAGCCCCCAUCAAACAUUGUAAGAAACGCCAGUCCACCCUAUCAAAGGCUUUCGCCAGGUCCAACUUAUAUGCGCAAAAUUCCCCUCUGAAAUCUUUCAGCGUACUUAACGAAUGCAUACAUUCAAAAGCUAUGAGAGCAUUGUCAGAAAUUAACCUUCCCGGAAUAAAUGCACUUUGAGUAGGCGAAAUCAUACCAUCAAGGAGCCGUCGCACUCUGUUAACAAGGCAUUUGGAAAUAAUCUUAUAGAUAACAUUGCACAAACUGAUCGGCCUGAACUCUUUAAUAGUCUGAGGAUUCUUAACUUUUGGGAUGAGAACAAUAGUUGUGUUAUUAAUCCCCUCUGGCAUAAUUCCAUAAUUAAAAAACUGUUGGACAGCCUUAACAAUAUCCUCCUUGAUCAAAACCAAUUUCGUUGGAAAAACCUUGCAGGGAAACCAUCCAGACCCGGAGCUUUUAACGGUCCCAUUUGAAAAAGCGCACCACUAAUCUCUUGUUCCGAAAAUGGUUUGCAAAGAUCAUCAUUCAUAUCAUCAGAUACAAGGGGUUUGACCAACGAAAUAAUAUGUGACGGGUCAACGGAGUCGUCAACAGAAUAAAGAUAUUUAAAGAACGAGUUUGUUAUACCUUUCAUUUCCUCCAGAUUUUCCGUGAGACCCCCAUCAUCCUUCCUUAGUGCCGCACUUCUUUGCUCUCCAUGAAGCCGUUCUCUGAAAAUAAUUAGUAUUACGAUCUCCUCCUCUUAUCUUAUCCAAACGAGAUCUUUGCUUCCAUAGCAUCUCUUCCUUUAUAAGCAGCUCAUCCAUCUCUUGAAGAAUUUUCUUCCUUUCCAUGACUGCAGAAUGAUCAUUCCUACUAAACAACACAUUUAGUCUUUUACGAGCCCACUCCAGUUUCUUUGGUAAAUAACCAAUAUGGACCCGACUCCACCCAUGAAGAGAUUUCAUUAAUUUGUCUAACUUAUUAGCAAUAUCUUCAAGAUCAUUAAUAUUAGACUCUCUAUUCCAGCAAGCACUAAUCAGGUUGUCCAAAGCUCCACCUUCCCUCUCCCAAUAAGAUUCAUAUUUCAACUGAUUAACAAAUCUACCCACCCGGUGAGUACCCAAAACCUCAACAAAAAUGGGACAAUGAUCAGACCUGGAGCUUAUUACAUGGGAUACCUUACAUCGAGGGAACAUUGAAGACCAAAGCGGGCAUGCCACCGCACGAUCAAGACGCACCUUAACAUUCUUGUUUCCAUCUUGUUUGUUAUUAUACGUCCAAGGCACGCCAUGAUAACCCAAGUCAUAUAAAUUGCAAUCAGACAAAGCUUCACGAAAAUUAGCCAUUAGUCUAGUAGACCUCUUAUGACGAGAGUAGUGCUCUUCUUGCCACAUAGCUUCGUUAAAAUCCCCCACCAUAAACCAAGCUCCAACACCAAGAGGUUUAAUCNNNNNNNNNNNNNNNNNNNNNNNNNNNNNNNNNNNNNNNNNNNNNNNNNNNNNNNNNNNNNNNNNNNNNNNNNNNNNNNNNNNNNNNNNNNNNNNNNNNNNNNNNNNNNNNNNNNNNNNNNNNNNNNNNNNNNNNNNNNNNNNNNNNNNNNNNNNNNNNNNNNNNNNNNNNNNNNNNNNNNNNNNNNNNNNNNNNNNNNNNNNNNNNNNNNNNNNNNNNNNNNNNNNNNNNNNNNNNNNNNNNNNNNNNNNNNNNNNNNNNNNNNNNNNNNNNNNNNNNNNNNNNNNNNNNNNNNNNNNNNNNNNNNNNNNNNNNNNNNNNNNNNNNNNNNNNNNNNNNNNNNNNNNNNNNNNNNNNNNNNNNNNNNNNNNNNNNNNNNNNNNNNNNNNGUCUCAAGAGAUCCCAGAUAACAUACCUUUGACUCGCCUUAGGGUCACCGUAAAUGAAGGUGCACCUCCACUUUGUUCCCUCUCCCUUGUCAACGUACAAAUCAAUAAAGUGGUCACCAUAUUUGUUCAGCUCACAAGAGUACGCCUCAUCCAAAAACACAGCUAGUCCACCACCUUUACCAUGGCCAGAAACAGUAAAAACAUUAUUCAUACCCAACCUACAGCGCAAGCUCUCAACAUACUCUUUAUUCUUUCUUGUUUCAGAUAAAAAGAUAAUAUUGGGUAUGUGCGUCUUUGAGAGGCACACCAACUCUUGAACUGUACGAGGUUGACCCAAGCCUCGACAGUUCAAGAGUUGGUGUGCCUCUCAAAGACAUGUUUGACCCAAAAAUCAUACGAAAAGAUAGUUAUUGGCAACCUUGGCCUAAAAACACGGAUCUGUCAUGGUUUAUUAAGCUAGCAAUGCCUACUGACACAGUCAGUCUAUUAUUAAGCAUAAAGUAAAUACUUGACUAAUUAAAAAUUGGAUAAUGCCAUCAGUGUGUUUUGACGCAAGCUAGAAAAUAGAGUAAUUUUAAAAUUAAAUAUACAUGUAUCAAGUAACUGGUGCAGCUAGACUCGCAUGAUCUAGAUAAACAUUUAUUUUGUAACCCUAUCAUGUAAUUAAUUAAACAAAAACAUUUGCUAAGGAUUACAGAAAUUCUUAUGCACAAACGGUUGAAUUCUUUUUAUGUUUCUAUCGAUAUUUUAUUUAAUGUUGUUUUAUCCAUCUCUUUGAUGUUUUUAUUUUUAUUUUGUUAUUUAUUUAUCGAAGUAUUUUUUAUAUUUUGUUAUUUCUUUAUAUGUAUCAUCAAGACAAAAAGCUACGACUCCGUAUGCACUUGGUCACUUUCCUCUGUUGAGCCCAUAUUCCCUCACUCAUUCACUCAAAUGUGUUAGUUAAUCAACCAUUUUUACAUGUGUUAAGUCUUACGGGAAAAAACAAACAAGUACAUGUGUUAAGUCUUAGGGAAAAAAACAAGUGUACAUGAUGGCCACUAGAGAGUAGAGACUGGACACUAGAGCAGCAUAUAUACUAGCCACACUCCGUAGGCUCCAUCCGCUCGCCGUCAGCCAAAUAGGCUCGCCCUCGCCUCCUCUUCUCUUCUCUCAUCUCUUCCUUGCCUCCUCACAAUGCAUUCCAAAUGCUCACCAUUCACCUGCAAUGCAUCCACUGUGUGUCACCCUAGUUAACGCAAUGUUUCAUAAAUAAAAGGAAAUUUCAUGAAUUUACAAAAAUCAGCGGACCAAGGAUUGCCAUGACAAGAAAAAUUAACAAAAACUAUUUUUCUUCUUCUGAUUUUCAGUGUUUUUGCUGUUUUAUUUGAUCUUUUAUUUAUUUUUAGUUGGUUAUUUUUUUUCCUUUUCUCCUCUAGUGUUUAUUUUAUAUAUAAAAUAAUCAGUAAAUUCCGGUUUUUACCCUCUAUUUUGACAUUUUUUCACUAAUUACCCCAUUUAGUGGGAUUUAUCCAUUUUACCCCAUUUAGCAGAAGCGUUACCACAAUUUACCCGGUGGUGGCAAAUAUGUGGACCACUAGAGAGUGAGUAUAUGUUUCCUGAGCUGCUCUGGUGUGAUCAUAGCGAGCCUAACCUGUCGGAAGAAGCUAGCUAGCGCGAUGCAGUUCGGCGUGCAGAAAAAGCAUCAACAAAAAACCAGCCGAUGUGGCCUCCAAGUAGGUCUUACAAUUGGGACCCGUCGGUCAGAACACUCAUAAAUUUUAAACAGGGUAAACUGUGGCAACACUUUUGUAAAUAGGGUAAAAUAGAUGAAAUUCCGCUAAAUAGGGUAGUUAGUGUAAAAAUGUCAAAACAGAGGGUAAAAACAAGAAUUCACUCUAAAAAAAAAGCUAUUCUGGGUCACUUUUUGAUUAACGAAACUGAUCCAUGUUUAUUAAACGAAAUUGAUGCAUAUGCCGUGAUACUCAUGCAUGCUGAUUAAACAAAACUGAUGCAUUUCAAUCUUCGUAUGGGUGCGCGGACCUUUUUCUUUCCAUUUGCCUCACAGCUUAAUAAUUGAUUGAUGCAUCUCAAUCUUGGUAUCAUGGCGACCAAAACCAUGAAUUCCUUGCCCUUCACCCCCUCACUAAAGGUGUUGCCUCCACAUAUGCGAGGGCCACUUUGCUAGUUGAAGAAAAUAGUGGCGCAGAUUUAAAGAAAAAAACCAAAUUGAGAGCUUGUAUUUUUGAAAAUUCUUCAGUUCGUAUCAAUUGCUCUUGGCAACAAUUCCACUUUCCCUACUCUCCUCUGUUAUGGUCGCAAAGAUAGGGUGCUGAUGCGAAGCUAGAGCAUAGAUGCCCUAUACGUUUUAAGAAAAAGGGUUUCCCCCGCUUUAUAGAUAAAGCAUUACCGAACAACCGAAUCCUGCCGACACAAACAAACACACACACACACACACACACACACACACACCCCACACCCAAGGCCGGAUGCAAGGACGCUGAUAACAACAACACUACCCCGACAAAAUCCUAGCCAACAUCAGAUGAACACAAUAAGCACUACUAGGAAGAUGUCGGGGCCCUCAACCGUGAGCAGGCCACCGCGAAGAGGAGAAGUCGUGUAGGACGAACAAUGAGCUCCAAAGCGACGCCUUCAGCAAGGGAACGACACCAUUGUGUCGCCACCGCCAAAUCCAAGGAUUAGAGUUUCCCCCGGAGCACUCCGACGACAAAUGAGAUGCCGCGACGGCGCCUUCAAGAAGAUGACGACGCUAGAACGCCGGUGCCGUCGGCCUGGCAAAGCAGAACGGGUUUUCACCACCGGCAGGGGCACCCUGCCCCUUCCCGAAGUCCCAUGCCGCCACCGGCAGGCCUCGCGUGCACCACCACGCCAUGGCGCCACCCCGACCCGACGAGCGCGUCGCUGAGUCCAAAGAAGAGGGAGGGAGCUCACCCGAGUCCGACGCAGACGAACCGCCGACGGAGAGACCCGCAGUUGCCGCGCGCAUAUCAGACAACCACCAGGCCACAGCAGCGCCGCUGCAGACCACCCCACUCCGAGGUCAAGACCGACCUCAGCCACCGUCCCGCGCCGCCCGCCGCCAUCCAGGAGCUUGAUCCGGGAGGGUCGGGCCGGAUCCGCGCCAGCACGGCACCGCCCAGAUCGGGAAUCCCAGCGGCCGCCACGCCACAAACGAGCCUGCCACUCGACGUCGUGUCCCCACCAGGCAACCCCGCCGCCGAACUCCGAGCACGCCGCCGCGCCGCCGGCCCUGCCAAAGACCGGCGCCCCCACUCGACCGGCUGUCUCACGCCAGCCGUGGAGCACGAGGGCGAGGAAGAAGAGGCCCCGUCGCCGCCCCCACCGGCCGGGCUUCGCCCGACGGCGUCGCUGGGCGGCGGCGAGGGAGGAGAGCAGAGGAGAGGGAGGACGGGUCACGGCGGCUAGGGUUCCCCCCGGUCGCUCGCGAGAGCGACACGGGAGGGGAGGGGAGAGGGAUUAUAUCCCGUGAUGCCCUGUACGUUUUGUGGGGAAAUGGGUACUUGGAUUUGGAUAGAAGAAACAAUCAAGCACCUUUUCAAUCAUUAACAGAGAAACUGAAACACUAACCAUUACUGAUAAAAAAAACCUAACCAUUACAUACGUAAUACAAAAUGAAUAUAUGGAGAAAAAAAUGGAGAAAUUAAUCAAUUCGGCUGCUGCACACGGAUUAAUUGCUUGUUCAUCAUCACAAUACAAUUAGCAAGACACCUUUUGUGCCAUGACAAUGACAUACAUCAAAGCUAAGCAAGACUAGUACAUCAUCUCUUGGAUCAUCUCCUGGAUGCAGGUUUCGGAGUUCUUCAUCACGCACUCGGCCCUCACGUGGUGAAAGGAUCCACUCUCCUAGACUAGUACAGUCGUGUCGUCGCACAAGCCGAGCAGCUCAUCUAACGUGCACCGAAAGGCGUCGUCUUCAUCCUCUGCAGCGCUAGUGCCUUCUUGGACUUCGCCGUCGAGUUUGCCGGGCAAGAACCCCUGCGCCACCACAGCGUCAUGGAGCUCGGGAAAAUCUUGAAGCAUGUCGUCGGUGAAGAACCCGCCUGGAUCGACGCUGCCGUCGUCCACAGCUCCGGGCGGCAAGAACGUCUCGCCUUCGUCGGACAUGAACCAGCGCCCAUACUCGUGAAACAUCCCGGCUUGUUGGACGAUCGGCGGUUCCUGGCGGCGUGGGGUUUGGGGACGUGGAGCAUCCGGGUGCUGGACGUCGGCGGCCUUCCUUUUCCUGGAACCGGGAGCAUUGAUUACCUCGUGGUAUGUGGUCUCGCUCCUGUGACGAGACACGCAGACCUUGCAGAGCACCAAGCCGUCUUGCUUGUCAUCGCUGUACUCGUUCAUGCACCAGCCGAUCCUGAUCCUCUCUUUCUCUCCCGGCAACUUCUUGACGUAGCUGAGGUUUCGUCUAUGGCCUACGAGUUUACCUUGGUUGUCUAGCACGGGGAUCCCACCCUUCUCCGAGUGCCAGUAGUAACCCUCGCCGGCGUCGGCCACGCCACGCUGUCGCCUCCCGCCACCGCGGCCGCCUUUGGUCUGGUGACGACGGGCAGGGGUGAAGAAGUACCACACGCCCCCUUUCCCGUCGCCCUUGUCCGUUCCUUGCGCGUGUUGAUACAUCUCGACGAGGUCGCCGGGGGCGGCGGAGUAGGCGUCGAACUCGUGGAUGAGGCGGCUGGCGAAGAAGGCGUCGGCGAUCCGUGGGCGGAGGAACUUGGUGAUCAGCUCGUGCUCGGCUGGGUCGAAGGCGUAGCCGGCGGGAGGAUCCAGCUUGCCGUCGGCCAUCGCAGAGCUAGCUACGCACGUACGAGAUGGAUCAAGUAGCUAGGUAUGUACGUGUAACCCUGAACUCGCUAGCUGCUUGCCAUCUGGGUACCUAGCUUAUAUAGAUGGAUCGACAGCGAGCCCGCCCGGGAUUCAGUUUCCUUGACCGGUCAUACGUACGUGUCCUAAGCAAUCCGUACAUGAAAUGGAUUAGUACAGCAAUCCGUACAUAAAAUGGACUAGUGCAGCACGCCCCAUGAUGCUCCGUCGCUGCACCGACCUUGCUCCAUUGCAGCUCGCGUCGCUGCACCUUGCCGCUCGGUAAUACUCAGCAUGCUUCGGCGGACAUGGUGAUGCUAUGAGGCGUGCUACAUCGACCGCCGCGAUGGCGCAACGUCAUCCGGGCUGCUUUGAUGAAGCUGCGACAGCCGCGGCGUUGACAUUUCGACAUGCUUCAAACACCCAUGGUGUGCUUUGACGGCCACGACAAUGCUUCAACGGCAGACUUCGACGGUCGCGGUGAUGUUACGGGACGUGCUUCGACGAUCAUGGCAAUGGUGCGGCAACAUGCUUCUAACGUCGGUGUUGUACUUGGAUGGCAGCGAUGAUGUUGUGACGACAUGGUUGGACAGCCACGACGUCCUGCUUCGACAACCACGAUGAUGUUGCGGCAACGUGUUCCACGGCCACGAAAGUGUUACAAUGAUGGGCAUGGCUGCACCAACGAUAAUGCAACGACCACAGCGGUGCGGCAACGGCGACCCGGCUGCUUCGAUGAUGCUAUGAUGCCAUGCUUAGAAGAAGGUGGUGGCGUCAAUGGUGCUACUCUAAACAUUAGCAACCUUCACUUUACCACAAUCAACAUCGAGAAAGAUGGUGUUCUAGUAUUUGUACCAUCACAUGUGUAGUUACCUAGCAAAAUCACUGCAUAUGGAGUACGUUAAAAAAGAUCAUUUAAAUAGGCAGUCGUCCGAACGCUACCACAUGUCACGAACUUUGGAUACUUUUGCGUGUGGAAGACAGAGCAUUCGCUACCUUCCUGUGUGGGAGAUAGUGCUCGCGCCACACGAUCAUGUGGGAUCGGACGGCUCCGGACGUGAUUGAUAAAGACAAGAAAUCAUCCGACUUAUUUAAAACAUUUUCCCUCGCCGAAUGCUCACCUUUUACUCGCAAUGGCCACUUGUCGGUUAGCCUGGUUGACGCAUUUCUGUUUGUUUGUGACUUUGCAGUGUUUUUGCUGCUUUAUUUGUUCUUUUAUAUAUUUUUACUGGCCUUUCUUAUUUUAUCAACUUAUGAUUAUUUUAUUAUAUUAUAAAAAAUAUGUCUGUUUUAUUCUAGGUAAUCCUUUUUAUGCACUAUUGACAGAAAUAGUUCGUAUUAAAAAGGUCCUUACUCAUUUCAAAAUAUAUAAUACAUUUGAAUUUUUUUAUAUAUUCUAAAUAAAAUGUUCUUGUACUUUUGAAUAUGAUUUACCUAUUUCGAAAAAUAUUCAUUUAGUUCGUAAAAAAAUCUUUUAUUCAAAACGAAAUUACAUGUAUUCGCAAAGAGUGUUCACAUAUUUCUAAAAAUGUCCAUGUAAUUAUUAAAGUAUUCUCACAUUUAAAAAUAUAUUCACAUAAGUUUGGAAAAUAAUCAUUUACGACAUAAAAUAGAAAAUACACUGGAAAUUUUUUAUCGCGUAUUAAAAAAUACUCAUCAUAUAUUAAAUAAAUUUCAUUCUGUUAAAAAAUAUUCAUCAUUUAUUUAAAAUACAUACGUUGUGUUUUUAAAAGGUCAUGUGUAAUGUUAUUUUCUAAUUGCAUAAGUAAAGUAAGUAAGAAGAAAAUCACAGAAAAUAAAGAAAGAGAAAAAUGUGGGAAAAGAACAACAAAUAAUAGGGAAAUGAAAAAAAAGAGGCAAAGAUAAUUAAAAGAAUUCAAGAAAAAAUUUGAUAAAAAAACCCACAAGAAACUAGUCGAAAACAAGAAAAAAGAUAAUAUCAUGAACAAAAAUCAGGCAGAAACACGAAGAAGAGAGCCAUGUGUUCAACGAACCUAAAAGUAAUCAGCACAUCGCAUGUGCGUAUCGGGCCAUGGCCCGGGUGUUCUGUAGGCGAGCUCUAACUAAGAGCAUCUCCACCCGCCCCCAGGACGUCCCCCAGGACACGUUUUUAGGCUCGGUUUUACGCUCGGACCACCUUUUCGCCGAAAAACGGCCCAACGAUGCCCCCAACGCUCCCACAGGACAUCAAAAUAGCGCCGGCAAACCCAGGAAAAACGCAGCACAUUGGGGGGCUUUUGGGGGCGCCGACAGAAGUUUCGGCGAAUCGUGUCUCACCACAUGUCUUUUUUCUUGGCCCACAUAAUCAUUUUCCUCACAAACAUUUGACUGGGGUGGGGUGUGGCUGAGAAGAUGCCCUCCUCAUGCACCCAUAUUUCGGCCGGAUGAAGCAUUUGGACCCCCAAGACACCUACUUUUUUGGUUCGGUGGUGUUCUUGGGUGCUCCAACGGCUGGAGAUGCUCUAAUACUUGGUACAAUCGAUAUAUAUAUUAUUUGCCGCCCGGAAGCACGUCUAGUAAAAGAGUUUCUCAAGAAGGUUGGGCGAAUGUGUCAUAGCCCACCCUGAGAUCUCCCAACCUUCUAUAUAUAUUAUAGAAAAAAGUAAAAAAAAGGCAUGUUUUUUUGAAUAAAACGCCAUACAUUAAUUAAUUAAUAAUGUUAUUACAAUCAUUCAUUACAAAAUUCGCCACACAGGGCGGAACGCGAUUAAGAAGAAUCCCAUCAGAUUUACUUAUAAAGCUAAACUUCGCAAUUUCAUGAGCCACCUUAUUGGCGUUCCGAUUAAUUUUCGCAAUUUUAAAAUUCUUAAGCAUCUUCGAUAUACUCAAGGCUUCUUUCUUUAGAUCAACGAGCGAGGACCUGUCCAGAUUCUCAUUUGCAAGGAAAGAACGGACAAAAGCACAACCAGUCUCCAAAAUAAUGGACUGGUGAAGAGUAAUACCUAUAUAAAGGCCUGCCAGGCAAGCACGCAGCUCAGCUUCAUUCACACUGUAGCACUGACCCAGAAAGUCCCACGCAGAUAUAAUAACUUCGCCAGAUGAGUUCCUAACAACCACCCCCACACUGGCCGCAGUAAUACUCUCCACAUAGCUGGCAUCGACAGUGAUCUUGAUAUAAUCUUCUGGUGGAGGUUUCCAACCCACCUGUUGUUGUGAUGUUGCGAAAACUGGUGUUGCACCUCCCAUUUUUUCUUUACCUUUGUUACUAGGAACAACCUCGACAGUGUCAUGACAGGAUGUAAAAGAAGACCAAUAGUUUACCACAAAAAUUGCACAAGCAGCAAUGGAUUCCUGCCCUUUUCCAAAAAUUAAAUCAUUUCUCAUGUGCCAUGCUCGCCAGAAAAGAAACAAAACUUGCUCUCGCUGUUGCAGGCUCAAAUGAUCCAACAGAAUCAAUAGCCAAUCUGGCCCCGAGAAUUUGAACCACUCUUCAUCAGGAAUAUUCCAUGAUUCUCUCAAGGCGAGUCGCAGAGCACGAGCCUUAGAACAAGUAACGAGGGCAUGAAAAGUGCUUUCAUCUUCUACUCCACAAAUAGAGCACAUACCUGAAGUAAUCUGAUGGUGCUUAACUUUAUUGGUCUGGACUGCCAAGCUAUUGGUUGCGGCCCUCCAGGCAAAAAUCCUUAUCUUCUGAGGGAUAUUAGCCUUCCAAAUUAAAUCUCAGAGCCUUCUUUCUCCACAUGGAUCUCCACUAGAUUGACCCAAUUUAUCUUGACUAUCCUUCAACUUAAUUGCUAAUUUGUACGCACUUUUAACAGAAAAUAUACCGUUCUUCUCAUAGUGCCACGCAAUAAAAUCCCCAUCCCCAUAAGCAUGAAUUCGAAUCUUAAGAAUCUCCUCUGCGUCAUGGGGAUAGAAAAGCUACUUAAUCAAAUUUUCAUCCCAUACCUUUCUCCCGCUCAAGAACAAAUCAGAGACCCAUCUCAAUCUAGUAUUAUGCCUUUUAGCAGAAAUUUUAAGGCCAGUGCUCCUGGAUAACCAAUUAUCCCUCCAAAUAUUAAUACUAGAUCCAUCACCCACCCGCCAAAUGACGUCAUUUUGAAGUAAUUCCAGACCAUGCAUAAUACCUUGCCAAGUGAGUGAUGCAGACUCAGGAAACACUGUAUCAAGAAUAUGUCCCUGAGGAUAAUACUUUGCCUUCAUAAGCUUAGCACACAUUGAAUCCGGAUAAACCAAUAACCUCCACGCUUGUUUGGCUAAGAGGGCUUGGUUAAAUAAUCUGAGAUCCUGAAAUCCCAUACCACCCUUACCUUUAGACCUUGUUAAUUUGUCCCAUGCUAACCAAUGUGUUUUUCUUCGAUCUUCCUCAUCUCCCCACCAAAAAUUCCUGAUAAUCUGGGUUAACUCCUCACAGAGGGAAGACGGGAACUUAAAAAUACCCAUAGCAUGCACAGGUAGAUCUUGAAUAACUGAUUUUAUUAAGUCUUCUUUCACGCCACAAGAAGCGUAGUUCUCUAUCCAGUCAGAGAGCCUUUUCAAAACCUUCUCUUUAGUAGAUUGAAACUUACCAGCUUUCAUUCUUCCCUCAGGAACCGGAAGUCCAAGAUAUUUAUCUUCGAAACCAUCGACCGUAAUUUUUAAGAUUACCAUUAUAGCCAGUUGAUUCUCCAAACUACACUUUUUCCCAAACAUCAUGGAACACUUAUCAGGACAUAAUAACUGCCCAGUCCCUUUCUCGUACUCCGUCAAAAUAUUUUUAAUGACAACUGCUUGAUCAAUGGAGCCUUUGAAAAAUAACAUACUGUCGUCCGCAAACAGCAAGUGAGAAAUACCUAGGGCUUGUCUAUUCAAAUGGAACUCGUGAAGAACUCCCCUGGUAGAAGCAUCUUUAAGCAGUAAAGAAAGUGCCUCGGCAACAAAUAGGAACAAAUACGCUGAUAAAGGAUCUCCCUGCCUGAGCCCCCGAGAAGGUGAAAACUUCUCCAACAAUUGUCCGUUGAAGCGCACCGCAAAUUUCACUGAUGUAACACAUGCCAUAAUCCAAUUUAUCCACGUCGGUGCAAAACCCAAAGCCCCCAUCAUACAUUGUAAGAAACGCCAGUCCACCCUAUCAAAGGCUUUCGCCAAGUCCAACUUAUAUGCGCAAAAUUCCCCUCUGAAAUCUUUCAGCGUACUUAACGAAUGCAUACAUUCAAAAGCUAUGAGAGCAUUGUCAAAAAUUAACCUUCCCGGAAUAAAUGCACUUUGAGUAGGCGAAAUCAUACCAUCAAGGAGCCGUCGCACUCUGUUAACAAGGCAUUUGGAAAUAAUCUUAUAGAUAACAUUGCACAAACUGAUCGGCCUGAACUCUUUAAUAGACUGAGGAUUCUUAACUUUUGGGAUGAGAACAAUAGUUGUGUUAUUAAUCCCCUCUGGCAUAAUUCCAUAAUUAAAAAACUGUUGGACAGCCUUAACAAUAUCCUCCUUGAUAAAAACCAAUUUCGUUGGAAAAACCUUGCAGGGAAACCAUCCAGACCCGGAGCUUUUAACGGUCCCAUUUGAAAAAGCGCACCACUAAUCUCUUGUUCCGAAAAUGGUUUGCAAAGCUCAUCAUUCAUAUCAUCAGAUACAAGGGGUUUGACCAACGAAAUAAUAUGUGACGGGUCAACGGAGUCGUCAACAGAAUAAAGAUAUUUAAAGAACGAGUUUGUUAUACCUUUCAUUUCCUCCAGAUUUUCCGUGAGACCCCCAUCAUCCUUCCUUAGUGCCGCACUUUGCUCUCCAUGAAGCCGUUCUCUGAAAAUAAUUAGUAUUACGAUCUCCUCCUCUUAUCUUAUCCAAACGAGAUCUUUGCUUCCAUAGCAUCUCUUCCUUUAUAAGUAGCUCAUCCAUCUCUUGAAGAAUUUUCUUCCUUUCCAUGACUGCAGAAUGAUCAUUCCUACUAAACAACACAUUUAGUCUUUUACGAGCCCACUCCAGUUUCUUUGGUAAAUAACCAAUAUGGACCCGACUCCACCCAUGAAGAGAUUUCAUUAAUUUGUCUAACUUAUUAGCAAUAUCUUCAAGAUCAUUAAUAUUAGACUCUCUAUUCCAGCAAGCACUAAUCAGGUUGUCCAAAGCUCCACCUUCCCUCUCCCAAUAAGAUUCAUAUUUCAACUGAUUAACAAAUCUACCCACCCAGUGAGUACCCAAAACCUCAACAAAAAUGGGACAAUGAUCAGACCUGGAGCUUAUUAUAUCGGAUACCUUACAUCGAGGGAACAUUGAAGACCAAAGCGGGCAUGCCACCGCACGAUCAAGACGCACCUUAACAUUCUUGUUUCCAUCUUGUUUGUUAUUAUACGUCCAAGGCACGCCAUGAUAACCCAAGUCAUAUAAAUUGCAAUCAGACAAAGCUUCACGAAAAUUAGCCAUUAGUCUAGUAGACCUCUUAUGACGAGAGUAGUGCUCUUCUUGCCACAUAGCUUCGUUAAAAUCCCCCACCAUAAACCAAGCUCCAACACCAAGAGGUUUAAUCCGUCUCAAGAGAUCCCAGAUAACAUACCUUUGACUCGCCUUAGGGUCACCGUAAAUGAAGGUGCACCUCCACUUUGUUCCCUCUCCCUUGUCGACGUACAAAUCAGUAAAGUGGUCACCAUAUUUGUUCAGCUCACAAGAGUACGCCUCAUCCCAAAACACAGCUAGUCCACCACCUUUACCAUGGCCAGAAAUAGUAAAAACAUUAUUCAUACCCAACCUACAGCGCAAGCUCUCAACAUACUCUUUAUUCUUUUCUUGUUUCAGAUAAAAAGAUAAUAUUGGGUAUGUGCGUCUUUGAGAGGCACACCAACUCUUGAACUGUACGAGGCUCAACCUCGUACAAUUCAAGAGUUGGUGUGCCUCUCAAAGACAUGUUUGACCCAAAAAUCAUACGAAAAGAUAGUUAUUGGCAACCUUGGCCUAAAAACACGGAUCUGUCAUGGUUUAUUAAGCUAGCAAUGCCUACUGACACAGUCAGUCUAUUAUUAAGCAUAAAGUAAAUACUUGACUAAUUAAAAAUUGGAUAAUGCCAUCAGUGUGUUUUGACGCAAGCUAGAAAAUAGAGUAAUUUUAAAAUUAAAUAUACAUGUAUCAAGUAACUGGUGCAGCUAGACUCGCAUGAUCUAGAUAAACAUUUAUUUUGUAACCCUAUCAUGUAAUUAAUUAAACAAAAACAUUUGCUAAGGAUUACAGAAAUUCUUAUGCACAAACGGUUGAAUUCUUUUUAUGUUUCUAUCGAUAUUUUAUUUAAUGUUGUUUUAUCCAUCUCUUUGAUGUUUUUAUUUUCAUUUUUAAAUUUUUAUUUUGUUAUUUAUUUAUCGAAGUAUUUUUUUAUAUUUUGUUAUUUCUUUAUAUGUAUCAUCAAGACAAAAAGCUACGACUCCGUAUGCACUUGGUCACUUUCCUCUGUUGAGCCCAUAUUCCCUCACUCAUUCACUCAAAUGUGUUAGUUAAUUAGCCAUUUUUACAUGUGUUAAGUCUUACGGGAAAAAAACAAACAAGUACAUGUGUUAAGUCUUAGGAAAAAAAACAAGUGUACAUGAUGGCCACUAGAGAGUAGAGACUGGACACUAGAGCAGCAUAUAUACUAGCCACACUCCGUAGGCUCCAUCCGCUCGCCGUCAGCCAAAUAGGCUCGCCCUCGCCUCCUCUUCUCUUCUCUCAUCUCUUCCUUGCCUCCUCACAAUGCAUUCCAAAUGCUCACCAUUCACCUGCAAUGCAUCCACUGUGUGUCACCCUAGUUAACGCAAUAUUUCAUAAAUAGAAGGAAAUUUCAUGAAUUUACAAAAAUCAGCGGACCAAGGAUUGCCAUGACAAGAAAAAUUAACAAAAACUAUUUUUCUUCUUCUGAUUUUCAGUGUUUUUGCUGUUUUAUUUGAUCUUUUAUUUAUUUUUAGUUGGUUAUUUUUUCCUUUUCUCCUCUAGUGUUUAUUUUAUAUAUAAAAUAAUCAGUGAAUUCCGGUUUUUACCCUCUAUUUUGAAAUUUUUCCACUAAUUACCCCAUUUAGUGGGAUUUAUCCAUUUUACCCCAUUUAGCAGAAGCGUUACCACAAUUUACCCCGUGGUGGCAAAUAUGUGGACCACUAGAGAGUGAGUAUAUGUUUCCUGAGCUGCUCUGAUGCGAUCAUAGCGAGCCUAACCUGUCGGAAGAAGCUAGCUAGGGCGAUGCAGUUUGGCGUGCAGAAAAGGCAUCAAGAAAAAACCAGCCGAUCUGGCAUCCAAGUAGGUCUUACAAUUGGGACCCGUCGGUCAGAACACUCAUAAAUUUUAAACAGGGUAAACUGUGGCAACACUUUUGUAAAUAGGGUAAAAUAGAUGAAAUUCCGCUAAAUAGGGUAGUUAGUGUAAAAAUGUCAAAACAGAGGGUAAAAACAAGAAUUCACUCUAAAAAAUCUAAGCUAUUCUGGGUCACUUUUUGAUUAACGAAACUGAUCCAUGUUUAUUAAACGAAAUUGAUGCAUAUGCCGUGAUACCCAUGCAUGCUGAUUAAACAAAACUGAUGCAUUUCAAUCUUCGUAUGGGUGCGCGGACCUUUUUCUUUCCAUUUGCCUCACAGCUUAAUAAUUGAUUGAUGCAUCUCAAUCUUGGUAUCAUGGCGACCAAAACCAUGAAUUCCUUGCCCUUCACCCCCUCACUAAAGGUGUUGCCUCCACAUAUGCGAGGGCCACUUUGCUAGUUGAAGAAAAUAGUGGCGCAGAUUUAAAGAAAAAAACCAAAUCGAGAGCUUGUAUUUUUGAAAAUUCUUCAGUUCGUAUCAAUUGCUCUUGGCAACAAUUCCACUUUCCCUACUCUCCUCUGUUAUGGUCGCAAAGAUAGGGUGCUGAUGCAAAGCUAGAGCAUAGAUGCCCUGUACGUUUUAAGAAAAAGGGUUUCCCCCGCUUUAUAGAUAAAGCAUUACCGAACAACCGAAUCCUGCCGAUACAAACACACACACACACACACACACCACACCCAAGGCCGGAUACAAGGACGCUGAUAACAGCAACACUACCCCGACAAAAUCCUAGCCAACAUCAGAUGAACACAAUAAGCACUACUACGAAGAUGUCGGGGCCCUCAACCGUGAGCAGGCCACCGCGAAGAGGAGAAGUCGUGUAGGACGAACAAUGAGCUCCAAAGCGACGCCUUCAGCAAGGGAACGACACCAUUGUGUCGCCACCGCCAAAUCCAAGGAUUAGAGUUUCCCCCGGAGCACUCCGACGACAAAUGAGAUGCCGCGACGGCGCCUUCAAGAAGAGGACGACGCUAGAACGCCGGCGCCGUCGGCCUGGCAAAGCAGAACGGGUUUUCACCACCGGCAGGGGCACCCUGCCACUUCCCGAAGUCCCAUGCCGCCACCGGCAGGCCUCGCGCGCACCACCACACCAUGGCGCCACCCCGACCCGACGAGCGCGUCGCUGAGUCCACAGAAGAGGGAGGGAGCUCACCCGAGUCCGACGCAGACGAACCGCCGCCGGAGAGACCCGCAGUUGCCGCGCGCAUAUCAGACAACCACCGGGCCACAGCAGCGCCGCUGCAGAUCACCCCACUCCGAGGUCAAGCCGACCUCAGCCACCGUCCCGCGCCGCCCGCCGCCAUCUAGGAGCCGGAUCCGGGAGGGUCGGGCUGGAUCCGCGCCAGCACACCACCGCCCAGAUCGGGAAUCCCAGCGGCCGCCACGCCACAAACGAGCCUGCCACUCGACGUCUUGUCCCCACCAGGCAACCCCGCCGCCGAACUCCGAGCACGUCGCCGCGCCGCCGGCCCUGCCAAAGACCGGCGCCCCCACUCGACCGGCUGUCUCACGCCAGCCCCCACCGGCCGGGCUUCGCCCGACGGCGUCGCUGUGCGGCGGCGAGGGAGGAGAGCAGAGGAGAGGGAGGACGGGUCACGGCGGCUAGGGUUCCCCCGGUCGCUCGCGAGAGCGACACGGGAGGGGAGGGGAGAGGGAUUAUAUCCCGUGAUGCCCUGUACGUUUUGAGGGGAAAUGGGUACUUGGAUUUGGAUAGAAGAAACAAUUAAGCACCUUUUCAAUCGUUAACAGAGAAACUGAAACACUAACCAUUACUGAUAAAAAAAACCUAACCAUUACAUACAUAAUACAAAAUGAAUAUAUGGAGAAAAAAAUGGAGAAAUUAAUCAAUUCGGCUGCUGCACACGGAUUAAUUGCUUGUUCAUCAUCACAAUACAAUUAGCAAGACACCUUUUGUGCCAUGACAAUGACAUACAUCAAAGCUAAGCAAGACUAGUACAUCAUCUCUUGGAUCAUCUCCUGGAUGCAGGUUUCGGAGUUCUUCAUCACGCACUCGGCCCUCACGUGGUGAAAGGAUCCACUCUCCUAGACUAGUACAGUCGUGUCGUCGCACAAGCCGAGCAGCUCAUCUAACGUGCACCGAAAGGCGUCGUCUUCAUCCUCUGCAGCGCUAGUGCCUUCUUGGACUUCGCCGUCGAGUUUGCCGGGCAAGAACCCCUGCGCCACCACAGCGUCAUGGAGCUCGGGAAAAUCUUGAAGCAUGUCGUCGGUGAAGAACCCGCCUGGAUCGACGCUGCCGUCGUCCACAGCUCCGGGCGGCAAGAACGUCUCGCCUUCGUCGGACAUGAACCAGCGCCCAUACUCGUGAAACAUCCCGGCUUGUUGGACGAUCGGCGGUUCCUGGCGGCGUGGGGUUUGGGGACGUGGAGCAUCCGGGUGCUGGACGUCGGCGGCCUUCCUUUUCCUGGAACCGGGAGCAUUGAUUACCUCGUGGUAUGUGGUCUCGCUCCUGUGACGAGACACGCAGACCUUGCAGAGCACCAAGCCGUCUUGCUUGUCAUCGCUGUACUCGUUCAUGCACCAGCCGAUCCUGAUCCUCUCUUUCUCUCCCGGCAACUUCUUGACGUAGCUGAGGUUUCGUCUAUGGCCUACGAGUUUACCUUGGUUGUCUAGCACGGGGAUCCCACCCUUCUCCGAGUGCCAGUAGUAACCCUCGCCGGCGUCGGCCACGCCACGCUGUCGCCUCCCGCCACCGCGGCCGCCUUUGGUCUGGUGACGACGGGCAGGGGUGAAGAAGUACCACACGCCCCCUUUCCCGUCGCCCUUGUCCGUUCCUUGCGCGUGUUGAUACAUCUCGACGAGGUCGCCGGGGGCGGCGGAGUAGGCGUCGAACUCGUGGAUGAGGCGGCUGGCGAAGAAGGCGUCGGCGAUCCGUGGGCGGAGGAACUUGGUGAUCAGCUCGUGCUCGGCUGGGUCGAAGGCGUAGCCGGCGGGAGGAUCCAGCUUGCCGUCGGCCAUCGCAGAGCUAGCUACGCACGUACGAGAUGGAUCAAGUAGCUAGGUAUGUACGUGUAACCCUGAACUCGCUAGCUGCUUGCCAUCUGGGUACCUAGCUUAUAUAGAUGGAUCGACAGCGAGCCCGCCCGGGAUUCAGUUUCCUUGACCGGUCAUACGUACGUGUCCUAAGCAAUCCGUACAUGAAAUGGAUUAGUACAGCAAUCCGUACAUAAAAUGGACUAGUGCAGCACGCCCCAUGAUGCUCCGUCGCUGCACCGACCUUGCUCCAUUGCAGCUCGCGUCGCUGCACCUUGCCGCUCGGUAAUACUCAGCAUGCUUCGGCGGACAUGGUGAUGCUAUGAGGCGUGCUACAUCGACCGCCGCGAUGGCGCAACGUCAUCCGGGCUGCUUUGAUGAAGCUGCGACAGCCGCGGCGUUGACAUUUCGACAUGCUUCAAACACCCAUGGUGUGCUUUGACGGCCACGACAAUGCUUCAACGGCAGACUUCGACGGUCGCGGUGAUGUUACGGGACGUGCUUCGACGAUCAUGGCAAUGGUGCGGCAACAUGCUUCUAACGUCGGUGUUGUACUUGGAUGGCAGCGAUGAUGUUAUGACGACAUGGUUGGACAGCCACGACGUCCUGCUUCGACAACCACGAUGAUGUUGCGGCAACGUGUUCCACGGCCACGAAAGUGUUACAAUGAUGGGCAUGGCUGCACCAACGAUAAUGCAACGACCACAGCGGUGCGGCAACGGCGACCCGGCUGCUUCGAUGAUGCUAUGAUGCCAUGCUUAGAAGAAGGUGGUGGCGUCAAUGGUGCUACUCUAAACAUUAGCAACCUUCACUUUACCACAAUCAACAUCGAGAAAGAUGGUGUUCUAGUAUUUGUACCAUCACAUGUGUAGUUACCUAGCAAAAUCACUGCAUAUGGAGUACGUUAAAAAAGAUCAUUUAAAUAGGCAGUCGUCCGAACGCUACCACAUGUCACGAACUUUGGAUACUUUUGCGUGUGGAAGACAGAGCAUUCGCUACCUUCCUGUGUGGGAGAUAGUGCUCGCGCCACACGAUCAUGUGGGAUCGGACGGCUCCGGACGUGAUUGAUAAAGACAAGAAAUCAUCCGACUUAUUUAAAACAUUUUCCCUCGCCGAAUGCUCACCUUUUACUCGCAAUGGCCACUUGUCGGUUAGCCUGGUUGACGCAUUUCUGUUUGUUUGUGACUUUGUAGUGUUUUUGCUGCUUUAUUUGUUCUUUUAUAUAUUUUUACUGGCCUUUCUUAUUUUAUCACCUUAUGAUUAUUUUAUUAUAUUAUAAAAAAUAUGUCUGUUUUAUUCUAGGUAAUCCUUUUUAUGCACUAUUGACAGAAAUAGUUCGUAUUAAAAAGGUCCUUACUCAUUUCAAAGUAUAUAGUACAUUUUAAAUUUGUUUAUAUAUUCUAAAUAAAAUGUUCUUGUACUUUUGAAUAGGAUUUACCUAUUUAGAAAAAUAUUCAUUUAGUUCGUAAAAAAAUCUUUUAUUCAAAACGAAAUUACAUGUAUUCGCAAAGAGUGUUCACGUAUUUCUAAAAAUGUCCAUGUAAUUAUUAAAGUAUUCUCACAUUUAAAAAUAUAUUCACAUAAGUUUGGAAAAUAAUAAUUUACGACAUAAAAUAGAAAAUACACUUGAAUUUUUUUGAUCGCGUAUUAGAAAAAAUACUCAUCAUAUAUUAAAUAAAUUUCAUUGUGUAAAAAAAUAUUCAUCAUUUAUUUAAAAUACACACGUUGUGUUUUUAAAAGGUCAUGUUUACUGUUAUUUUCUAAUUGCAUAAGUAAAAUAAGUAAGAAGAAAAUCACAGAAAAUAAAGAAAGAGAAAAAUGUGGGAAAAGAACAACAAAUAAUAGGGAAAUGAAAAAAGAGGCAAAGAUACUUAAAAGAAUUCAAGAAAAAAAUUGAUUAAAAAAACCAACAAGAAACUAGUCGAAAACAAGAAAAAUAAUAAUAUCAUGAACAAAAAUCAGGCAGAUACACGAAGAAGAGAGCCAUGUGUUCAACGAACGUAAAAGUAACCAGUACAUCGCAUGUGCGUAUCGGGCCAUGGCCCAGGUGUUCUGCNNNNNNNNNNNNNNNNNNNNNNNNNNNNNNNNNNNNNNNNNNNNNNNNNNNNNNNNNNNNNNNNNNNNNNNNNNNNNNNNNNNNNNNNNNNNNNNNNNNNNNNNNNNNNNNNNNNNNNNNNNNNNNNNUAGGCUCGGUUUUACGCUCGGACCACUUUUUUGCCGAAAAACGGCCCAGCAACGCCCCCAACCCUCCACAGGACAUCAAAAUAGCGCCGGCAAACCCAGGAAAAACGCAGCAUGUUGGGGGGCUUUUAGGGGCGUCGGCAGAAGUUUCGGCGAAUCGUGUCUCACCACAUGUCUUUUUUCUUGGCCCACUUAGUCAUUUACCUCACAAACUUUUGAUUGGGGUGGGGUGUGGCUGAGAAGAUGCCCUCCUCAUGCACCCAUAUUUCGGCCAGAUGAAGCAUUUGGACCCCCAAGACACCUAUUUUUUUGGUUCGGUGGUGUUCUUGGUGCUCCAACGGCUGGAGAUGCUCUAAUACUUGGUACAAUCGAUAUAUAUAUAUUAUUUGCCGCCCCGAAGCACGUCUAGUAAAAGAGUUUCUCAAGAAGGUUGGGCGAAUGUGUGAUAGCCCACCCUGAGAUCUCCCAACCUUCUAUAUAUAUUAUAGAAAAGAGUAAAAAAGACAUGUUUAACCCUAAAACCGUAUGAAAAGAUAGUUAUUGGCCAACCUUGGCCUAAAAACGUGGAUCUGCCGCUGGUUUUUAAGCUAGCAAUGCCUACUGAGGCUGUCCUUCUAUUAUUAAGCGUAAAUUAAAUACUUGAGUAAUUAAAAAUUGGAUAAUGCCAUCAGUGUGUUUUGACGCAAGCUAGAACACUACUAGGAAAAGGCCUACUAAUGGCGCACCUAAUUUGGCCAUUAAUGGCGCAUUAGUGGUGCGCCAUUAGUGCCACGCCAUUAGUAUAUUUUACUAAUGGCGCACCCCAGAUGCGCCAUUAGUAUAUACAACAGUGCGUCAUUAGUAUGCCUCCCAGGGGGCCAUGUAUACCCAGGUGCUUUGGCAUACUAAUGGCGCACAACAACAGGAUGCGCCAUUAGUAACUUCGGCAUACUAAUGGCGCACUGUUUAGUGAUGCGCAAUUAGUAUCCUUUGGCAUACUAAUGGCGCACUAUGAUGUGAUGCGCCAUUAGUAUGAAUAUUAGUUUUUUUUUAUUUUUUUAUUUUCUGUUUUUUGCACAGGUUACAAAAUGUAUAAUUGGACAAAAUAUAGACAACACACAUCAACAACAGAUUCAUCGAAUACAAUAGAAGAUUAGUCUCUGAAUACAAUUCAUCAUUUUAGUCUCCGAAUACAAUUCAUCAUAUUAGUCUCCGAAUUGAAAAGACCGAACAAAGAUAGAACAUUAUAUUACAAGUCUCGAGACCGCGAGUUUGUCUUCACAUUACAAGUCGAUAUCGAUCAUCUAAACUACCAUCACAUAGAAGAGAGCUGCGGUCAUCACGAUGAGCAUCAUCACGAUGAAACUCGUCUUCAUCCGGUUCCUCCAACGCUCCCUCCCCUCUCCCGCUAGAUAGCGGGCGUAUCUAGAUUCGGCCUCGGCCCUAGUGGCGUACCCUUUGUAAUUGUUACCACUGAAUCGGUGAACCUGUCUCCGACACUCCUCCCAGUCGUCGUAGACUCCGGGAACCUUACCCUUGUACACGACAUACCACGGCAUCGCUAUGCAGUAACCAAACGAAACGUUAGUACCAAUUCACAGACAAUACAUAAGCAAUAUAUAAGUAUGCAACAGAACGAUCGGAAGAGAAAAGCAAGACAUUAAUAGCAUCGAUUACAUCUAAGUUGAACGACUCUCGAAACCAAAGAGACAUACUACAAGUUCAUUAAAGUUUAAUUACAACAUGAGCCAAUCGAUGUUUCAGAACUAGACACAGCAUCACUGCUUUCGACUCGACUCAAGGGACCGGAGUGUGGAUGAAGCCGCCGUCUAUCGUGGGAGUCAUGAAACAACAGGCGUUGUCAGCCUGCAUUUGUAGGAUUGUGUCGAUGUCACUGUUGGACGGUUGAUUUCUGAGGUAGAACUGCCCCGAGGUACGAAGGACAUCUUGAUGGAUGAUUUCCGCAAACUCCGACUGGAUGCGAAAGAAUUCUUGUCUGAUGUCCGCGUCCUGGAUUGCCGACACGCUCGCGGCUCAAUCUUUGAGUCUACUCGGUAGCAGAAGUUGAUGAUGGUCCCGUACGAUCGCCCGCAUGUGAUGGAUGGCGUAGUAGGCACCCUUCUGACCGCCAGGCGGCUGCUUGACGCAGCAGAACGUCGUAUUGUGGGAGAACACGUGCUUGCCGUACUUACGAAUAGGCCUGGUGAAGGUGCCUCCAGAUUUGAUGUAGCCGGGGAGAACAUCAUCAAGAACCUUCUUGACAUUUGUGUAGUCUACGUUCGACUGACGGUCUGGGUCGAAAUACGUGGCCAUGGAAUAUUUGGGGCUUAGGAGGAUGAGCGUGCAAUAUGUGUCACUGCAGAAAACACGGAAUGUUAAAAGAAAAAUGAUCGAAAUCUAAGAAUUCAUAUGUUACGGGGCGGUUGAGGGGAGGACUUACUCGGGAAAGUAAGGCACGAGGAAGUUAUCCUUAUCUUGGUUUGCCAGAAUGACGCCUUCGAGGUAAGAACUCGCGACUUGCCGGUCCCCAGCGCUGCCCAAGAUCUUGGCACGCAUGUAGAAGGGGUCGACUAUCACGAUGUCCGGGGUCUUGUCGCGAAUGAUCCGCAUCUCCAUACUCAGCGAAAAUAGCCGAACGAAGGUGUAGUGCAGCGGAUGAAGGUUCAACAUAGCGUGGAUGUCAUCAAACCGCAGGACGAUCGUACCCCUGAUGGAGUUAUCCACAAAGCCCUUGCCCUCUGGCACCUUGGCCGCGAAAACCGGGUAUGCCACAUCCUUCUCUCCGAGAUGCCGCUUCUCCAAAGAAAGAACACUGUCAUGCAGACUCCGCAUAGCACCGGUUGCAGCAUCGAGCAUAUUUCUCGGUAGCAUCGGCCUACCCGCCACAUGCACCCUCCUCGAGAUAUCCUCAGUUGAAGGUGGCCCGUCCUGAGCACGGAUCGUACUCGGUGCCGGCUGGCCCGCACCCUUGUUAGUCUUUCUUUUGCGUGCCUUCUUCUUCUCCUGUAAUGGGACCGAGUUCUGCUCACAGACCGCCUUCUUGAGUGUGUUGGGGCUGAUCAUAUUUCGCACCUCGCCUAUCUGAGGCUCGGUGAAGUCGGCAGCUGGAGGCGUCUCCUGAGAGCUGAACUGCAGACGACGCCUGUUGCAACUUGGCUUCUCCGCGGUACCAGCUAGAUCGCGCACGUCUUUUGUUGGGUUGGGUUCUUGAGGAGGCCCCAUGAAGUCGCCACCGUACCCAUGAUCGGCAAAGUACUGAUCGACGUUGGCUAAUGUAUCGUCGUCGUCGUCGUUCUGAUCCUGUGCCAUAUGCAUGUUUGGAUCCAGUGGCAUAGGCAUGUCCGGCACCGUUGCGGCGGUCUUGCCAUGGGGCCGACUUGGCGCCGGCACGACUGGCGGUGUUGUCUUUGGGGUGGUGUCCCCCGCCCCCAAACGAAUCUGGCUCUUCGGCCAAAGCAGGGGCCAGCUCAGGCACGCGCUGAGGGUCAUCACGUCAUCAUCGUCGGCCCCGAUGGGUCGAAUCGGAGGUAACAACUCGUCGCAGCCUGGCAGCACCCGAAACAGUUGAACCCUAAACAAGUUGGGUGGCAUCUGGGUACCGUGGAACAAGGGGUUGCCCGGUUGAACGAUUUUGCCCUUGGCGACAUCGACCAACUCGUUGUUCACGAAGUGCAGGAGAGUGCACGGAAUGUCGGCGGCGCCCUGCGAAAACAUGUAGGGCGUUAGGGAUGCCCAGUCAAAGGCAAGGAGAUGAAGUCCUCGGCCGAGAGAGGCUUAAUUAGUUACCGUGAUGAUGGCGUCGAGCUCGGCUAAUGUCGAGGCACCGCCAACGGCGGGCGUGCAGUUGACGGAGGGGCCGCUUGCUGCAGAGGUGCCGGCCGGCGUACACCCGGGUGCAUUAAGCUCCCUUGCCGGCAUCGGAGACACCAAUGCCGCCUCCGCCGGAGACACCAAUGGCCCCGCCAUCGCGUUCUGCGAGUUGCUGGCCGUGAAGCUAGGAAUCGGGGGCGGCCCCUGUUGGCCGCCCGCAAUCCACGCACUAAUCCCCUGGAUCAAGGUAGGCACAAUGGCGGUGAUCGUCACUCCGAGUUGUUGUUGCACUUGCUCUUGGACAAUCUCCGGAAUCCGCGCCACCUGUGCCCUGAGUUCUGGAACUUCGCGCGCCUGGCUUUCCGAGCUGCUCUUUUUCUCCUUUCGCCCACCAGUGUUAUAGUAUGACGACCAUUUUGUCGACAAGCCUUUGCCGGCCACACGACCAGAUGACGUCGGCUUACUGAGCUUAUUCUUGUUCUUCAUUACAUUCAACGCCCUAUUUAGAGUGGUGUCCCAAGGGUUGCUCUUAGUCGACCCCGCGCUACUGCUUUCAGUCGCCUGCGGAAGGAAUGUGAACCAUUUAGAAAUUUGGCUUCAUUAAUUAGAAUGCAACCAUAUGGAGCUAAUUACGCGGGGGUGUAUUCCUUACCAGAACAAGCUCAAGCGCCCUGGUCUUCGGAUCCAUGGUAAGCUCCUUUGUUUCCGGGUCCUUCUUGUACCGGGCCCUGACAAAGUUCCUGGUCUGCUUGUCACCGUAUUUAUCGAAGAGGGGCGGUAGGCCUUGCUCGGCACGGUCCGCCUCCUCCUUGUCCCAUAUAGGCUCCGCCACUCUGUAACCGCCGGGACCGAGUGUGUGUUCCCCUAAGUUCAGCUCCCGCAUUUCUUUCUCCCACUUACUUGAUUCGGAGUUUGCGGUGCUCGAGCAAUUAAUCUUGAAGUCGUUGUAGUCAUCUUCGGUGAUCGAAGGAUUUUUCUCCUUGAUCUUCUCAUAACUCUCACCUUUCUCGAUCAUUCUCUUCACAUUGCUUUUCCAAGUAGACAGGGCCUUGCUCAUCUUCGUGAGGGCAGCAUUGUUCACUUUAUUCCCUUUGAGGCUUGUGUUUUCAAAUUCAGCGGGGAACUUGUAUCGUUCGUGCAGCUUCGUGAAGAGGAGGUUGCGCAAAUUCCCUCGGUCAGGAUGCCUCAGGUUCUCGGUGUUGAUCGAGACGGUGCUCCGGAGAAUGCACCCGAGCUGAAGCGAGUACCCCUUGACUAUUCGUUCGGGCGCCGUUGGAUUCCCGUCGGAGUCCACUUCAGUAACUUCCUCCUUGAGGGUGCGGAGCACGGUCGGGCGCCGGUCCUUCCGUUGCCUCUUCGGUUGGCUGCCAUCUGUGCGUGCGCCGCCAUCAUCAGUGGUGGCAUCCUCGGCGGCACCAUCCGUGGUGGCAUCAGUGGGGUCAUCCUCGGCGGUACCAUCAGUGGUCUCAGGAUCGGUGGGGAAGGCGGCGUCCUCAUACAAGUGAGGUUGUUCCUCCAUCUCCUGGGACAGCUUCCAGAAUGCCUUGACGCCCGAACCCCCGGCCUCAUCGUUGUUGGCCAUGUUUCUCUCUAAAUAGGAACAAAGUUUGGUCAGAAAGUUGGUUAUUGUCAAGGAACAAGAUCAUGGUCUCAUCAUUUAGGGUUUGUCGACACCGAGGCAUCCUAAAAGCUAAGCUUUUAUAAUUGAGGGUUUUUCGACGCCGAGGCACCCUAAAAGCCUAAGCUUUCAUCAUUUCGGUUUUUAUCGACACCGAGGCACCCUAAAAGCCAUGCAUUAGUCACAAGUACGCCGGGGCACUUGAUCCUACUUAAUUAACUACUAAGAUACCCCGGCCCAUGCAUUAGUCACAAGUACCCCAUAUGUCCUAUUUUUAGCAAAGUCAUGCUAAAAUUCACGGAAAAUUUCAGCAUGACCUUUGUGGAGCCUGGUGCGCCAUUAGUAUUUUUUUUUGAUUUCUGCUCGAGCCAACAGGUUAUCUUCCACCUGACCUGAUCCACACCAAGUUCCCUCUACUAGCUCGACUGGUCAGUAGCCAGUUCUCACACCAGGAGGUCCUGGGUUCGAUUACCAGGCUCCACAAUUUUUUUUAUGCAUUUAAAAUGCUGUUUGAUAUUUAUUUGUGUUUAAAUAUGUUCAAACUUGUUUAAAUCAUAACAGUAAUAUUUUUUUAUAAGACAGUAAUAAGUUUUUUAAAAAUAUCAUCAAACAGUAAUGCCUGUGGAGCGGGGGAGGGUGCGCGGGGUGCGGGGGGCCGGUGGACCGGGGGGUGCUCGGCGGCGAGGGGGACCGGAUCUGGCGAGGUGGGAUAGCGAUCGAGAUGGAGGGGGAUUGAGAUCGAGUGUCUAUGAAAUUUACAAAUAUUCAUGAUAGUUCAAAAAGUGCCCAUGAAAUACAAUCGAGAAAUGAAGGCUACGAUUUAAAUACAAUCGAUCUUAGCUAGCUAUCUGUUCACAAUCUUCUUGCCCUUCUUUUUCGCAAAUGGAGUUCUUCUGUGGAACGGACGUCCUUUAGGUAGGGUGGUCCUACUUCUUCUUGUGGUGUAUGCUGCUACUUCAUCGUCGUCGUCAUGUUCGAUUCUCGGGUCGCCGUACUUGUCGAAGUCUUGCUCAUUGGCUACUCCAUCCAUUCCGAUGAUCUUCCUUUUGCCUCUCCUCACGACAACACGACUGGGCUUUGACGGGUCGGUAAUGAAGAAGCAUUGGUCCACUUGGGAAGCCAGUACCCAUGGCUCAUUUUUCGCGGUGACGUUUGCGCCUGCGGUCUUGGAUUUGGCUUCGGGUAUAACCAUGGUGGUGAAAUACCGGUCUUCUUUUAGGACGCUCUUGGCCCAUCUGACACGGAACAUCGGGACCUUCUCUCCAGCGUAGUUCAGCUCCCAGAUCUCCUCGAUCCUUCCGUAGUAUCUGUCCUUGUCGUUACCGGUGUAGGAUUCCAUCGUUACCCCGGAGUUCUGAUAACCAUCGCUCUUCAUGUCCUUGGCCUCGGUGUAGAAUGUGUAGCCGUUGAUAUCGUACGCCUCAUAGGUCAUCAGGUUGUGCUCGGCGCCCUGUGACAAGGCGAAUAUGAGUUGUUCUUCCGCGGAAGAAUCCUCAUGUAAUGGGUACGACAGAAGCUUCUGCUUGAACCAACGCGUGAAACAUGAGUUGUGCUCUUUGAGUAUAUCUCCGUCCGUCCUCUGUUGGCCUCGGUCAUUGUACGUCUUCUUAAUAAAGGUUUUGUGCUCUACCACCCAAGGAUCGACCACGUCUAUGUGUUGUAGCGCGACUAGGUUUGCUCUUUCAAAGUCGGCGAGUCGACCCUCGAAGUCGACAUGCAUUUCGCGGCGACCCUCACGGUGACCCCAUCCAGCGAGCCUGCCGAGGUGCCUGUUGACGGGCAGACCAACGGGGUUCUCGAUGCCUAGAUAAUUCGUGCAGUAGGAGAUGCACUCUUCGGUCAGAAAGCCCCUGGCUAUGCUUCCCUCUGGACGUGACAUGUUGCGAACGUAUCCUUUGAUGACACCAUUCAUCCUUUAGAACGGCAUCAUGCUGUGCAGGAACGUCGGCCCGAGUUGGAUGAUAUCGUCCACGAUAUGGACCAGCAGAUGCACCAUAACGUCGAAGAAUGCGGGCGGGAAGUACAUCUCAAGCUCGCAUAGUAUCACCACGAUCUCUUCCUAUAGCCUUCUGAGUUGCCUCACGCCAACAGACUUCCGAGAGAUGACGUCGAAAAAGUUGCAUAGGCCAAAUAGCGUUUCACGGACGUGCGCGUCCAUGAUCCCACGGAUUGCAACUGGAAGUAUCUGCGUCAUCAGCACAUGACAGUCGUGAGACUUCAUCCCGCUGAACUUCAGCUUCGCUAGGUCUAGGUAUCUGCUUAUCUUCCCCGCGUAACUGUAAGGAAGUUUUACUCCUACGAGGCAGGUGAAAAACUGCUCGAUCUCCACCUGACUUAGAGUGAAGCACGCGGGAGGGUAGUCAUUUCCGGUCUUCUUGGCCUUUUUGCCUUUGCGACGACUUUCCGUGUCCUGCUUCGCCUCAUCAUCAUCAUCAUCAUCAUCAUCAUCAUCAUCAUCAUCAUAUAUAGCGUGAAGCUCCUGCCUGAUGCCCAUUGAUUUCAAGUCUGCCCUUGCUUUCGGCCCAUCUUUGGUCCUCUCUGGCAUGUUGAGCAGGGUACCAAGCAGACUCUCGCACACGUUGUACGUGAUAUGCAUGACAUCAAGGCUGUGAGGCACACGGUGGAUCUUCCAGUAUGGUAAGUCCCAGAAAACAGACCUCGUUUUCCAUACCUUCAGCAGCGGCUCUGGCGCCUUUUGCUUCUUUCCCGGCUCUGGUGCCUUUUGCUUCUUUCCCGGCAGUGGGCAGUCUUUCCAAUUUUUCAACAGCUCGUCUAUUUCCUCGCCGCUCCUCGUACGCGGGCGUCCUCGGGGUUCGGUUUCACCAUCGAAUAGAUCCUUGCAUUUUCUCCACGGGUCAUCGUCGCGAAGCCACCUUCGAUGUCCCAUGAACACGGUUUUCGAAGACCCAGGAUCUCUAUCUAGCUGGCGAUACGUUGUGUCAUCCAUGCACCUGACGCAUCCAGAAAAUCCGUGGACCACCUGCCCCGCGACAUAUCCGUAACCGAGAUAGUCGUGCACCGUCGUGAGCAGCGCGGCUCUCAUAGGGAAAUAUUCUUUCUCUGCGGCGUCCCACGUAUUGGCUGGCGUUUUCCACAACGUGUCAAGCUCCUCUUUCAGCAGCCCCAGAUACAGAUUGAUGUCGUUCCCUGGUUGUUUCGGUCCUUCAAUUAGCAUACUCAUGUGAAUGUACUUCCUCUUCAUGCACAACCAGGGGGGAAGGUUGUACAUCCACACAAACACAGGCCAGGUGCUAUGUGUGCUUCUCUGGCUGCCAAACGGAUUGACUCCAUCGGUGCUCGCGCCCAGCACGAUGUUCCUUGGAUCGUUCCCAAAUUCUAGGUCUUCAAAGUUCAACGCUUGCCACUGGCUCGCAUCCUUAGGGUGACUCAGCAUCUUGUCUUUUUUAUCUAUCUCCGGAUCAUUUGCAUCAUCUUCUCGCUUCUUCUCCUCCCUAUCCGCGUGCCAACGCAGGAGCUUUGCUACCUUAGGGUCCGCAAAAUACCGCUGCAGACGAGGAGUGAUCGGAAAGCACCACACCACUUUUCGAGGAGCUUUCUUCCUCUUCUUGUAUCGAGUGACGCCGCACACCGGACAUAUGGUAGACUCCGCGUGCUCGUCCCGAUAAAUGAUGCAAUUGUUCAUGCACACAUGGUAUUUCACGUGCGGUAAAUCCAGAGGACACACGAUUUUCUUCGCCUCCUCCAAACUGGUCGGGCACUUGUUCCCCUUGGGAAGACGUUCGUGCCAGAAUGACAUGUUCUCGUCGAAGCAUGCGUCGGUCAUUUUGUGUUUCACCUUCAUCUCCAAAGCCAUGAGCGUUACUUUCAGGCGGGUAUCCUCGGGCCUGCAUCCUUCAUACAAUGGAGUAACCGCGUCUAACUCAAGUUGAUCCAUCUUGGCUUUCUCUCGGGCGGCAGCUCUUGCGUUAUCCGUCUGCUUGAGAAGCAGCUCUUGAAUAUGAGGGUCCUGCACCCAGCCCAUCGAUGGUCCAGCGUCGUCUGCUCCGCCGGCAUCAUCAUCUUCAUGAUCAUGCCCGUCGUCUGCUCCGGCAUCUUCCUCAUCAUCAUGUCCUGCAUCUUCUACAUGAUGACUGUGUACAACAUCACCGUCGUGAUCAUCUCCUGGGGAUUCUUCGUCUUCUCGCCCGCCCGAGCCAUGGUGGUUGUCUUGCUGCCCUUCCUCAUUUCUUGCCCGGCCCCCAUGGACGACUUCGUAGUCAUCUUCGUCACCUUGCCACCGAUAGCCAUCCAUGAAACCACGCAAGAGCAGGUGGUCCCGCACCUGCCCGGAUUCCGGGUCCGCAAUAAGGCUCUUCAGCUUGCAUCUUCGACACGGACAUCUUAUCUCCGUCUCGUUCUUUUGAAGCAUCUCGGCCUUCGCGGACCUCAAAAACCUAUUCACGAUGCCUUCGGUCAUCAUGCGGCCCAUGGUCGCCUGCGGGGUAGAGCAAAACGAUAUUUUAGAACCAAGAAAAAAUUUGGCAUGACUUUCCCUAAAAAUAGGACCAAAAAGAAUGCUUAAUGCCAAAAUUCUCGCCGAAACGGAAAUGAAUCAACAUUCCGGCAAAAUAUUGGCAACUAUCGCAUUUCAAAUACCGGUACACCUCCAAACACAAACACAUAUGCAACACCACAAACAUAUGCAACACCACGAACAUACAUAGAUCUAGCUAGGCCAUAAAAAGUGCAUGUGCACAUUGUUGUAGGGAGAACAACAUAAAUAUAGCUUCCCCCCUUACUUACCUAUCAAAACAAGGUAAUUUAACCACUUAAAUUGAAUGAAUCUAUGGUGGAAAUGAGGUGAAAAAGAGGAGGCACCCGAGACAAGGAGGAGGUGGAGAGAAUGAAGUGGGGAGAAAGUGAGUGUAGGUAGGAGAGGCUGUCCAAAAUAUCUUGUUGCUGCCCACUUACUAAUGGCGCACCAACUCUAAAUGCGCCAUUAGUAAUCCAGGUUACUAAUGGCGCACCUUCUGGUGAUGCGCCAUUAGUAGUUUUGCAAAAAAAAACAUACUAAUGGCGCACUGUUCCACAGUGCGCCAUUACUAGUUUAAACUAGUAAUGGCGCACGGUGGAAAAGUGCGCCAUUAGUAGUUUUGCAAAAAAGGGAAUAAAAAAUAUAAUAGAAAAAACAACAUUAGUGGCGCACAUUCCGGCAGGUGCGCCAUUACUAGUUACAACUAGUAAUGGCGCACUGUGUCUGGAUGCGCCAUUAGUAUGUUUGGACAGGCGCACUAGUUAAAAAAAAAUUUGAUACUAAUGGCGCACCCUGGGCCAGGUGCGCCAUUAGUAGUUUCAACUCUAAUGGCAUAUCGGAGGGUGGUGCGCCAUUAGUAUAUACUAAUGGCGCACCGCUUGUCUGGUGCACCAUUAGUGUCAAUCCAAUCUAUAGCCCUUUUUCUAGUAGUGGAAGGUAGAGUAUUUUUAAAGUUAAAUAUACAUGUAUCAAGUAACCGGUGCAGCUAGACUCGCAUGAUCGAGAUAAACAUUUAUUUUGUAACCCUACCAAGUAAUUAAUAGACGAAUACAUUUGCUAAGGAUAACAGUAAUUCUAAUGCACAGACGGUUGAAUUGUUUUUACGUUUUUAUCAAUAUUAUCUUUAAUGUUUUUUAUCCAUCUCUUUGAAGUUUUUAUUUUCUUUUUAGAUUGUAGUUUUGUUAUUUAUUUAUCGAGGUAUUCAUUUAUAUUUUGUUAUUUUUAUAUGCAUAAUCACGACAAAAAGCCACGACUCCGCGUGCACUAUGUCACCUCCCUCUGUUAAGCCCCUAUUCCCUCACUCAUUCAUUCAAACUAGAUGACACCCCGCACGUUGUUGCGGGAACUGUUGUAGGAAAAAUGGGAUAUGUUAGACAAAUGAAAUAUAAAUAAUUUGGAUACGCUUUCAGCCAUAUCGUUUCUUGGCUAAAUUAAAACCAUUUCAUGAGAUUGAACAAUGCAGAACUGGCUAGAAAAAAUACAUAACAUUUCCUUUAAAAAAUAUUAACAUUAGUGGUUUCAGUUCCCACUAGCAAAAUAUCGUGGCCCUGACAAACAUUUGUGCAUCGAAUUGCCCACAAAGAAUAAAAAAAUAUAGCACAAAUCAAAUUGGCAUUGGAGAUUUGCUUCAGAUGUGGUAAUGAUUCUUCUUAUGUGCCCGCAUCAUAACUCACUACUUAUCGUCAUGGUGAAGAAAACAAACAAUCACCUCCAUUAAUAGGAACUGAGUGCUGGCACUUGAAAAGUGGGAAAAAUAAUAGUGUGUAAGAGUUGAUGACAGCGAGAACAUAAAUUGCCAAUUCAGUUUGUCCCAUAAUUUCUGCACAUAAAAAGCCGAACCACUCCUACAUUUAGUGAAGGCAACAUUAUACAACAAUUAGCAUGAAAAAAAAUCAUGAUGAAAUAAAAUGGUGAUGCAAUUUUGACUUUAUAAGGCAAGACCAUUCAAGGGAGAAAUCUUUUGAACAUAGCACGAUGAUGAUCUUUUGGUCAAUAACUGAACAUGACAAUUCAUAAGCAUAUUAUGCAUUCAAUAUUCUAUUCUAGAUAAUAUUUUAAGUCUGAAAUAUCCAUGGUUUGGGAAGUCAGGAUGACCUGUUCCAAAACAAAGGCAUGUACGUAAACCGAACAAAUAUGAAAAUGAAGAGAGAAUGGUGAAGUAUAUAUCUUACUGAUUCCGCAAAGGUGAACAUAAUUAGAUUAAAGGUGUUGAACUGAAGUAGUUAUAUAAGGGUCAAAGGAUAAAAAUCAAUAAGGAAAAUUAAAGGAGGG